This 105840-nucleotide long non-coding RNA is filed under the name Cicer arietinum (chickpea). Its description in RNAcentral is "long non-coding RNA (CARI_LNC002221)". Lineage: Eukaryota; Viridiplantae; Streptophyta; Magnoliopsida; Fabales; Fabaceae. The record is from RNAcentral.
UCACUCACCCUUCGGUGAAGCUUACUUGCGCUGCUGCACAGCGGAGAUAAUUUGUUCACUACUCAUCAUAUUUCUCUAUUGAUAUGAAUUAUUUUUCUGUGUUGAACUAUUGGCAAUAUUUGAAGUAUCAACAAGCCGAUUUGAUUUUGAUAUCUUGUUUAUCUAAUUGACGUCCAACCUUUUGUAAUAUUAUUCGUUCAAUUAACUACACUACAUUUCCAUGGUAGGUUUUUGUCUAAAUAUGAUUGUGUUCGAUGUUGAUAAAAAAUUAUAAAUCUUUGACCGCAAAGUCAUAUAGAGUUUUGACUGUAUACAAUCCAAAUCUUAAGAGUGACUUUUGUUGUUUUUUGGUCAAAAAGUAGGAUUUAGGAAGUCACGUAUACAUUAUACAAUGAAUGAAUUGAGUGACAAUGUUGAAAAUUUGAAAAUUAAUUACUCUUAAUUAUUGAUUCUAUUUUAAAUUCUUUGACUUUUGUAUUGAGCAUAACUCAUCAUUACAAAACUGACUUGUAAGGUGAAGAAUAUCUCUCUUUAUAAACUAUUAUAGAGCUCUAUCUCUUAUAGAUGUGUGAUUUGAGUUUUUUUUCUAAUACACCCCUUCACGCCCAAUACUAUUGGAUUUUGUGCUUGUAUAUAAAUGGUGGGUGACCUGUGCGUGUAGGUUUUGAUAUUAUAUUACAAGAGAAGAAUUUGAGAGAAAUUGUAUUGAAUAAUUCCUCAUAUUAUUAGAUAAAAUGGAAAAAAUCAGAAUUAUAAGAUACAAGAGUUUUGACAUAUAUAGUCUUUACAUUAAUGAUUAUCAGAAUAACAACCUGCUAAUUAUAAGGCUAACUACACAAAACUGAAUCUAAAUCACUAAUGGUGUAGUUAUGUAACUAAUAUAAAUAAAAUAACAAGGUUUAUGUACUGAACCUAGUGACUGAUAUAUUAUGAUAUGACAUGACUUAUUCAUUAGUUUAGUUAUAUUUUCAAAUAAGCAUGUAUAUGACAUAGUACUUGUGACUAUGACGAUCUCAUGGUUGGACUUGGACAUGUAAUAUGUUUCUACUUGUUCUGAACAUGAAUGAAUUUUAACCUAUGGUUUGCCAUGAAAAAUAGCAGAGUGGCUUCUGUUUCUAUUGCUAUCCUUCUUAAUUAUUUAUUUUGUUUAAACCAUAUUAGACCAUAUUUUCUGUUUUAAUAAUUUUUUUUAGUAUAAACCUAAAUGGAUUUCUCACCUAGCUUAUAAAUUCUUUUAGUUUCACUAUUUUAUACAUUUUCAACAUUAUGCGGAUAACGCUUGCUUCCGAUGGUUAGCGAAGAACAGAUUCAAAGAGAUUUUCUAGUGAUGAUAUUAAAUUGGAGCAUACAAUUCAGGUGCAUGGAAUGAGUUUGAAUAAUGUGCAAAGUGUUAGUGUGUUUGGAGAUGUUUAUGAGGCAACUAAAGAUGCUCAUGGGAUAUGUGUUCUUACAGAAUGGGAUGAGUUUAAGAAAAUUGAUUAUCAAAUAGUAUUUGAUAAUAUGGAGAAACCAGCAUUUGUUUUUUAUGGUAGAAAUGUUUUGAACUUUGAUAAGUUGAGGAAGAUUGGAUUUAUUGUAUACUUAAUUGGAAAGCCAAUGAAUUAUUAUUCAAAAGAUGAAAUAUUUAAGGUUCAGUAUGAAUUUGACGAAAUUAUAUUGACAUUGUGAUUAUAUUAAAUUUACUGGUUAUCUAAACAUGCGAAAUUUCAAUCUUUCAUUUAUAAUUUAAGUGAAGAAAAAUAUUAAAUAUUGCUAGAUUGUAUGUUCUAAUCAAAUAACAAUGUCAUUGGUUUGAGGUUAUAUUAGUCAUUCUAUAGAUUGUAUGUUCUGAUCAAAUAAAAAUGUCAUUGGUUUGAGGUUAUAUUGGUCAUUCUAAUGUUUCAAUGAGAGUGAAAAUUCAUAUACAAUUUUUUUAAUAGUACUAGUACUUUUUAAUUAUAUAAUAUAAAAUUCAUUCCAAUAGAAUAUGUUGCACCUUGUUUGCACCUUAAUAUGUUGCAAUUAUAAAAGACCGUCAUUCAAAUGUCAUUGGCACAUGGCAUUAUUAUCCUAGAUAGUAAUUGAUGAUGUGUAUUUAUGUAUGUAACAUUUUGAUUUUAACCAUGAGCUACAAUACAAACCAAUCAAUUAAGGAAAAAGAGAGAAGAUUGUUUCACACUAUACUCCCACAUUUUUAUCUAUACCCCACAAAUUUUUGAAAAUACUAAUUAUACUUUUAAUUUUAUAUUUAUUAUUUUAUCAGUUCAAAUUCACUUUUUCUUUUUACCAUUUCAACAUUUUUGAAUUAAAUAAAAAAGUUUUUUGAAAAUUACCAGAAAAUAUUUUCAAAGAUUUCCGGUACAGGGAGGUUUAUCGGAAAUUUUUUUCAAUACAGAAGAGAAAAAAAUUUAAAAAUUUAAACUAUCAGAAAAUUUGAAAAAAGUCUUUCAAUACAAAAAUGGUUUACCAGAAAACUUACGGUUUUAGUGUUAUACUUCGGAAAAGUUAAAAAAAAAAUCCAGUAGUGUGUUAUACUUCGGAAAAAUUAAAAAAAGUAUUUAGGUUGUAUCGGAUAACUUGAAAUAAGAUUUCCAAAAAUAGCAUAUGAAUCGGAAAAGUUUUUUGAAGUUUUCCGGAAUGAAAUUUCUUCACUGAAAAAAAGUUGAAAAAAAAUUUCCAGUAAAAUAGAAAAAAUUUGACUCACUUAUUACCAGAAAUGUCAAAUGAUGGAAUGGUGAAUUUUUUUAAAUUUUAACAUUUAUAGGAGGACAAAAAUGUUAUUUCUUUAUCAUUGUGGAGGGUAAAGGUUAAAUAUGAGGGAUAUAUGGUAAAAUCAUCACGAGAAAAACAAUGUAUAUGUUGGCCCAAACCGAAAUUAGCCUGUGGUCUGCAUAGCAUUGGGCUUGGACACAAUAUUUAGGUAAUUGGUAAUCCAAGUUCAUAUUUUUAUUCAUAUUUUUGAAUUUUUAUCUUAUCAUAACUUCUAGUAAUGUAAAGCGAAUAAAAUAUAUUAUCGGAUCUUAAAUUUUGGUAGUGCAUUUAGGGGUGGGUGAGGGAAGCGGAUGAACAACCUUCUCAUUUUAAAAUGUCAUUUCUUUUAUUUUGAUGAAACUUUUUCAAUUCAGACACACAUUUUAAUAAACAAAAAAAAUAUAUUUGAAUUAGUCAAUUUGAGAACUUAUGGGAGAGAGAAUAAAUUCACUUCGGUGAAGUCCAUGAUUCUUUUUUAAGAAAUUGACUAAUAUAAAGUGAGUAGUUAAUAUAAAGUCCAUAAUUUGAGAUCUUGACGGAGGCAUGCAUAUUUGAAGUGGAAUUCCCGUCUAUUGACAAAAAACUUGUGCGAACAGGUUACUUUACUUAAAUUAAAAAAUUCAUUUUAAAAUUAAAGUAUCCUAUACAAGAUAUUUGUUAAGAAAAAAAAUAAUAUUUUUUUAACAUUUUAAGGUAUUUAAUGUACAAAUUUAAAAAUGUAUAUAAUUUUUUAAUUAGUUAAUAAGUGUAUUUGAAACAUUUGUUAGUAUUUAAUAUCAAUAUAAUUAACUAUCAAUAUAAAAAAACUAUAAAAAAUAUAAACGUAUUCUCAUUUAAUUUUUUGUCACAUUGUUAUUUGAAGGUAAACAAGUAAGUUUAAGAAAUAAAUAAAUAACUACCAAAAAGAAAUAUAACUGCAUUUUAUUUUGACAAAAAAAAAUAACUACAAAAAAAUUAAUGAAAAAAAUAAUCAUAAAAAAUAUAAAUUUAUUCUUAUUUAAUUUUUUUUUUGUCACAUUAUUAUUUGAGAGUAAACAAGUAAACUUAUAAAAGAAACUAAAAAAAAGGAAUAGAACUAUAUUUUUUGACCAAAAAAAUAUAACUACCUUAUAGAGAAAGAAAUAGCUAUUUUAUUAAAAAAAUAACUACAAAAAAAUUAAUAUUGCUCUCCUCAUUUUUGUUAUAACUACCAAAAUAACUAUUUUCUAAUCAUUAUUAUCAAUAUAAUAAAUGAGAAAAGUAGUGAAAAAUUAAUAUUAAAAAAUAUAUUGAAUACAUAUUUAUCAUCAAUAAAUAUUAAAAAUACAAUUGAUAAAUAUUUAUAAUAGAUGCAUAAAAAAACAUAAUAAAUGUUUGUGAGAAAUAUAAAAAAACAUAAGAUAAAUAUUUAUCAGAGAUACAUAAAAAAGAAUAGAACAAAUAUUUAUUACAAUAAAUAAAAUGCAAAUUUUUAUUUGAUGUAUAAAUAGUGCCCAUAUAAGGUUUUUUUUCCCUUCUAAUUUCCCUUAAAAUUAAGCUAAUGCAAUGCAAUAUAGGCUUUUUUGUACAUGGGAAAUAUAAAGCAAGUGGAACAGUUAGUUCCCAAUAUCUUAACAUUGACCAGUUUUGAUUCUUAUGCAUAAAUGACCUUGGCAUAGAUAUUUUGCAAUGUUAUUAGCACUUAGUAGUUAAACCAAUUUCAACAAAAUACAAAGGUAAAACGCUAUAAUGGUGGAUUUCUAUACCAAACAUCACACUUUUCACACAAAUGACAGGCAUAUAUAUAUAUAUAAGAGUGGUCCCACAUUAUCACAUAACUUAUUUUAUUUCUCAAACUAAAUUCCCUUUUUCUUACAUGAAAAAUUUAGUAAUUCUUUUUGAGUAUUCCUAAAGCAUUUCUGGUGAGAACCUCCUCCCCUAACACAUGGACCAUUAUUACUUGUAUGAAGCAACGCAUGCACCUUUUAGCUACACAUUCUAAAUAUAUGUUCUUGGAAAAAAAAUAAAAAUUAAAGGUUGUUGCUUUACAAGUAUAUGUAUAUGGGAUCGCAUUUUCCACUACAACCCUCAUCCAUUUUUAUUUUUAUUUUUAUUAUUAUUAUUAUUAUUAUUAUUAUUAUUAUUAUUAUUAUUAUUAUUAUUAUUAUUAUUAUUAUUAUUAUUAUUAUUAUUAUUAUUAAUACAUUAAUAAUAGUUUCACACUUUUUUUUCCAGUUAUAUUUAAGUUACAUGAAACUAAUUUACCAUAUAAUCAACACAAAAAGAUUACGUGAAUUAAAUCACGUAAUUUAUUUAAGUAUAACUGAAAAAAAAAAGUAUAAUUAACAAAAGUAUUAUUUAUAUAAUCACUCAUUAUUUUAAAUGAGCUUUUUUUAAAAGGAAGGUUCCAACUGCUAGAAAUUAAACACUAGCUUGUGAUUUGAUUAAAGCUUAUAUUAUCAUGCAAAUCAUAACAAAUUAGUAUCUGCUUCUAUCUAAUCACCCACCAAAGAAAAGGAAACAUUCUACUUUCUAACCAUUUCAGAACUUCAACCACUGAUAUUAUAUUUCAGCUACAUCUAAACUGACUAAUAGGAACUUGAAACCUUAGCAGAGUGGCUAACAUAUCUAUUACAUCUUCAACCAACCUUUAGUUAUAUAUAUUUUUAUAUUAAUUUGGUCCUUAUGAUAAUUACAUGAAGAGGGUAUCUACAAAAAGCAGCUAAUUAAAUUUUUAACACCUAAUAAAUGUUAAUAAUGGUAAAAUAAAUUAAUGGUAAUGAAAGGUUCAAUUCAAAAUCAAGUGCAUAACAGCAAUUAUGUGCAUUGAAUUUACCUAUAAGUAGGCCAUUGUGAAUCAUUUGUGUCAAUCAAGAGUAUUAUGUGAUAUAAAUUGGUGAUUAGUCCAAAAUAAUUUCAGGGGUAGUUUGAAAUUAAAAUUAUAUAGGCAUGUAAUGAAUCUAGAUCUACAACAUGAUUUAAAAAAAAAAAAAAAGGGUAAGUAGAGGUUGUGGAAUUGUUGAGCAAAGCCAAGCUCUUUCAAAACACUAAAUUAUAAGCACGUGUAAGGCUAAUUAAUCACUAUGAUAAGCCACCGACAGAGUUUAUAGUACUUAAUCACGGGCUGCUAGCAUUUCAAAUGGUUCAGCUAGCAUAAACUUUAAGGAAAGUAUCUUAUGCUAAAUACACUAUAGAGUAGAACACAAUACUAAUAAUGAGUGUCCAAUUAAUAUUUUUUUUUUCUUUUUUUUUUUCUAGUUGUAUGUGUGUCAAUUGUGGAUAGGUGACAAUCUUACCUCUCAAGUGAAGUCUCUACUCUGUAUAUGGAUGGUACUAUAGUACAUACCAAUUAGUAUAGCUCAACCACUUCUAAGCAAACUAUAUGCUAUAACAUGUAUAGUAUAUUCUCUUUAAUACUUUUUAUUUACAUGCAUACAUUUAUUUUAAAUUCUUUGCUACACCGCAAAUUUUUUAUUUGCACCUCGUGAGUGUUAAUUAAUUUUAUGACACAUUGAGUUUUAAUUUGUUAGAUAUGUAUUUGUAUGCUAGCUUGAAAUUGCAAAAUAAGAGCUACUAUAGUAAAGUACCUCACUCAGUAGUACCAUUUAUUUAGUACAACUUUAUUUUAAGUGACUUGUGUGCUCUCACAAUUUCAAGUUCUAUGGGAGGCGUUUUUUUAAUAAAUAAAUAAAAUAAGCGGUGAAUUGAAUUAAGCUUGAAUGUAUCAAAAUAUACUAUGUAAUUUGUCAAGCAACUUAAAAACAUAUGUAUUUCUUCAUGAAUAGAGCUAUAUCAUAGACGUGUGUAUAUAAUUGAAGUGAGUUAGUUCAUAUUGAUAUAUCAAAAAAAGCUAAAAAAUGUGGAGUACACAUCGAGGGUAAGGUGUGGUGGCUAGUUGCUAGGCACACCGCAUACAUUAUGUGCCUGCACAUGUUUUCUCUAAUAGAAAAUUAAUGCGGGUGAUAAAAAGUCCAAUCAUAUAUUAUAUAUAUUUUUAUAAGUAUUUGAAACAUAUACCAUACUCUAAUGUUUAAUGUUCAACGUCUCUAAUCCAUUUGUACAUGAAACUAACUUAAGUAUCUCUAGUAAAUUAAUCAUGAUGAUCAUCCAUGUAUUGUUAUUAUUAUUUUAAGAAGAAAAUAAAAGUAGAGGAAAAGAACAAAGAUGAAAAAUAUUGAGAAAUACAGAUAAGGAGUGCCGGCAAAAAGGGGCACAGAUCAAGUGAAGUGAUUACGGAGAAGUUGCAAUAACGCAAGCAAAAGCGCUUCUAAUAAGACAUUCAUGUUACGAUUACUGCAAUGAACGUGGCCGGCUUUUAUCAAUCACAGAAAAAAAAAAAAUGCCGGCACAUCUCCUUAAAGGUCAUCAUGCUAGCUACUAGUUUAGUGGAAUAGAUUAUAUUUUAUUAAUGUUGAAUUUGAGUUCGAAUUUUUAUGAAGAGAAAUAUCAUAUUUAGUGUUAUUUCAAAUAUGAUUUUUGAAGAUAAUUUUAUUUCUUUGAAGAGAAUUUAUGUCAUGGUGGCUCACAUCAAAAAUAUUGUGUAUGUUUAAAUUAAAUGUGAGAGUAAAAAAUCAUAGUUUAAAAUUAAUACUUUUAGGUUUUUAUAAAAUUAUGAUAUCAUUUUAAUAUCGUAAAAAUUAGGUGAUUUUAAACAAGUGUUUAGAGAUAUCGAAUACAAUUUUAUUCAUUUAUAAAUAAUUUUAAAUCUGAUUAAAAGAUAAAUAAAAUUAAUUAUUGGUUUUUUUAGCUAAUGUUUGAAUAAAAUACCAUAACUAAUAGAUCUAAAUUUAAUUUAAAUUUAUUGACUACUUAAACUAAACGAGCUAGUUUUCGAUUACAAACUUUAAUCCAAUGCACUCUUGUCUUAAAUAAAUAAGUCCCACGAGUCACGAUGCUAGACAGCUUGUAUUAAUUGUUUAUUAUUGGUGUAUUUAGUGAUGCAUGGUAUCUAAGAGGAUACUUUAAAGUAAUUAAGCUCUUAAUCCUACCGCUGCACCUAAUUUAAUGUACUUUGUGAAUGAUUAACUAUGGUAAAGCUUGCCAGUUGCCAUUACAUAGAGACACUACACUACGCACAUUUAAGUAUUUAUCAUCUAUACCAACUAAUAAGUUUUUGCAAAAAAAAUAACUAUUCUAUCAUUUUUAUUUUAUUUUUAAUGUUCCAUUUGAGUUUUGUAUAAUUUUUAAACAAAUGAUUAGUCAUGUUUUUUUAAUAAUAAAAUUAGUUUUAUUUAUUUAAAUAUUUUUAUUUAUUGUAGUUAGUAGAAAAAUUUAAUGAAUUGAGAUACAAUAAAUAUGAGUAUAUUAAUAGAAAAAAAUAAUUAAUAUUAUAUUGAUAUUUUAGAAUAAUAAGUAAUUUAAGACUGAGAAAAAAUAAUAAAUGAGACACUUAUUAUGAGAUGGAAAAAAUAUAUUAAUAUAAACACUCCUUUUAGAUAAAUUUAGCAUAGAUAAUGUUCCAAAUCAAACUUAAGUCCACAUUAUACCUUAGUAGGUCUUAGCCAAAUUUACAGUAGAUCCAAGAUCUUUACCCUGCAUGAGUUUGGUAUGGCUAUGCAAAAGUCAAUUUUGCCCUCAGCGAUCAAAUAUCACCGCUUUAUCAACAUCUGACGACGAUUCGUGAUUCUUGUUGUAUAAAUCUUAACUACUUAAUCGUUUCAAUGAUUACUACUCCUGGUACGACCCACUAUAUAGUCAAACUCGCCUUUCAGAAGUAAGAUACAUUUUCAUUCUUACCACACACAAAACAAUUGUCUACAAUUGUUUGCUGCCAUCUACAACCAUCUUCGGCCAUCUCCAAAUGUCAUGACUAGAUCAGAUGUUUAUCACUAAUAUCUUGACCUAAAUAUAAACAUAAAGACAUGUUUACAUUUAAAUGCCUUUUUAGUCACAUGACUAACUAUAUGUUUAUAUUUAGGUAUGAAAGUGUAAAGCAUUUGAAGUUUGAAGUAACUUAAAUUACAAUUUUGAUUGCACAAGUUAUUUUAAAGUUUCAUUAGGGUCAUUUUAGUUUCUUUAUAUUUUUUUUAAUCUUAUUUUGAUCUAUUAAGUUUCAAUCUAUAAAAACUUUGGUCCAAUAAUUUUUUUUUUUACUUUUCAUUUUAAUCAUUUAAAUUAUAAACGUAAAACACUUUAAUCUUUUUGUAUCAUUUUUUGUUUGAGAUCACCGUUAUAUCUAUAAUAGAAGAUGUUGUCUCAACUUACUUUCUACGUAAAUUUUAGUUUUUAAUUUUUAAUUUUUAUUUUUAAUUUUUUAUGGUAACACUUUUAAUCGGUAAAAACGAGUUUCUAUCAAAGACAUUUAGGACUCUUAUUUAAAAAUAAAAAACAAACUUAAAGGACAUUUAAUUUAAUUGAAGUAUAUGAAUCACAUUUUUAAAAUGGAUGUAUAUGGAAUGAGUACUAUACCCAUGUUUAUGACUAGAUUUUAAAAAAAUUAUUCGAGGUGAAAAUAAAAAAUUCCUAUAAGUGAGAAUAAAAUCAACAUAACUUAGCUAUAAAUCCGCUUCUUUUAAAAAUUAUAAGUAACAAAUUCAGAAUAAGUGUUGGCUUGAACUCUAAAAAAAGGUAGCCUCGAACUCCAACUUCUUAUACUCUGCCUCCAACAUGCAUGUACACUAUUUUUAGAGGCAACCUAACCAAUUUAAACAAUUCCUGUCAUGCCAAGAGAAUUUAGCUGUAUCAUUGUGGCCUUUGAGAUCAAAGAUUCCAAAAGGAUAUAUUAAAACAAAAUUAAUUAAGACAUGAAGAGGCAGGUCAUGGUAAUACACUCUUGGACUCACAUAAAUGUGCCAAUUUUUAGUUGCAUUACUAUUUCCUCUCCUAUAAGCUAGUCCCUGGUUUACAUGAUUUGGGGGUAUCACGUUUUUCAGCUAAUACAAUGGUCCAUGACUUAAAUAUAAAAGGAAAAAAUUGAGUUUAUAUUUAAAGCUAGGAAACGAUCAAUUGAACCGACCAAAUAAAAAAAAAUGGUAAUAAAAUAAGUUAGCAGAGCAGAAGCAAACUCAACUAGAAAAUGACCCCACAAAAAAUAUUUAGUAUUUUUAUUUUUAUGUUUUAUCCAAACUACCCUUAAAAUGGGUCUGCUUAAUCAUCUAACAAUUUUGUUAGUUACGAGCUUAAUUUAUUUCAAAUUAGAAUUUAUGAACUGAAUUGAAAAUAUACAUAAAUUCAGUUCAAUACAAAAAUGUUAUUGUUUUAUAAGUGUAAUUAGAAAUAAAAGUAACGUAGUUAGUAAAAUCAAUCAUCUAAAGAAAGAUAAUAAACAGAGCAUAACUACUUUAAUGAUUUAGUUUAGUAGUAAACAUGCAAGAAUUAGAAGCUUUAAUCUCCACUAGUAUCAAUGUAGAGAAAAAUAAAUAUAAAUUAUUUUAUAGAUGUUUAUUUAAUUUUAAAAUCUUAUUUAUUUUUGAAUAAUGAGAAAUAAUUUUUACUAUUACAAAAAAAUAAAAAUGAAAGAGUGGCAUAGCAAGAGGCUUUUGAUUGGGAUAUGAAGCAAGCAACUGGAUAGUUGGGACCCACUUGAAAAUCAUUUAUAUAAUCAUAAUAAAAAUAAAAACCCACUUACUAAUAGAAAGUCCAAAGAAUAACGGCCGGAGAGUGGAACCUUUCAUUUGAAGAGUGUGUGAGAGAGAAAGAAAGAGAGAGAAAGAGAGUAAGUGUUAGUAGAGGCAUUUUUUCAAUAGCAAGACAAAGGAAAGAAUAGUUGGGAAUUGAGUUAGUUUUUUAGUAGGUUCCUUCAACUUUAUAGGGUAUGCUUACUUGGACAAAUCAUCAACCGUUGGAUUAAGAGUAGCUUACCAUCCUCAGUUGAGUACACGUGCUUCCAUCCCUUUGGAAAAUGAAUUGCAUGCAACUAGGAUACUAUGCAUUCAUAAAGUAAGCACGUCAUUCACCGUUUGAUCAAGAUCAUAUGAUUGAGAAUAUGCCAAUUUUGAUUGUUUUUUUUUAAAUUUAAAAUAUAGAUUAUGAUCUAAUAUGUUGUUAGCAUGAAAUACAUGAGAUUCCUAUAGUCCUACACCAUUGGAUCCAUAUCCAUCCUCCCUUCUCUUUACCACUAUCUCUAUUUUCUAAUUUUUAUUUUAUUUUUAAUCUUUGCUUCCAUGCAUGGAUUUCUCCUCCAAAUAUAGUCUUAGUUGAGAAGGAGAGAGAAAAAUAAAUUGACGAAGAGAGAAAUCAACGCUUAAUAACAGUUAUAUAUAUAUAUAUAUAUAUUUUAUUUUUUUUCCUUUCUAUUUGCCUUAGCUUGUUAAUCUCCAUCAUUAGCAACAAAGGUAACAAACACAACACAAUACAACUCUUAAAGUUUUGAUUUUUUCUUCUAAACUCAACUACCCAAUAAGCUUUAGUAGUAGUACUAGUAGUAACCUUUGCUUUGCUUUGCUUCACUACUCAUUCUCUCUUUUUCACUCUUUCUUUCCCUCUUUUUGUGCCUUAGAUCUUGCACUACCUUUGGAAUUUUGUUCAAGUCUCCUUUAUUAGAUGAACUGAUGCAGUUUUCUCUCUGAAUUCAAUUCACCUGAUCAAUUAUCUCAUCUGGGUUGUCACACUUUCUCUUUUUUCCUUUCUGAUCUUAUCUGUGUGAAGAGAUCAAUGAAUUCAACAUUCUUCGUUAUUCUCUGAUUCAGUUUUUUUUUUUAUAUAAAAAACCAAACUUUUACUUCUUUCUUUGUUCCUUUUGUGUUUGUUUUUUCAAUUUCAAUUACUUGAAUUCAAUGGAAAAAGAUCAAGUUCAAGAAUUCAAACACGCUUGCAAGUUCUGCAACAAAAGCUUCCCUUGUGGUAGAUCCUUAGGAGGUCACAUGAGGUCACAUAUCAACAACUUAUCAUCUGAAACAGAACAAAAAGAAAAGCUUCCAAUAAAAAAGCUUCCAUCUUUAACAAACAACAAUGGUGGAAGUGGUGGAAGUUGCAUUGGUUCUGAAGCUGCAACUAAUGCUGGCUAUGUUCUAAGAGAGAAUCCAAAGAAAACAUGGAGAAUUUCAGAUUCAAGUGAAGACAAUUUGUUGGAUGUGUAUGACAAGUUAUGCAAAGAGUGUGGAAGAAGUUUUGUUUCUUGGAAAGCUUUGUUUGGUCACAUGAAAUGCCAUUCAGAUAAAGAAAGAGUUUGUAAUAGCUUGGAGGAUCAAGAUUCAUCAUGGACUAAUAAUAAUGUUAAUUCUAAGAUGAUGAUCAUGGAUAGUAGUCAAUCAGACAAUGAAAUCACUACUGCUCCAAAUAAAAGGAGAAGAUCAAAGAGAACAAGAACAAGGUAUAUGGUAGCUGCUGCUGCAGCAACAACUUCUUCUCUGUCUUUUGCUAAUAUUCCUUCUUAUUCUUCUCUUUCUGAAGUUGAACAAGAGCAAGAAGAAGUUGCUAUGAGCUUGAUUAUGCUUAGUAAGGAUGUUAGUCCUUGGAGUGGUCUUCAGUCUCUUGCUACUGCUGAAUCAUCUGAUAAUAACUCUCCUUACUUCGAACCGAGGACUCGUUCCUCAGUUCGAACUAACCUCGUUACUAAAUUCGAUGCGAACAACAAUAGUUCUAUUACUGCUACUAUUAAUAUUGCAAAGUUGAUGAAGAAAAGUGAGCACAAUAAGUGUGAGUUAGGAAAUUCUGUUUCCAAAAAUUUCAACUUCAAAGGAAAAAGUUUAGAAAUUUUGGAUACUGAUAAAGGAUUUAGGAUGAACAAAGUUACAAAAUCUGAGCUUGAUUAUCUGUCUACUACAUUGGAAGAUUCUGAAGUUGAAAAUGGGAAAAACAGAGUCAAUGGAAGAAGAACAGAAUCAGUUUUAUCAAAGAAAAAGUUGUUGGAUUCUGAAUUGAAGUCAAGUUCCUUAAAGAAUUGUGUGAACAAGCCUUUUCAUGAUGAAGAUGAAUUCAUCAAGAACAAUUCUAACAAAAGAGGAAAAUUUGAGUGUACUACUUGCAACAAAAUCUUCCAUUCAUACCAAGCACUUGGAGGCCAUAGAGCUAGUCAUAAAAAAACCAAAGGUUGUUUUGCUUCCAAGAUUGAGAAUAGUGAAAACAGCAUUGAAACUGAUCUCUCUCCUGAACAAACUGUUGCUGCAUAUGUCAAACACGGACAUAAUAAUAUUAGUCUGAGUCGUGGACUAGGUCGCAGUGAAUAUGUUGAAAAGAUUGCAGAUACUGUUAAAGAGACCAAGAAGAUUAAAGGGCAUGAGUGUCCAAUUUGCUUUAAGGUUUUUCAAUCUGGACAAGCCUUAGGUGGACAUAAGAGAUCUCAUAUGGUUGCAGCUGGUGUUGUUUCUGAGAGUAGAGUUGUAGUUCAUGAACAAGUUCCACAAAUUAGGGACUUUCUUGAUCUCAAUCUUCCUGCUGCUACUGAAGAAGAAAGUAAUAGUCAUGCUGAUUCUAACAGACCUUGGUGGAUAGUAGAAGGUAACCAUAAACAAGAGGAACUUGUAGGGUAGGGUCUAAUAGAUAAACUUCUUAGUUUAUUUCCAUCAUUUGUUCAACUUGAGAGUGAAGAUUUUAAACUGUAUAGAAAUUGUUCUGCAUUUUUACAUUUCAUUAAUUCUUUACAGGAUUCAUGUCUUCUCCAAUGUAUUUUUCUGCUUUUUUCUUUCUUUCUUAUUUUAUAUUUUUUCUUCAAGUAUGUCUUUUUUUGGGAUACUAUAUGUUAUAUUGAUAUUGGUAUUACUUUGUUUAUAGAAAUGUUUGAUUUGUGAGAAGGCUAAAGCUCAACAUUUUGGUUGUGUCCUAGAAACUUAAAGGAAUUGUAACAAAUUUUUGUGUACUGUGUAGUGUCGUUGUUUUCACCCACUUCAGUUCUUGCAUCUCAGAGAUGUGCUUAAUUAUAUAAAUUCCAAAAGUGACAUGCUUGUGGGGUAAUUACUAAGUACUUUUCUUUGCAUCAAAGACAAUGAACGAGGUGUUAAAAAAUUAGAGAUAAUUAACGCAAGUUAGACAAAAUACAUCUUACGGUCAUUUAAAUUAUUUAACUGUAUGAAAUUAAUUUAUUUUAUCUUGGCAUCAAAGACAAUGAAUGAAGUGUUGAAAAAAAUGGAAUAGGUAGCAGAAGUUAUUUCACUACACAUGAAGAGAAAGAAAGGUAGAUUUUAUAUAAUACACAUAAAGAAAGCAUGUGAGAUGAAGGUGGUUGUUUAGUCACCUACCAUAAAAACCUGACCACCCAUCCAUCUCUUGCUUGGCACACAAGUGGUGUGCUAAUAAAUCCUUCUCACUAAUUACAAUUAUGUACUCUCUCCACUAUUUAUAAUUCAUCUAGAGAGUGAGUUGGAUAGCUGGACCACUACUAUGUAACUAUGUAAAUUUACAACACCAUAAACUUGAGCUCGCAACUCAAUUGUUAAAAAUCACUCUUUUGCUUUUCCAUUAAAAGUGACAUCAAUGUUUUGCUAUUUUAUAGACCGUAAUUUCUUAGAUAAUAAUUUAUUUACUUUAGGGUUGAUCCAAUUUAAAAGUUUAAAAUAAAUGUUAUUUAAAAAAUUAAGUUUUGUUGCAUCUAAAUUCAAAAUUGAAUCAUAAAAUAUAUGAUGUUCUAACGUUAAUCAACUGAAUUAAAUAGAAAAAUCCUUAAGUCUUAGUCUUCAAAUUUUGUCUAGAUUUGUCAAUCUAGAAGUUUAUUUUACAUGUUCGAACGUAUAUUUUUGUAUAUUUGAGAAUAUUGGAACGUGAGAGAAUUUACAUGUUUGGACGUGUAUUUUUGUGUAUUUGAGAAUAUUGGAAGGUGGAAGAAGAAACACCAAAUCAUUUAUAACUAAUAUGUCAUUUUAUAUAUUCAUAACUAAAUUAAAAAAUUUUAAACCAUUUUUCGACCCAAAUUGUUGCGGCCUAAAAUUAGUUUAGAUUGUUUGGCCCUUGCACAAGUCCCUAUUGAAUUUAUGUUGUUCAACCUUUUACAUUAAAUUGGUAGUGUAGUUGUUUUAUGCUUUACUAUAUAUUGUUAUUCUUAGUAAUGUUUGUAUUCAUAAUAAUUUUUGUGAAUUUAAUUGAAACUCUAGCCUUUUUUUCUUUCUAUUAAUUUAUAUUGUUAACCUAAUAGAUAUGUGUAUAACUUUGUUAUAUUACUUAACAAAAUAUCUAUUUAAUAUGACCAUAUAUUACUUUUUAAACUAUGAGUACAUAUACUUUGAACUCGAAUAGAUUGUGAAUGGGACUUUUCAAAAGUAAAUAUAAUGAAAUCGUAAUAGAUUUAUGUGGAGGUGAAUUUGAUUGAUAUCAUGGGAAGGGUGAGGUGCACCAACUGAUUUUGGAUUGCAAUUUGUGCUAACGAGUUGAAAGAAAGUGGAACAACAAUACCUUUAUGGCUUUUAAUACGUCACGCACAACUAGUUUUUUUGCAACUUAAGAUGCAUUUCUUGGCAACUUGGCAAUGGCAUUGCGUUUGUUUUAUUAGUAGCAGUAGAUGAUGAUGUUUUGCAAAUAAAGCUAUGCAAUCUCAACAGUGCUUAUUUAAUUACUAGUUUUUUUUUUUUUACAAAUUAUUUAGUUUUUUGUUUUUGUUUGAGGGAGACAAAUUAUUUAGUUACUAGUUAGGUAGCUAUAUAUUCAAAGGGUUGUUAUAAACAGUUAGGGAGUUAUUUCUCUAAAAUUAUUUCUUUUUCUAAUGUUACAUUUUAUUUUAUUUAUAAGUUAAAGUGAUGUCACUUACUCUACAAAAAAAGUGAUGUCACAUAAAAGGAACACUUUUAUAAAUAUAAAAUUGCACGAUAUUUUUAUGAUAUAAUUUCUUUGGAAUAAUUUAGUUAUUAUCCAUCAUAUUUCAAAACAUAUUCUCUCCACCCACAUUUUAUAUGUUAGAGAAAUUAAAUGGUGUUUUCACAAUCGAUUAAAUGUAAACACACGUCCAAUUCAAAGUCACAAGACUUUGUUACUCAUGUUUAAAUUUUACAAUGAAAAGAGUUAAAAUUAUACUUACUGUUUAAAUUUUACAAUGCGAAGAGUUAAAAUUAUACGUUAAAGGUGAUUGAAGAGGUUCCAAACAAAUACCAAAUCUAAAGUUAAGACAAGUCCACUUGUUUUUUUCUUGACAAAUUUUCAUAAAUGUAAUUUUUUUUAUGCCUAAGUUUGUUAAACAAGCGGUAGCAAAAACAUUCUAACAACAUUAAUCAAAAGUUGAAACUAGUUUAUAUCUUUUCAUGAAAAAUCAAAUUAUUAAGUAAUUUUUUUAAAUAUUAAUAAUUAAUUGUUAAUUUUAUUAGAAAGAAAAGUUGAACUCGUGAUUUUUUUACAACGUCAACUCCUCCAAAACACCAAUUUAGUAAUUAUAAUUUUUUUUAGUAUUUAUAUAUAUGACCGCUGUCCUUUCUUUUUUUUUUUUUUAUAUUGUUAUGUCUAUAGUACUGACACAAUUAUGAUUAUAGUUUAAUAUAUAAAAAAUUAAAAAAAGUCUAAAUGAAAGUUUUACGUGAAACUUAAUACUAUUACUUUUGUAUUAACAAAAUUCUUAUCCACAUAUCAGGCUAACAUCAUCCUCUGAAUUAGCUGAAUUAUUUGUAUUUUAAUAAAAGGUAAAGUCUGUAUCAGAUCGAAGCAAGAAAAAAGGUAAAAUACUCAGUAGUCCGUCAACUUAGUUUAUAGAGUCAAUGGUAUUUGUUUACAACUUUGAUUCCUAAAAAUGUUCAUAUAGUGGUCCAAUUUAAUUUAAAAAUUGAGUUAAUGGAGGUUACGAUCAGAUGAACAAUGUGCCCCAUGCAUUAUAAAUUGAACAUGUGGCAAUUAGCUUGUUUUAUUACAUGGUAGAUGCCGUCAAUAGGCGAAUGAAAUUAUUGUGUAAAUCUCAAUAAGUCUAUAAUGUUCUGGUGAAAAUUGCUAUGGAUCGCAGUACACUAUUUUAAUUUGUAAUUACAUUUCUAUGCAUAAGAAUUUGCCUUUCCGUGACGAUACCUUAUAAGUCACAGUACUUGUAGACUUGUAGUGUCAUUCUUCCCAAAUUAAUCAAGUUUGACAAAAACAAACAUCGCUUAUUGAAAAUUUUGCCAGUGAAAUAAUGCGAUGGGUACUUUCUGUUCAAUGUUUACCAAUAAUAUGCAUACAAAAUUUUACAUUAUAACUCUCAACUCAGAAGUAUGAACAGGUAGGUAUAUACUUAAUUAUAUUGUAUGGCUUGCAUCUAAGUUCAUUUAGCGUGAAGCAUAUAUACAAAGAAUGUGACUACGCACUAUCCUUUUAAUAAUNNNNNNNNNNNNNNNNNNNNNNNNNUCUUCAUGACUCACUUUCUCUUCUUAGAAUUUUAUAUCUGACCUUAAUUGCUUUUAUUUCCAUUCUUGUAGUAUUAUUUUAGGGACAUUUUUUCUUUUAUUUUCAAAAAGUUGAAGUAUAAAAAUUUUAAAUACAUAUUUUAUCUAAAAUAAUUUUUUAAUUAUUCUACUUCUAAAAUCGUUUUUUUAUUCUCCUACUAAUUAAUUUUUGAAAUUAUUUAGAUCAUCUACUAUUUAAAUAAUAUGACAUUGUCAUUAUUGAUGUGACACUUAAAUAAUAUUUUUUAGUUGAAUAAAAUAUUUUUCACAUCAUUAUUAUUGUAGUUAAUUUUAUUUGUAUUUUAAAAUAUUUAAUUUUUAUUUAUUUAAAUUUUUUAACAAUUUAAAAUAUUUAUAUAAAAUAUUUAAAUUUAUUACAUUUUUAUAUUAUUUAAUAUUUAUUUUACUUAUUUAUUAAACUAAUAAAGAUAAAUUUAUGUUAUUUUAUUUAUAAAUUUAAUAUAUUUAAAUAAAAUAUAUUAAAAUAUAUUUUUAUCUAACAAUAAUUUUAAAAUAUUUGAAUAAAUAUUUAAAAUUUUAUUUAUUUAUUUUUAAUAUUUUAAUAUAUAAAUAAAAAUAAUUACAAUAAUAAUGACAUGACAAUUAUUAUAUUCACAUAAAAAAAAUCUAAAAAAUGCUGAUAUUAUUAAGAUGAACGUCUUCAUCCCAUUUCAAAUUCGAAAUUGUGUGAGUUAAUUAUAAAGAAAUUUAUCGUCUUUUAUAAGAUAAAAAAAUUAUUUAAUAGAAGACCAAAAAAAAAGUUAAAAAAUACAUAGGCUAAAACUUUAUUUUUAGCAAAAUAAUAGAAAAAUAAACUUUUGAAUCAAGAAUCAAUUAACACGUCAUUAUUUGAGUUAGUCACUCUCUCUAUGGUUGGUUAGACAAAUUUAUCCAUAAAACGAAAAAAAAAGUAUUUGUUGUUAUUGAGAAGAUGACGUUAAUGUGCGUAUAUUCAAUUACAAUGAUAUAUCAAAAUAUUUGACAAUAAAAAAAGAAUUAUUUUCAUCGAAAUUUUAUAAUUUUAAAAAUAUUUUUAUGAAUUUACAAAAUUCACCUACUAAUCUAAUUAAUUGUUUAUAGAUUUAUGACCAAUUUAAAUAUUGACUCCCUAAUGUGUUCACCCCCUGAAUAUAGAAUAAAGUUUGAUGAAUUAGUUAGAUAAUAGAGGAAGUGGGAGACGAAGUUGGGCUUUGAAUUUGCACCUUUGGAUGGACAAGUUUGGGCCAAACCCCGUGAUCCGGUAACUACAACUGGUUCUUACGAGAGUUUCACUUUUAUUUCGAUUUUCCAUUUCACUACUAGUUGUUGGAAGUUGGAACAGAGUCUUCCCACAAAUUCCUAUGCUCACAAACAUGAUUUUCGAUUUUCCUUUUUCUUUUAAAUUUGCUGUUAUGGAAAUUUAACAUGGUUUAUCUGAUAAUAAUAAUAACGAACAUCAUCCAGGUUUCGAAUUUGCUUACAUAAAUGUCAAAUUGCUGCACAACUGAUACUGAUGCUCGCUUAAUUGUAGUUCAACUUGGAACAACAUGCACAGAGGUACCUUUUUUUUUUAACCUAACUAUGAUAUCUCUUUAUUGCAUUAUCAAUUUAUCAGUCACUUUCAUAAAAUUGGGAACUCAAUUAAAAAUGCCCUUUUAUUAUUAAUUUAUUAGUAGUUUUCUUACGAAACAUAAGAGGGUGAAACUCCUUAUACUGUAUUUCGCAUUGUUUUAUCAUUUAAUCGUCCUAUUUACGAAUGUAGUUUAUGUAAUUUUUGUUCUUCUUUUUACCGAUUUAUUGUUGGGUUUAAUGACCAUGCAUGCAAUGUAGUUUUUACACCUGACAGCCAAUUGAUUUGGUGGUUAUUUAAUAAUGACAGUUACAAUUAUCUAGUAAGAUGAUAAAAUCGAGAGUUCCUAUUCACUGACAGUGGAAAAAAAGAACUGAUAUCAUACUAUAACUGUGUUUUAGUUGUUGCGGCUAAUCUAAAGGCAAUAAUGAUAUUUUAAUUCGUGUUGAUUAAACAUUCAGUGCUCCUCAUGCACUUAUCACGUUCUAUUAUUGGUCAAAAGAGAGAAACAGACAGGAAAGAACAACACGAUGAACACAUGGUAAAGAAACAAUAGAAAGUGAAGUUGUACUUUCUACAUAUACUCCCUUGGUCUUGUCUCUUGAAAAUCUUGCCACUAAUUGUAACUUUGUAAGAUUAGACACAUGAAAUGACUAUGAAGUUUCAAAAUCUGAGUUUUUUUUAUAAAAUAACUGAUAACUGAUAUCAAACUACCAAUCUGAUUUGUGACAUUGAUGCAGAUAUUAGAACAACAUGAAAAGUCAUUGUCAAUAGCUCAUAUGGAAGAUAAGAAAUACAUCCAGAAUUUGGAAAAAGAGCUGCUGAAUUGUUCUCAAGAAAUUGGUAUAUUUUAUUUCUUCAUUUUUCAUUUUUGAUGGCAUACAUGCAGCUGCAUGGAUAAGUAUAUUGCAUUGAUGAACUUUCAUUGGUAUUAAAGAGUAAUGUUUAUUUUCUUCUUGGAUAUCAUUUUGACCCGAAUACUUCUUCCUAAUAACUGUCUGAUUCCCAUGGAACACAUUUAUUUAUAGAACAAAGCAAUAAAGUUGAGGUUUUGUCGCUCUUUAAUUUGUAUUUUGUACAGAUUAUCUUCGGGAUCAACUCAGUGCAAGAAACACAGAGGUGAACUAUCUAGAAGAGCGUGUUCACAAUCUUGAAUUGAAAUCGAAAGAGAUGGAAGAUUUACAUGAUGAAGUUUUUUUCAGCUUAAGGGAGGAGCUGAAAAGAUCAAAUUCAAAGCAGUUUUUCUUGAUUCAGGAACUAGAGACUAAAGAAGUGAAAUUAGAGCAGUCUGCUUUGUCCAUGGAAAAGCUGGAGGAAUCAUUUUCAUCCAUGGCAUUAGAAUCUCAGUUUGAAGUCGAGAGUAUGAAGCUUGAUAUGAUGGCCUUGGAACAGAAUUUAUUUGAGGCCAAGAAAAUCCAGGACGAAACUCUAGAAGAAAAUAAUAGAAUGAGUACAUUGAUUGACGAGUUACAGGAUGCAUUGCAGGAUGCACAAAAAACCAUCAUUUCUCUGAAUGAAGAAAAUAAGGAAACUAAAGAGAAGCUUGAUACUGUCAACAUGAACACGAGAUUAUUUUCUCAAAAGGUUAAAGACUGGCUGGAAUACAAAGACAGACUGCAAAUUGAGGAUCAGUCUUCCGUGAGCGAAUGUAGGAGAAAACCAGAGGACACAAGGUACAUAUUUUGAAGUUUUGUAAUGUCUAUGACAAAUUAUAGGCGAAAUUUGUUCAGUUAAGUAAGUUAUUUUAAUUGGCUUGACCUUUUAUUUGAUUGGUUAAGAGUGGAAUUGCCACUUGUGUCACUUUAAACGAAUAAAACGGAAAUAGGGUUUUCUCAAUCCUACUCUUUUUCAUAAUAAGUUUCCAUUUUUACUUUAAUGGUAAAACAAAUUGAGGGCUACUUGACUGAUAAUUUAUACACUAUAUGAUCAUAAUUGAUUACUGAAUGUCUGAUAUUGUAACUGUUAAUUGACUCAAUUGCAACUUUUGGUAUUUUGAAUUUGUGUGAUCCCAAAAUAAAUGGGUCGUAUUCAGACAAAUAAAGAAAUGAGUAAAUCCUUUACUACUUUAUGUAAGUUGAUUUAUGUUUCCUUUGGCUCCCUAUUCCUUGUUCUGAUAUUUAGUUCUUAAUCAUGUAUCUUGAAUGCAAAAUGUUUGCAGCCAUCAUGCAUAUUGAAAGAACUACCUAGUUUUAAUAGUUUAGAUGAACUUCUACCUCAUGAAAGCUUUUCAAUUAAAAUAAGUAUUUAGUUUCUAACUCACGAAAAAGGCCUUUGAAGUUGUUAUGUGUUUAUGAAGAAGCUAAGUCACAGAGCUUCUAAAAAAAUCAAGGAGCUGAAGUGGAUUUCAAAUUAUGAGAUAAGUUGUUAGUUAAAAUACUUAUGAAUAUUGUGAGAUCAUUUUGAUUUUUACUUUUCUGUAAGUACUUGUGGGAAACUUUAUCCAUACUAGCUUUAAAUAUGGCUAUAGGGAUAGUUAGUUACUUAUGGAAAAGAUUUGAUUACGUCUUUAAUGGUGGUGCCUGAUUGUUUUCCUUUUGUAUUCACAGUUUUACAAUUUAAGGUAUACUUUAGCUAAACUUUUUAGUGAUCGUUUAAAAAUAUUUCCUCAGAGUUUAUGGAGAAAUAUUGGGUCCACUCAUUGAUAUUUUAGCAAUGAAGUUAGAUCCAGCUGCUGAAUUGAAAGGGAAGAUGGGGAUGUCCUGUCAGAUCCAAGAAUAUGGCUUUCUUGUGGAGAAACUCAAGGUACGACUGUCCAUCUAAAGCUUAAUCAUUGGAGUUAUCAACGCAGAAGUAAGAGAACAAGUUUUAUUUGGCAUAAUUUCAUGAUUCAAGUAAUUAAUUUGCACUUUGAGAUGUAUAUAAUAUCUCAAUUCCUUUACUAGGAAGAAUUAGGAAUGGAAAAGUUGAGGGCAAAAGAAGAAGCAGAGGACUUAGUUCAAGAAAUGGCAGAGCUGAGAUACCAAUUAACAGGUCUGCUAGAAGAAGAACGUAAGCGCCGUGCUUGCAUUGAACAUGUGUCCUUGCAAAGAAUUGCCGAGUUAGAGGCUCAGGUAUGAAAUUCGAAGUUAAAACUUCAAAAUCUCUCAUUUUCCUCUUAUCCAUUAGAAGCUAUUCGAAUUCGAAGUUGAAAUAUGAAAUUCGAAGUUGUAACUUUUGUUUUCUUUUUCCUUUUUUGUUUUUCAUUCAAGCUUCAAAGAAAGCAUAAAAACCUCUAACUGCUAUCAGAUAUCUCCUUGAAACAUAGAGGCUGGCAUUCUUCUAAGUCUUGCAGGACCGGCUUUAAAGAAAGUUCAAGGUUUGUAUCAAUGUAUCUCAAAAGUUACCAUCUUGACGUAAGAAUAGUUUGCUAACUACAGGUGUCUACAAAGUGGAACUAUUUAACUCAAUGCUUGUUAGAUUGAGUACAAAGUCCAGCAUAUAAUUCUUAUCUCAUGUUGUUCUCAACCAUGUGGUUUAGAUCAAAUGACCUUUGAGGCUUUGACCAGGUUCCCUUGUAUACUAGAGGGGCAGUGUAGUAGAAUUCUGGGUCCUUAUAGCUGCAUGCUAUACAUAACUCCUCUCUAGUCUGGCCAUGGUCUGCACCAAAUUCCGACUUUCCUCUGACCUGGAACCAGUUGAUGAAUAUGAGUAGUUUUACGGAGAAACAAAAAUAACAGAAGUUUCUAGUUAAUUACGGCCAGAACAUAGUCGAAUGAUAAUGCAAUGGGGUUCCCUCUGUGUCAGUUGUUAAAAAAUGGAGUUUGCUACAUUCUUUAGUCCCAAAAGUAUUGAAGUUUUCUUCAUGCUGGUUUCUACAGCAUAUGUGUACUAUCAAUCUUUCACUUUCGUUUAUGACUCUUGUAAAGUGUUUCACAAGAUCACUUUCAUUAAUUUGAAUUGCUAUUCUUUUGUAGAGUUUGUAGUUUGGAAAAGCAUACGUGGCAAGAAAAUUGAUAGAUUCUGGACACUGUUUUGCCUCUCAAGGAAAAUUGAAAUCUAGGAUUUCUUCUUGUGCCUUGGUGUCAGCUUCUAUUGAAGCCGAAAGAUACAAAAGAAGCGAACUACAUACCUUGAAUGACACCAAUUCCACCUUUCACCAUCUCCACUGUUGUAGGACAUCCUCGACCACCUCUUGACAUUCCAUUGUUGUUGUUUGACGUCCUCCAACAUACGUUCUAGUCUAAACAAAAUUUAAAAUGAUGCCCUUUAAUAUUUACGAACGUUAUAACAAGAUCUAAUAUUUAUCCACAUGCAUAAUAAAAUGAUGAGUUUUAUCCAUCUUAACGGGUGGUUUGUUGAAUAGAGCAUUGUCAUUUUUUUACGGAAAAGGUGAGAACUUUGUCAUAUAUGAAUCUAUCUCAAAAUCUUGGUACUUGCACGUAUCUGAUUUAUACGAGAAGGAAAAAAACUCAUAAUUUAAAGAAAAAGUGAUUGAAUACAUGGGUAGGGAUUCUCUACCAUAACUUUCUCUUUAUUUCAAUACAAAAACACAACAAUAGUAAGCAACAACAUUCAUUCACGAGCAACAACAAGCACUUGUUUGCCAACAUUACGACCAUUAAAGAUGCCAACCAAAGCUGCAGGUCCAUUCUCAAGCCCCUCAGCUAUGUCUUCCACAUAAACAACCUUCCCUUCUCUGAUAUGAGGCAGGACAAACUCCAAGAAUUUGUUAUACAAGUGAUAGAAAUUAGCGACAACAAAACCUUCCAUACGAAUCCGCUUAUAUAUGAGAUGUGCCAAAUUUGUUACACCUUCAUGUUGAUUAAGAUUAUACUGUGAAAUCAUUCCACACACGGGUAUGCGACCAUGGAUUCUCAUAUUCAAGAGUACAGCAUCAAGUGUCUUUCCUCCCACAUUCUCAAAGUAAAUGUCAAUGCCUUCUGGAAAGUACCUGAUAUCAAUCCACAAUUCAUUAGUGUCACAUGUUACUAAGUGCAAUAACUAUACUAUCUUAUGUCGAUAAACAUAUUGAACUAAAGUUUCUCCAUCGCAAAACUGUUAAAAAUUUACUUUUUCAAUGCUGCAUUGAGGUCAUGCUCUUCUUUGUAGUUAAUAGCUUCAUCGUAUCCAAAUUUAUUCUUCAACAGAUCCACCUUGUUGCAAAGGACAUUCAAUUAAGUAAAGGAGGACAUUCAACAAAUCCAACUAUGUAAUCACUUCCAAAAUUGAAAGUACUUUUGUAAUAUAAUUAGGCUAAUCCAAGUAUUCAACCCCACCAAUUGAAUAAAUACCUAGAUUGUUAUUGUAAUUCAAAGUCAUAGUACUACAAAGAAAAAAUACCUUCUCUUUACUUCCAGCACUUCCAACGACAUGACAACCAAUCAAUUUUGCGAAUUGACCGACAAGCUGGCCGACUGCACCAGAGGCAGCUGAAACAAAGACAUUUUCUCCUUUCUUGGGUUUGCCUACUUCAAAGAAACCAGCAUAAGCAGUCAUUCCUGGCAUACCUGUGCUCAAACAAAAACACAAAAUAUAUAUUCAUAUAUAUGUCAAAAGGAGGAUAAUGUAUGUAGACUUAGAAAAAGUUGCAAAUAACUAUGAUGGUUAACCAAAUCGUUAUGAUUAUGAUACUAAACAAAGUAAGGACUCAUUUAUCACAUGAAAACAUCAUAACUUGAGUCUUGCAUAUCAUAUUCAUAGCAAGAGCAUUCUUCAUUACAAGUCAAUAUAGAAUUGUUGAAUAAAUAAUACCAAGAAUUCCUGUAUAGUAGGAAAGAGGAACAUCAUCUGUGUGCUCAAUUUUGAAAUGUAUUUGUGCUGCAGAGACCAAACUGUACUCUUCCCAAUUAGUUAUCCCCCACACCAAAUCACCUUCUUUGUAAUUUUGGUCUCCAGAUUCCAAAACUUUAGAUACUCCAAUACCAUUUAUAGGCUGCAUUUACUCAAAUAUUGACAGUAAAUGCACAAAACAAUACAAAUAAGUCACAAAAUAAAAUCAAAAUUGUAAACCUACAAACAAGUUGAUCCAUGCAGUGCAGAGAGUAGAUACUAUAUUUCUAUAAAGCACGGAUGCUGAGAUAGAGAUGUAGGUAAUAAUUUGAGAAAAUGAAUUAAUUGAAAGUAAUCAAAAUAUCGGUGCCAGGGACACUUUUGAUUAGAGGUGUCGAUGAGCUAUAUUUACAUAUUAAAAAAAAAAAAUACUUUAAGGUUCAAUUUGACAAAUGCUCAAAAGGGUUACCAAGAAAAACAUUAACAUACAGAUUGAAGAGUGUAGGAACGAGGAUUGAAAGAGUAUUUUGGAUUGGUCAUGAGAGUCCGCAUGUAAGGAUCACAAGACAAGUAAAGAUUUUUUAGCAAAACAUCGUGGGAACCUUCUGGAAGCUUUAGAGUUAUGGUACUGUCAAUGAUGUUCAUGUCUGAUUCUUUAGGAAAACCAGAAACAUAGUUCUUUAGAAUCACUUGCUUGUUCCUAACUUGUGCCAUUUUAGUUAUUGGGUAUGUUGAUGUUGAAUAUCACUUCAGUGUAUACAAUACAAUGCAAAACAAAACUCAAAGAAAAUAGGAUAAGCAAAAAUAAAUAUGAAUGAAGAUCAGAUAAUCGUGAUUUUAUAGAGAAACUAAGAAAUAUCAAUCCUUCAUUUUGUGAUUUGUACACUUUUCAUUGGCUAAGUAUAAUUGCUAGAAUAAGUAUCUAAAGUUCAUUAUUAAUUUUUGUAUGAGGACAAUGAAAUUAAGUUGGUAAUAUUUACGGUGCAUUUGGAAUCAAUCUAAUAAUAUCAUAGAUACAUUUGAUCAUAAUAGAGAUUAUUUUAGAAUUUUGAUAAACAUAGAAGAUUUUAUUCAAUUUAUAUUAUACUAUAAUUUUAUAAUUUUAUAGAUUUAAUUUAUAUACACCAAUAGUGUAAAAGUUUUUUAUAUUGUAAAUCAAUUUAUGAAAAAUAAAAUUUCUAUUUUAUCAAAAGAUUUCAAAAAAUAAAUUUACUUAAUAAAAAAACGUCAUAUUUUAUUAUUUUCAAAAUUAUAACAUAUAAAUCUUUUAUAAAUUUAAUAUUGUGUCAAUAAUAUUAAAUCAAUUAAAAAAUAAAUAUUACAUAACAUUAAGUAUAUUAAUUUAGUAAUGUCAUAUUAAAAUUUAGAAAAUUUACUUUAAGUCUAUAUUUAAAUUUGCUUUAGAUCUCCACAUGUGUUGGGUCACCCUAAAUCUCAGUUGUCGAAUCAUUAAAAACUAUGAACUUUUAUCGUAACUAUAUCAAAAGUCAUAACUAUGAAUGAUUGUGAUGUGUUAACAAACUUUUUCCAUACAUAUUAAUUAAAUUCUAUUUUUAUAGACCAAAUCGAAUAUUUAAGUAAUAUAACAUUUUUUGGAAGAAAAAAGAUGGUUUAGUACUAAUUAAGUUACUUUAAAUAACAUAAGUUUUUUAUUUUUAAGUCAUAAUUCAACUGACAAAUAUUGAUAUUGUUAGCUUGAAUGUUAUAUACAGAUUUGAUACCCGGAACUCGCACGUGUGUGAAUUAAUUAUGAUGAUAUUUAUUUUUUCCUUUAGUAUUAAAAUAAUCCAAACAAGAAGAGGACUUUCUAAAAUAUACUAGUAAAGGAUCAACAUAAAAAGAAAUAUAUAAAAGAAAAUAUGAACUUUGUAUGAUGAUUUUCAAAGUGUCAUUUAGGAAAUAUAAAAAGACUUAUGAAUAUGGACAUCCACAGCCUCCAAUAUUCAUAUGACAUUCCUCUUUUUCUCUAUUUUCUUGUAGAUUUUUUUGGCCAGUUAAAUUCGUACAUACAAUUUUGUAUUCUUUAUGAAUAAGUAAUUCCCACACGAGUCUUUUUUAAUCAUAAUUACUUUUAUAGAAAUUUACUAAUUUAGAUCCUAUUUUUUUAGUUAAUGUAAAUUAGAAUGUUACAUUUAUAAUUUAUUAAUUUGCGCCAAUUAAAAAAUAAGGAAAGAUAAGUUUGUAAACUUCUAUAAAUUUGUUAACUCGCAAUAACAAAAAGUUUUAAUUGGUAUUAAAGUCAAACCCAACCAUAAUAAAUCUAUAAUAAAUAAUACAUUAUAUUUAUACUUUAACUUUUUAUCAUAUAAACUUGAGUUCCAUAAAAUUAAUUCAGUCAAACAUAUUAUCAAUAUUAAAGAUAAAUUAAAAUAGAUAUAUAAUUAAUCACAUUCCACUUGUGUAUAUAACAAAAUAAACCCUUCUAUUCCACUUUGUGAAACAAAAUUUCCAUUUGAAUAGAUGGUUGAUAUUAUCUUAAUCUUUAGAUGAACUAUAGAUUUGAUAUAAUCAUUGUAACAAAGUAAUUUUGUAAAAACUAUAUUCUGUAGCUUUUUUUUUCAAAAAUCGUACUGAGUUAUUAUGAUUUUACUGAUCUUUAUCAUGAAUACAAAUAUAUAGUUGUUUUUGUCAAAUAGGAUUAAAUUUAUAGACAUUAACUAAGGAAAGCAGCAUCUCAAAAGGCCCCACUGGAUUCAUUAAACUCAACGUCUCAAUUCAAAAACAACGCCUAUAAUAAAUAAUAAUAAUAAUAAAUAAAUAAUCCAACUAAAUAGAAUAUAGAAGAAAAAAAAGAGCGCAUGAUGAACAAACCAAACCCCCUGAAGAAACACGUUGAUUCGGAGUUGUGAUUUCUGUGCACCUUCCACUCUUCUCAAACUGACUUUUCUUAACGCGAUUUUGCAACCUUCCUCUUCUGCAUAACCAAUACCAACUUCUUUCUUUAUUCAAAACCCUUUCACGAUUCCUUAUCAGUCAUUUUGCUUCGGUUCUCUCGCUCUUUCUGAUUCUUCCUCCAGGUAUACUCUCUUUAUUUCUCUUCUACCACUUCCAUUUUUAUGCUUCUUCUUCUCACUAAACCCCUUCAAUUCAUCUCGCUCUUUUUCAGAUUUUUCUUUCUUGUAAUUAUCGUAUGGUCAACAUCGCUUCAAUUUUCUCUCUUCAUGUGGUUUUCUCAUUUCCAAUAUUCUUUCUUUCUCUAUACUUUUUUUUUCCCUUUAGGUUAUGCUUCUGUAAAAUUUUCACUCAUUUUCUAUGUGUUUAUUUUGUAGCAUCUUGGUUUUGCUUUUAUGAACUUUUAGGCGACUACAUGAUGCAAUUUUUGUACCUUUGUUUUUGUUUACUGAUUUUUUCGUGGUCCUUGUCAAUUGUUGUUGAUUGAUUCUGUUUCUUUGUGUUGCUUUACUCUUGUUGAUUGCUUUUAUAUAUUCUCUAUCUUUUUAGUCAAUGGUAGUUUUUAUUAAGUCAAUCAUGUUUUGAUGAUAUGAAUAUGAUUUCUUGUGGCAUAAUAAUAAAAUUGUUGCUUUUGUCAUAAGUGGAUUAAGACCUAUGAAGCAUAAAUACUGAAUGGACAUGGGGCACGACACUGGCAAGUCGCCAUCAAUAAUAAUCAGAGAAAAUUAAUUAAUUGAAUGUAAUCAAUGGUUAGAAAUAUGGUGUUACAAAGAUUAUGAUUAAUAAAAUGAUAUUUGGGUUGCUUUGCCUUAUUGUUGUUGUACAUUAACAGUAACUGAAUAGCACUUGCUUGCAUAUUACAUGGAUAAAUUGGUUGUCUUCACAAAUUAGUUUACUUUGAUCUGCUUCUGACUCAAUUCUGCAAUAAUAGAAAAUGUUCAAUUCAAAGAAAUCUCCUAUGAAAGUUGGAAAACCUAGCUCCGUUGCUCCCGCCAACAUUAAAUCUUGGUCAAACCCGUUUGAUUCUGAUGAUGAGGAAAAGGACAAUAGAAAGUAUAAUUCCUCGAAGAAGACUUCUUCGCAACGACCACUAGUUACACUAGAAGUUAACACAAACCCAUUUGAUGACAUUGAUGACAAUAAGCAUUCUUCAUCUUCAUCGUCAUCGUCUUCAUACGUCCGUCAAUCAGCAGACCGGAACAGGUAUAAGAAUAACUUUCGUGAUUCUGGUGGAUUAGAGAAUCAAUCUGUACAGGAGUUGGAGAAUUAUGCUGUUCACAAGGCUGAGGAGGCUACGAAUUCAAUCCACAAUUGUUUGAAGAUAGCAGAGACCAUAAGAGAGAAUGCUACCAAGACUUUAGUCACCCUUCACCAACAAGGUGACCAAAUUACCAGGAGUCACCAAGUUGCUGCUGACAUUGAACAAGAUUUAAGUCGGGUAUAAUUUUCUUAAUAUACAUUUGUUUGUUCAUGUGCUCCUAUACGGUUGCUUUGUUGUGUUGUUUUUACUUUUUACCUUUUUGAAAAUAUCAUGUUGCUUUUCAUAGCAUUCGUUUGUGAUUGAAACCUUUCAAAUCGGUAUUGUGGAAAUAUAGAAAGAAUCUUUCAAUACUAUGAGUAUUUUAAACAAUAGCUUCUCUUAUAAGUUGAAAUUUUGUUUUGUAUCUCCAUUUUUUCAAGAGCUCUUUCAUUUAGCUUCUUCGUAAGUGUGUUUGGGCGUUGAGUUUUUGAGGGAAAGGAAAGAGAAGGCUUAUUUUCCAUGUCUAAACUAAAAAAUUAUAAAAUGUUUCUACAAUUGAUUAAAAGGGUAAUUGAAAUAUUAUAUAAUCAAUGUCUAUUGUGUCAUUUUUUCAAUUUUUUUAAAAUAUCAAAUAUAUGUUAGGAUAUAGACUUAGCCAUCUAAAACAAAUCUCAACUCCCAAAUAUACCUUAAGUUUAUAAAAAAAAAAAAUUGAUAAGUGAAGGACCAUAAACUUAUUUUGGUUGAUUCUAUAAGCUAUAACCAAAGCCAAGCUGUGCCUAAAACUGACUGAAUUUUGACUAUCUUAUGACCUGCUUCCAGGGAGAAAAGCUUUUGGGGAGCCUUGGUGGCCUCUUCUCCAGAACUUGGAAACCGAAAAAGACACGUACAAUAACAGGCCCUGUUAUUUUUGGAGGUUAAUAUUUUCUCUGCAUGUGUUUUCUUUUCGAAUUUUAAUUAUUUCGGGUUGUAUCAUAGGCAUAAUGUGCUUUGUGUUAUGUAGAUGAUCCGGUUAGAAGAAAGGGAAAUCACUUGGAACAAAGAGAGAAGUUGGGAUUGACUUCUGAAUCCAAAGGGCACUCCAAGCUGCGGACUCCACCUCAGGAACCAACAACCGCACUUGAAAAAGUUGAGGUUCGUAUCAACUCGGUGAAAGAUUAAACUGUUGUAUAAUGCCAGCUGAACUUUAUAAAGCUUAAGUUUUUUUUAUUCUGAGUUGAAAUUGAAUCCAUUAAAUCUUUGUUGGUUACUUUUUACUAUAGUUUCAGCUCUAUUGAUCAGAUCACUAGUUUGCAUCAAAUCAGUUUUAUUUACAACAAUGAAUAAUAUUGCAACCUUGAUGUUUUUCAUUUGUUAUUUUCCUUUUUAUCUUUCAUGUCAUGACACUACAUCUAUAUUUCAAUGAUUGAUAUUGAAUUCAGUUGCUAAAUAAAAUGUCCUGAAACAGUUUGAAAAAGGGAAGCAAGACGAUGCACUGUCGGAUCUCAGUGAUCUAUUGGGAGAGCUUAAAGAUAUGGCUGUUGACAUGGGAUCCGAAAUUGAGAGGUCAGUCAACUGGCAUUAUAUUUUUUGUUUUAUCUAAUUUUGUCAUACAAAGUAAUUGUUGAUAAUGAUAUGUUACCUGCGUCAACCUUUGAGGCCCACAUAAUUAAUAGUUAUUUUGGUAAAUGUUGCAGGCAUAACAAAGCCUUGAAUCAUCUAGACAAUGAUGUGGAUGAGUUGAAUUUCCGAGUGAAAGGUGCUAAUCAACGUGGCCGUCGUUUACUUGGAAAAUAAGAUUGAUUUUCAACUUUUAAUCAUUGUUUUGUAAUACUGUAAUGGAUCCAUCAUUUGGGUUUAAGACACACACCUUUAGGUUACACUAGCUGAAUUAGCCAGUGAUUAAAUUCGCACUUUGUGCAAUGCCACUGCUCAUUGAAACAACAACUACCAAGAAAAAAUGCCCUUGAUAUACCAAAGUCAUUUUUCCUCUCUCAUUAUUGAUAUUAACGAUAAGGCAAAAAUUUUAUUUCUGCAAUUUGAUAAAGAUACGUGUAAAAAGAAGAAAACGGUAACAGAGGGAGUAUUUUAUGUUUUUGUGCAAAUUCCUAACUUAAAUGAAAUAGCGUGGUUUGAUCAAUUACUUCCUCGCAUGCUCAACGUUAAUCCAAAUCCCCCAUGCUUCAUAGUAUUUGUCGUCCAUAUCAUAAAUCAACAAUUGAAAGAAAAUCUCCUCAUAAAGAAUUUUUAAUGUGUCAUCAUGAGGUGGUGAGACCUACCUUGCCCUUAGUAAAUUAGUCACGUACAAUUAAAAUCAGCCACGUUUACUCCACAAAUAUGUUAAAUUUAAAAUGGGGCUAGACAUUUAAUACAAAUACUCCUACAAGACUAUGAGCAACUCUGUUGGGUAUGAUAGUUGAGGUUAGUGUUUAUGCCUUGAAUUACAAGACUGUGAACAAACUUUAUUAGGCAAUAUUUGAAUUGGUGGAAAAUUGAGAUGACAUUGAGGGGUAUAAUUGAAUGGACUAAUCUUAUAUAUUACCAUUAUGAUUUACGAAAGUUGUUUUAAACUUUUCUGUUUAGUAAGUGAAAAGUUCUUCAACAAGUAUGCUUAAAACAUUUAUUAACUAAUUGAUUAUUGUUUGAGUAAAUUAAAACUACUUCAUUAUUGCUAAGGUGGUUGCAACUUUGCUGUGAAGAAAAAUAUCCAGCUACUUCCUAAUACUCACUCUUCUACAAGAUUUAAUAAACCUUUUUUUUUUAAUUAAAAUUUGCUGUUUCCAACACAAGCUGGAGCAUCAAAGUUGGGAUAAACAAUAAAUGCAAUGGAUAAAGGAGCAAUAUAUAUUGGAGAAUGUACAUUAUUCAGUACUGGAUCCAAUCUAGGAAUCUCUCCAUCAUCUGUUAACUCUAGUGGAUUACCAUUCAGCAACAUGAUUUGGCUUCUAAGGUAAUCAUCUUUUGGAGUUAAAUGAUACUCCUCCCUGAAUAUGACAUCUGAUCCUUUUGUUCCAAUCCAAGAAAAUGCCCUCUUGAGAUGGCUAAAGAAUGAAUUAUCUAUACGGAUGCUGUCUUUAGCAUCUUCAUUUCCUCCAUUACUGACAUUCACGGCACGGUCGUGAACGGUGAGUAUGAAAUUAGUUUGGUUGCUUAAGUUGAUUAGUAGUAUUGUUACUCCAUCCUGCAGAAUGAAAUAAAUUUAGAAUGGUUAAGGAAAGCUACUAAGUAAUAAAAGUAUUGUUGAAAAUGAGCCUAUUAUCUACGUUGGUCCGAGGGGAACUGGAUUCGGAUCUCUUAAACAAUGUCUCAGAUUCCAGUUUUAAUGGAUGAAAAAUCAUGGUAGGAAGUAAAGAUCUCACUAAAAGUGGUCACUUAAGUUCCCAAUGGAGAUUAGUCGUCGACGAUCUUGUUGGAGAUUUUGCACCAAUAACAUGGUUAACAAAAGAAAAGAUGCCUAUUAUCAAAUAUAAACCAUACAAAAUAAAGCUAUAUCUCCUUGUAAGUUUCUAGCAAACUAAGAGUGAGUGACUGAGUCACACCUCUAUUCACACCUACCAAAUUUGCAUGUAAUCAUAACACUAUAAAAAUUCAGAAAUAUAACUGUGUUUUUCUUCAAAAAAUGAAAAGAAUCUUGAAUGUAUAAAAUAUAUCUUGUAUAGAUUUAACAAUAUUCUUAUCAUCUUGGUUCUCUAAUGCAUUGAGCUAAAAUUCAAUCUUCCAACUGUCAAAAACUUUUAUGCACACACAUACAUGUAAUGAUGCUUAUGAAAAAAAUUAUACGUCAACUGUUAUUAUGCAGUGUUCUAUAUGAUGUUGUAUCAGCUGAAGUUUUGAAAAACUUGAUAAAUAAGAUAUAAAAGAAUAAAUCAUAAACUCAUGCCCCCAUCUAGAUCAUAUCCUUUUUUAAGUUGAAUUAAAUUAGCACACUUACUCUGUCUUUUGAACAAUGUGCAUAUGUGCGUAAAAAUGGUGAAAAAACGUCACUAGAAGCUGCAAGAACACUCUUCCCCAUGAGUUGAUGCCACAAAAGUGCACUGCUCAAAAUCAAAUCCAAAACAUAAGAUUAGAUAUAUUAAAAAAUUAGCAAUAUACAUUAUAAUUAUUAUAACUCUUCAACAAUUUAGAAAACCAGAUAUGUAUAUUCUUGUUUUACCCUUCAUUUUUUCAAUUUACACACUUGCCUGUAGUAGUCAGGAUUGGGAGUGAAAGUGGAUGUAUUAAGAAGGCCAUAGUUUCCUCCAAUUAAGGUCUGCCUGCAAUAGACCUUAGUGUUGUAUCUGGAUGCUAUUCCAAGUUGAUCUAAGUACCUACAAUUAAUUUAAAGUUCAAAUUUCAUUCAAUAAUUUCUCUUUUGCAAAACAAAGUAUAGUCCUUAAUUUAGCACAAAAUAGGAACAUGAAAUUAUGGAAGGUUGGCCAACAUUACCAAAAGCUAUUCACAAAUGUGUUAGAAACAUAACGACCGCCACUGUUGAAUGCCCCGCCGGCUUCUCCAACCCAUGCAACCGACCAGGGACCAUGUUUUUGAAUGGUUUCUGAAAGAUUGCUAAAAAUUGAUUCAACCUUGCUCAAGCGCGCAGGAUCUAGAAUCUUCUUAUCAAGAUGCUCAUCAUUACCUGAACAAAAACAAAUUGACUUAUAAACUAUUUAUAGAGGAUAGAAAACAUCAUUUUCCCUAUAAGUAAUGUAACAUAUAAUCUUUAAUGAUACAAGAUUAUAUUGUUGUUAACUAAUAUAUCAGUUGCCAGUGCAUGCUUUUCAAUGUAUGCAGAAGUUAGCAUUAUUCAUUAUCUAGAAAUGUCAGAAUGUUAAAUAUCCUCUAGGAAUGACUAUAUUAAAAAGAACUAAGUGGCAUAUAAACCUGGGCCCAAAUUAUAUACAUGAUGAGUCAUCACGUCGAUAACGCCUGAACCUGAAACCUGAAGAAGCUUAUCAAACCACUCCUUUUGAUAGAAUCCUCCAGGUGCUAUAAGUGAAGGUUUGAGCUUGGUGUUCUUGUAUAGUGUGUGUAAAUUUUGUUUAAGCUUUAUCAAGUCCUUCCCAUAUUGUGCAGCACCAACACUUGCACCAAUGCCUUUACCACUCAACUCAUUACCUAUAUGUGCAGCACAUAAAGAAUAAGCUCCAAUGAAAUAAGCUUGAACAUAACAAAUAGCUAAUAGAGCAGUGUCUUACCAAACUCCCAUGAAUCAAUUUUGUAUCCGUUUGAAACAGUGUAGUUUAUUAAAUCAUAAGUAUUUGUAGGGUCCCAAUCUCCUCCCCAAACGGUGUGAUUAAUCUGGUGUCUCCCAAGGAGUGCAUUCAAGCCAAAAGUCACAAUGGCCCUGCAAGUGAUAAACUCAAACUAAAUUACACCAUAUAUGAUGCUGCAUUACCAACCUUUUCUGCUUUUCUUCCAGCAUAAAAAUGACUUUCUUCGGUAGAAAUAAUGGUAAUGUCUACUUGCAUAUAUCUUUUCUAAGAGUCGUGUUAAUUUGAAACACAAAUUUGACAACAAAUUUCGUUAACAAUUUGGAUGGUUAACACAGUUCACGUACAUGGUUAAUUAUGCUUACUAGAUGAUUAAUGAAUAUAACAAGGUAUUGUAACUCAUUAAACAUCUACUAAACACAGUUAACCGUGAUUUUGAAUAUCAGUAAACCAUAAUUUUCAACAAUCUAAUAAAUAAAAUACUUACCCUGUCUUGUUGAAAAAAUGAUUCAGCUCAUCCCACCUUUUCAUAUGUAAGCAUCCCUUUGAAAAUCCAAACAACCCACCUUUCAUUUUUUGAAAUGGAUGACAAGGAGACUGCAAACUUCCUACCUCAUACACAACUUGGUCUUGCAGAGAACCUCCAAUUCUUAUCCUCAAAGGCUUGAGACCUAUCAAACAACCAUUAUAGAAAAGAACAACAACAGUCAUAAAAUAAAAUUCCAAAAUUGAUACUACCAAUAAAAAUACUUUGCUCUUUUAGGAAAAACAUUGUUUUGUUUAACCAUAUGGGAUAUACAUAAUCAAAAUAUACAUACCUUGUAUUGCCUUUGCAAGGAUUGGAUUAGACAAGUCCUGAAAAGCCAAUCCACAUUGAAUAAUCACCAAUACUACUUCAAAGUUCAAAGCUUUCUAAGAGUUCAAAUUGAAAGAUAAUAUGAGUACCUAAAUACUAACCAAAUUGACAACAGAUGAAUAUCCCCAAGGGCAAUAAUUGUAGUCACACUUAUCAUGAGGCCACCAAUCAAUAGUAGCACAAAUGAAGUUAUCAUCAUUUUCAGCAAUUGCUUGAACUCCAUCUACUACAAUUAAACCAUGUUCAAUAUCUUGAGUUAAAGUCAAGCGAAGAGAAGCCAGAAAAAGAAACAAGGCCAAGUGGAAUCCCAUCAAUUUGUAGAUCAAUUGCAGCAGCAUCCAAACCCAACUCAACUUGUCCAAAUUAAUUUGCUGCAAUAAAAAAUGAAAAGAUAAGAAGUGAAUUUACAGAGAUCCAUUGAAGCUGAAUAUCUGCAAGUUUCUGUAUGAGUUUUGACAGUCCCCAAAACAUUGAGCAUUAAACAUAAGAAAUAAUAAAAUUGAGGGUCCUUUAAAAAGCAUAAACAUAAGUUGCAUUAACUUUAAAAGUUUAAUUUUGAUACCAUAUCGAUGAGCACCGUGAACAAAUCAUAGUCAAUUAUAUGUAUGAUUUUAGAAGUAGUUAACAUUAAAGCAAACAUUUUUAAUUAUAUUAAGAUUGUGAUCGAUUAAAGAUAUAAAAAAAUCUUUACAUUGACGAUAUAAAUGAAUUAAAAAUCCUUAAUUUAAAUUUCAUAUGCUACAAUAGGAGUCCUCAAUGCUAAAUCUUGAACUAUAAGCUAAACCAAGAAGAACCCAGAAAUGAAAAGCAAAAGCGUGUGCAAUGCAAGCACAAGAAAAAAAAGAACAAUAUUGAAGAAUACCCAGAUCAUGAAGAAAAAAAAAACAUAAAAGAUCAACCUCAACCUCGUUUUUGAUCAACCAUUAAUGAAAAGAGUGAAGCUCAAGGUAAGAAGCAUAACCCACCAAUAAUAAUGAAGAAAAAAGGGAAGUUUGGUAGCGUUUGAGUAAUCCACAUUGAGAAGGAAAGGAUCAAAUGAAAGCGUUGUGGUGAUUGUAGUAGUUGAAUGAAUAAGACCUGUCUCAGACACUAACAAACAAAAACAACAACUCACGAUUAAUUUGAUUCAGCAGAGCAGAGGAUGUUUUUUAUUUCUUCAUGAGCAGCACGUUCCUUUCUGCCUCCAAAAUGUUAUGUUAGGUGUCCUUUGCUGGAGUGGUUCAACAAUAUACAUCAUUCUUGGAAAACUCUAAAAUUAACUCAAGUAACGGAUCUUUCCUACAAAAUAACAAAUACCAACAUUUUAUUCUCUUCUGUCUUUUUUUUUAAUAAAAAAAUAUUAAACAUUUAAUUAUAAAAAAUAUACUAGUAUUAAGCAUUUAAUAAUUAAUUACUUUGACUUUAGUGAUGAAAGAACAUUGUAAAAAUGUUUUAUUCUAUUUUACAAACAUAAAUAUAAUCACAAUUUUAUUAUGUCAUAAAAAAAAUCAUCAUAAUUUCAUGAUGUCAAAUUUGUGGGUUUUUUAUUAUCAAAAAUAAAAUUAUGGCGAUGAUUAUUGAUUGAAUAGUAUAAUGAUAGGAAAGAUUUUAUUAGAUGCAAUUUGAUGAACAUGUACUUUUAUUUGUAUUGAAGUUUAAUUUUUUUAUUAACAAUUCCCUAUUUUAUUUUAUGAAAUGAUUAACAUAACAGAUUUUUUUCUUCUAAGACUGCACUUUUUUUACAUAAUUAAGACUGAUUUUAAAAAUUGGAAGGAGUAAUUAAAAAUACCAAACUGUCAAUUCUCUAUAUAUAGGAAAAUAACUUGUUGGAGUAUUAUUUCUAUUUAAUAAUCAUUUCACUUUUAUGAUUUUCUUAUAUAUAAAUCAAAAUUAUUCUAUAUUAGAUAUGUAAUUCUAGAUCCAAUGUUAAUUAAUAGAUAUUUAGUGUGUAAGAUUUAACUCAAUCGAUAAAUGCUGAUAUUUUUACGUUGGAUAUCAUGUUUUGAGUUUGAAUUUAAAUCUUCCUAUUAUGUUAUGAGUUGUUUUUCGUUAUAAAUUAUGUAUAUGAAUUUUAAGUUGUGUUUAAUUUUACACCUAAUUCUAAGUAUAAUGUGUUGUCUCCUCAGAACUUUAAAUCUUAUAUUAUCUUAUUCUUCCUCCGUUAAAGAGAGAUAGUGGUGGUUUUAGAUAAUUUUUGAGUCUAGAAUCACUCCAAAUCAUUUUUUCUUUCAUUUUAUCUAAAUAAUUCGUUUUUACGCAAAUUUAAUUUUUCUUUUAUUUUCUUUUGUUGUGAUUUAUUCGUUUGAGUGUGACGCUUUUUAAAUUUCUCGUCUUUAUGCAACAUUUUUAUUUUUUAUUUUUGUGCGGUGUUCAUUUUGGUUCAAAUCGACAUAAUAGCUUUGAUCAUUUAUAAAUUUCAAUUUGUGACUUUUACGUCAUCAAUGUUACAUAUGAAAAUGCAAAAAUAUUUUCAGGCACUUGAAUUUUGCUAAAUUUGUAAAUAUAUUACUGUUUUACGCUAUUAAUUUAAGUGAUGUGAAUUUAUUUAUAAUUUCACCAUUUUAUAUUUUGAACAAUUUAAAUUAGACAUAUUCUAUAAUUUAAAUAUAAUUUAUUUUACUAAAAAAAUAUAGUACGCCUUCAUAAAAAGUAGAUGUCUAAACAUGUAUGGAAAAGUUAACAUUUAAUAAAUUAGUUAUAUUGUAUGAGUUUAAUGACCAUAUACUUAUGAUGAAAAAUAACUGUACAUCUUUGUUCAAUAAUAGCCAACCAUCUUAUUAUACAGGUCUCUUUAAUAACUAACUUUUAAAAAUAACUACAUUUUCUUUCAAUUUUAUUAGACGUUAAAACUAAUUUACAUUAAUUAUACAUUUUCUCUUUUUUUUAUAGUAUGUACAAGAAAUAGCAAUUUUAAUAUACUUCUUUUCAAGGUCGGCCCAACACAUUAUGAGGUCUAAAGCGAAAUUAUUAGACAGGACAUUUUCAAAAAUUAAUAAAUAAAUUAUUAAUAUUUUAUUUAAUAACUAUAGAAAAAUUUCUUUAGUAGAAUUAAUAGCAUUUUCAAAUCUAUUUUUUCUAUAUUUUUCAAAAAAAUAAAAUAAUACAUUUCAACUUUUCUACAGCAACGUCAAUAACUCAUGUAAAAUUUUUCAUCUUUUAGUUGAAAAAGAAAAUAGUGUGUAUACUAUCACUCCAAUAAUUUAUGUUAGCAAUAUGUUCACGACUGUCUUAUCAUUCAUCAGUUUAUAACUAAUAUUUCUCAUAUGGGUAAUGUGUUCACUUUUUGUCUCGUAAUUUCUCAAUUUAUAAUUAAUAUUUCUCUUAUCCCUAUUAUCUUCGUUAGCCAAUUUAGUUGUAAUAAAAAGAUUAUUAAAUAAUUUGCAAUAAAAAUAUGUUUUAUUUAAUGUAUAUAAGAUUUUAUCUAUCGAUAGCAAAAGUUAAGACAAAGUUUCACUAUGAUAUUUUCUAGACUAAAAAAUAUCAAUCCAAAUAAAUAAUAAUUUUGCCAAAAAUUAUAAAUUAAAUUUUUUUUGAAACUUUUUAUGUAAGUAUAAAAUAUUUUUUUAUAAUAUAUUAUUGGUCUUUAUAUAAAAACUAGAGUAAAAAAACAUUUUUUUAGUGAGCCAUAAAGCAAGGGCAUUGUGUGCCUCUCUCUUGUUGUACUGGCUCUGCUCCUUCCCUCUAAUUUUCCCACAUGUCAUAUAUAAGUUUACUCUUCUUAUUUUCAAUUAAAUAGUUAAACUUUUUAAAGUGUCUAACCUAUAUUUAAAAGAACACAAAGUUUUAGUGUGACCUUUUUUUCCUUCUUAUUUAUCCUUUCAUUUAAACUAUUUAUUUAUAAUUUUAUCAUUUUUUCUUUUACCAAUUAAAAAAUUGAAUGAUCAUUUAUUUAUAAAAAUAAUAAUAGAUUAUGUCGGUGUUUGUCUCACGCUGAUUCCAAAAAAUCAAACACUUAUAAUGGAACAGUAGAAAAAGUCAAUAACAUGUCAUGUAUAUCCAACUACAAUUAUUGAUUUUACGGUUAUUUUAUAAUUAUAAAAAAAAUACAUAUAAUCUUUUAAAUUUAAUUAAUUUAUGUAUAAAUUAUUUAAGUUUAUUUUAUUUAAAUUAUGUUUCUUUUUACAUCGUUAGUUAUUUAUUUUAAUUUCGACAUCAAUUAUUUUAAUUGAAAGUUUUUUUUUAAUCAUUUUAAAUUCUACCAAAUACUAUAAUAAUAUACUUCUUAUAUUAAUAAUUCAAAAACUGUUCAUCAAAUCUUAGAGAAGAUAUAUAUUUUUGAUUUUCUUGUAAACAAUUUAAACCAACUAUCGUCUUAAAAAUAAAAUAAUAAAUAUUUAUUUAUAUAAUCAAUAUCUUUAAAAAUAAAAUCACUUGCAAAUUCAACUUGUUGCAAUAUAUUCCAAUUAGAUCUUAACACUUAAUGAUAAUAUAUUAAGAAAAAAAUUAAAAUUAAAAACCUACAUCUAUACUUUAAUAUAUUUUAAAGAUUAACAGUACGAACAAAAAAUAUUUUUAUACAAAUUAAAGGAUUAAAAACGUAUUUUAACAUUAUAAACUUAAAGACUCUCUUUAUAAAAAGGAUAUUUAAAAAGCAUUUUUGUUUUCUUCCUUUUAUAGUUCUGCAACGAAUAAUGUAUAAUGUUUGUGGUAAAAUUUAUAAUAGUGAAGAAAAAUAAAAAUAAAAAUAAAAAUGGAAAUAAAAAUUAAGGAGUGGUUGUGUAGUCUCUCUUGCUUGCCUUUGUGAAUAACCUAUAUCUUUGAUUCUCUGUUCGAAAUACAGAAUGAGAAUGAAUUACUGUAAUUUUUUUAUUUUUACUAUGAAAUCAAAUAUAUGCAAGUAUGGUAUGCAUGCGAUUUUUUCUAUAAAUGUAAAAUUAACAAACGAAAAAGUGUUCAUUUUGAAUCAUGGUUUUAGUUUAACAUUUAAUCUUCAUGUUAAUACUAGACAUAAGCACGUCACAAAAAACAAAAAACAAAAAACAUAAAAAUACAUUGUCACUUUUCAUAACUUACACAAAUCAUGCUUUUUCUUAAAGUCAUGCUAACAACAACGUAAAACCUAAAAGUACGUGUGGUAUAUGAUUAUAACUCACAUGAUUCCAAUCAAUAGUAUAAAAAUAUAUUGAGUAUUUUCAAUUUGCUUAUUAUCUAACUAACUCUUUUUGUCCUCCAUUAUGAAUAAAAUGAUAUAGAACAAAAAUUAUGUAAAUAACCAAAAUUAUAUACUCUGAAGCAAUUUUGAUAACAUAACAUUAUAUUUGUCAAAAAAAGAAAAUUAAAACAUUACAAAAAAUAAUAUAUUGGCAACCAAUGCAGUGGUAUAUACUAAUAGCCAAAUUGUUAUCAUAUUAUUCAAUCAAUACACACGUUGGAUAUCUAUUUCAAACUAUGCGCGUUCUUACACUUAUAAAAUCAACAUUUCAAAAGAAAAAAAAAAAGAAAUUUCAAGGAAAUGCACUAAACAUGCAAAAAUGCACCAAAGAAAACAAAAAAUUGUGUUGGUAUAAACCAUGAAGAAAUUCUAUCAUUAAAAGAAAUCCAAAACUAACUCAGGUGAUUGGAAUUCCACAUAGGACAAAGUUGAAAUCAAGGGACUCAUGACAAAAAUAUUUGUGUGUCUCAUCCAUGCUUUAUAGAAGAAAAAAAAAAUACAUUUCAAAUCGAAAGCAAAGUUUACCAAAGUGGUUUUGUGUAGUUGUGAUAGAGAUUGGGGAGUGUGAUUUCGCACGGGUUGUCUCGGAAUUUCGUCAUGAUGGAAAAACUGUGGUUUAUGCACAAUUUGAAUUCCAAUUUAUAGGAGUUAUGUAUGUGAACUUUAAUGCAUAACCAACAUUAAAAUUAUGCACCCAACUUUAAUGCAUAACUAAGAUUGGAGUUAUGUAUGAAUCUAGCUUUAGUGCAAAGCCAUAAUUGCAAUUAUGAAUUCAACUUUAAUGCAGAGCUAACAUUGAAAUUAUACACUUAAUUUUAAUGAAGAGUCAAUAUUGGAAUUAUACACGUGUCAUUAAUGCAGAGCCACUUACAAAUUAAUGUUAAUGGUUUUGAUUAAUUAACAUGCAUUGAAGACGUUUUUUUAAGCACAAAAAGGGAUGUGCAGAAAUGACAUUAUUUGAAAUAGAUUUGGAUUAUGGUUAGAUUGAUGCAUGAGUUAACAUGAUUUAGAUAUUAUAGAUAUGAGAAUUGCAAUUUAGAUAUUAUUUAAUUUUAUCUAUUUUAACUCUUUAAUCAAUAUACUAAGAUGAAUUGUCAAAUAUUAUCUUCUAACACGUAAACUUUAAAUAAAGUGUAAAGAAUUUAAUUUAUAUAUACUAUUAUUAUAAAUUUUUACAAUAUCAAUAAAUUAAAACUCUUAAAUUAUUUUUUAAAUUAUUAAAUCAUUAAAAUAUUUUAUUUUAAUUACAAUUAUUUUAAAAGUCUCACAAAUAAAUAGAUGAAAUAUAUAGAAAGUAUAAAAUUAUGUUGCUCUAUAUAAAACUUUUAGUUAGUUUAAACCUAAUUUAUAAUUGAGACUUAUUCCUUAACUCACUUCCUUCCCUCUGCUUCUUAUCCACUCUUAUAUUUUUUCUUAAAAACUAUUUUUGAAUUGAUGGAAUGAAAAAAUUGAAGUGGAAUAGUAUAGAAUAUUAUUUGAAAAUUUAAAAAAUAAUGGAAUAUGAUGGAUGGUACACAAUUCAUGACUUAUUUUAUCUUUAAAUAUUUGAAUGAAAUUUUCAUUUUAUUUUAUACUAUUUCACUUAAAUUUAUUUUGUUUCAUUCCACUUUACUUCAUUAGUUUUAUAAUCAAUUUCAACAACAUUGUUUUAAGUCGAAAUAAUAAGGUUAUUAGGAUAUAAACAUAAAAUGAAAUACAUAUAUAAUACUGUAUAUUAAAAUACAAACACAAAUACAACAACUACUCCCUCUAUAUUUUAUACAUAUAUUUGUAUUUUAUUUUAUGUUGAAAUAAUAUUACUCAUUGUGUCAAAUUGAAUAUUAUUGUUGUGAGUUUGGGAUGGUAAUUUCUGUGAAGUAAAAAGUAAAACAAAUUUCAUCACAAUUGCUUUCAAAACCCUAAAAAAGCACACAACCUGUUCUUCCUCACUCUCCUUCAAAUUACACUUCUACCUACUUUUUCACUCUCAAUUUCCGUGGCAUCGGAAAUCAUUUCGUUUUCCUUCCGCUCUUGUUGGAUACGGAUACGUUAUUUUGUUUUGUUUUGGCUUUGAAAAUCGUUCCUAAUUCAUUUCUUCAGUUGUCAUUAUUUUCAAUUUCAAUAACUUCGUUCCUAUUGUUUCACGAUUCAUCCAUGUGCUAAUUUUGAUGGAAUAUUAACUUUCUUAACGUGAAUCACUUCCUGCAUUUGUGGUUUCGUCAUGGAGGACACUGAAUCAGUCGAUGAUCAGAACUCAGGAUGGUUCCAAGUCAAAAAGGUUUUUUUUUCUUCUUUUUCCUUUUUCCUUUUUUCAUUUUCAAUUCUGUUGAUACAAUCUGUUGUGAAUUCUUCUUUGUUGUUAUUGCUUUGCCUAUGGAAAAAUGAAGAUUUUUUAUUCACUCUUUUAGUAUCCACUUGUUUGUUUUUAAGCCUAGUAUGUAAUUUGAAUUAUUUCCUUUUGUUAUGGAUUGUUAUACAAGUGUUACUUACACUCUCUAUUUUUGUUAUUUCCAUGUUAUCCAGAAACACAGGAAUGUUUCAAAAUUCUCUUUGCAGAGUUGGAUGGGAGGAUUUUCUGGGAAAAAUUCUUCCAACUCUCAAUGCAAGCAGAAUCCCGUGAUUAAAAAGGAUGGCAAUUCACAUGGCAAGCAGAAAACUCGUCUUUCUACGUCGGGGGAUAAUUUUUUACAGAACCCUGUCAAUGUGAAUAUUGCGAGUUCCCUUUCCGUGUCAAAAGAAGAAGUUGGCACAAGCUAUGUUAAUACAAGUGUGGUUAGAACAGAAACUGAAAUUCAGAAGUCAGAUCCAUUAAUCAGCACAGAUUCUCAAGGUAAACAUGAAGAAGUUAGGAAGUUACACCAUACUGAUAAAACUGACCUAGCCGGGAAAUCAAGAAGGGGUGAUUUGGAGGAGGGGGGAUUGGCACUGCCGCCGCAUGAAAAGUUUGCCGGAGUUGGAAUAAAGUUUGGUAGUAUUGGAGAUGAUAGUUUGCUUAGCUGUAGAAAGCAUGAAAAUGUUCCUGAUCAUGUUGAUUCAUAUCAUGCCCAAGAAAAAGACUCAACUGCAUCUUCUACUGGCGCAGAGACUGUUCUUCAUCAGAACCCUUCGCUGAGAUGUGAGGAUGAAAUAUUUGAAGAGAAUAGUAAAGACGUUAAGAAUAUAUCUUUGGAGCAUUUUAACAAUCAAGAACUGAAUGGGGAGAAGAUUGGUCCAGAAGAUGGUACAUUAUAUAGUGAUAAGAAAAAUGACGAAGACUGCAAAGUAAAUAAAGCAGCAACUGGUAGUGGUAUUAAUAAUGAACUUUUGUCUGCCAAAGAUGUUGUGGUGGCUGCAAACCAAUCGCAUAUGCUUAUCAAGGGGGCAAGUGAUGAUAUCAAAAUUUCAGGAAUGNNNNNNNNNNNNNNNNNNNNNNNNNNNNNNNNNNNNNNNNNNNNNNNNNNNNNNNNNNNNNNNNNNNNNNNNNNNNNNNNNNNNNNNNNNNNNNNNNNNNNNNNNNNNNNNNNNNNNNNNNNNNNNNNNNNNNNNNNNNNNNNNNNNNNNNNNNNNNNNNNNNNNNNNNNNNNNNNNNNNNNNNNNNNNNNNNNNNNNNNNNNNNNNNNNNNNNNNNNNNNNNNNNNNNNNNNNNNNNNNNNNNNNNNNNNNNNNNNNNNNNNNNNNNNNNNNNAGGAAUGCCAGAACAGAAUUGCAGCUUAAGCAAAGAGGUUACUUCCCAGGGUACUGAAUCACAAGUGCCUGAAACUUUCAGUGAUUCUGCUUCUGUCGAAGAGAUAAGGGAUCAACCAGAUGGUGAUAUGGAUAAUGUGUUGUCAGGAUCACAUAAUGCUCUAGAAGAAGGUGAUUCAAAUGAAAGCAAAGAAAGGUUUAGGCAGAGGCUUUGGUGCUUUCUAUUUGAGAAUCUUAAUAGGUCUGUAGAUGAACUGUAUCUUCUUUGUGAACUAGAAUGUGAUUUGGAUCAGAUGAAAGAGGCAAUUCUUGUUCUUGAGGAGUCUGCAUCUGAUUUUAAAGAGCUAAUCACUAGAGUUGAGGAAUUUGAGAAGGUUAAAAAGUCUUCUCAAGUAAUUGAUGGAGUUCCUGUCAUUUUGAAGAGUGAUCAUCGCAGGCCACAUGCUCUCUCAUGGGAGGUAUGCUUGAUCAUAUAUAGUUGCUAUUAGUCUGCUUCGUUCCGUUGUUCAGGUUGAUCUAUUGUGGUUUAAGAUCCCACAAUGUGCCUUUCAUGGAUUUUAUAUAUUGUACUAGACUAUGUGGACCUUGAUAAGGGAAAAAGAAUUUGUUCACUAACAACAAAUUCACCAUUUUUGAAAAGUAAUGUCUCCAUUCUUCCUCUGCACUGAACAAAUGUACGACGACCUGUUCGGUCUUUCAGUUCUCAGAAAGGAUGAACUCUAAAGAUGAUUAACUUAUUACUUUUGAACGUGAGGGCCGAUCUGAGUGUCAUGUGCAUGCACAUUUAAUAAUCAUUUGUAUGAUUAGACUAUGCACAGCUUCUUUUCUCUUAUGGGCUUUGUUUCUUUGUUUGCAUAUGAUAUAGUUGAUACGGAAGUUUACUCCCUUUUGACCUAUGUGGUACAUUUCAGAGGGAUAGGUUUUUCUGCGUGAAUAUGCCCCAUCUUGAUAUGUAUCUGCAAUUCUGCAUAAACAUCUAUCCGUGUAUGCAAGCGAAUAUAUAUUUGGAGUCUCUCUCUCUCUCUCUCUCUCUCUCUCUCUCUCACUAUGUUAUAUGACUGGGUAUGGAUAUGUUAGGAUCAAAUCAUAUGUAAACUGAUUAAUUUAACAAUUCGAACAAGUCCUUAUGGUCUCACCCACCUCUGGGUAUUAUUUGUUUAUUUUAUUUUAUUUUAUUAACUUAUGCAUGGUAUGUGUCAUUCCAACUUGAUUCACUAUACUAUUUGUGCUAUUAUAAAUAUUGUUGUAAUUUAGACUAACAAUCAUUAGUUCAUGUUCUUGUCAUGGACUGCGACAGAAAAAGAUAAGUGAAUACAACUGCAAUGACUUGUGUUCCUGCUUAAUUUAUGGUUUCCAGUAUACCGUUUCCUUUGACAUCACAUAUGAGAUUAUGUGUAUUGCCUAUUAGAAAUCUGCACAAUGACUUUCUUAAGCUAAAUAUUUUCAGUUGCUCUGGUUCUAGGUCCGAAGAAUGACAACUUCACCGCAUAGGGCAGAUAUACUAUCUUCAUCUCUUGAGGCUUUUAGGAAGAUUCAACAAGAGCGAGCUAGCAUGCAAUCAAGUAAUAAAACAGAAAAUUCCAUGUCUAAAUGUUUUGCUUCUGAAUCUGUGAGCAAUAUGAAAGCAUCUAGGGUCAGUGAUGGAACACACAAUGCCAACGAUCCAAUAGCAAUGUCAAGAAAUCAUAUUGCAUCUUCUGAUGCUAACCAAGUCAAUCUGAAUGGAAAAGAAUAUAAUAUCGAAGGGGAAAAAUCCUGUGAAGAAAUCACGAUUCAAAGUGGAUGCGACACACCAGGAAGCAUAUUAACCUCAGAAGUUAAUUUAUCAAAAUUAUCCAAGGGUAAAAGAGUUCACCUUGGAUCUGGAGCUGACAAGCUGCAUUCGAAGAAAGAUAGAGCACCAACCGAAAUUAUUAAUGAGAAGAACCCUAGAUCCGCCGAUAACCUUCGGAGGCAAAUGCCGUUGUCUGAAAAGGACAAGGAAAAGAGGAGUACUGCACCGGGAAAGUCCUUGAAUGCUUGGAAGGAGAAGAGGAACUGGGAGGACAUACUUUCAUCUCCAUUUCGUGUUUCUUCCCGCAUGUCACAUUCACCUAGUCUUAGCAGGAAAAGUGCUGAGCGUGUACGUACGCUGCAUGAUAAACUAAUGUCUCCUGAAAAAAAGAAGAAAACAACUUCUGACUUAAAAAAGGAAGCCGAAGAAAAGCAUGCUCGGGCUAUGAGAAUCAGAAGUGAGUUAGAGAAUGAAAGAGUCCAAAAGCUUCAACGUACGUCUCAAAAAUUAAAUCGUGUCACUGAGUGGCAUGCUGUUCGUCAUAUGAAGUUACGAGAGGGCAUGUAUGCCCGCCAUCAAAGGAGUGAAUCUCGUCAUGAAGCUUUUCUAGCUCAAGUGGCAAAGAGGGCUGGUGAUGAAAGUAGCAAGGUAAAUGAGAUUCGGUUUAUUACUUCCUUAAAUGAAGAAAAUAAAAAAUUGAUAUUGCGUCAAAAACUUCACGAGUCAGAGUUGAGAAGAGCUGAAAAGCUCCAGGUGAUAAAAUCUAAACAAAAGGAAGAUCUGGCAAGGGAAGAAGCUGUUCUGGAACGCCGGAAACUCAUUGAGGCUGAAAAGUUACAGCGUCUUGCUGAGAUACAACGGAAAAAGGAGGAGGCUCAAGUCAGAAGGGAAGAAGAAAGAAAAGCAUCAAGUGCAGCACGGGAGGCAAGGGCAAUUGAGCAGCUUCGAAGAAAGGAAGAAAGAGCCAAAGCACAACAAGAAGAGGCUGAACUUUUGGCACAAAAAUUGGCAGAAAGACUUAAUGAGAGUGAACAACGUCGCAAGAUUUACCUGGAGCAAAUUCGGGAGAGAGCAAAUUUGAGGGACCAGUCGUCUCCUUUACCACGUCGAUCAUUAAAUAAGGAGGGCCAAGGUAGAUCUAUACCGACUAACAGCAGCGAUGAUUCUCAAACAAACAUUGCCUCUGGAAUAGGUUCUAGUCUUGGAAUUGGCAAUAUCGCAUCACAACCCUCAAUAAAGAGAAGAAUUAAGAGAAUUCGACAAAAGCUAAUGGCUUUGAAGUAUGAGUUUGUUGAGCCCCCUCUUGGAUAUAGAGUAGCAGUGGGUGCUGCCAGGGCAAAAGUUGGCCGGUGGCUUCAAGAACUUCAAAGACUUCGGCAAGCAAGAAAAGAAGGGGCCACAAGUAUAGUGCUAAUAAUUUCUGAAAUGAUUAAGGUAUUAUUUUUUCAUUCAUUGGAAAUUAUAUCUCUCUCCUUAUCUCUGUACCUGAAAGUUCUAAAUUGUUAACAGUUGAGAACUUGAGUCAGGUUGUGUUUGUGCAUUGAAUUUUCGUCUCUGCACUUUGAAUUAGGAAUCUUGUGUAAAUUCAUGUAGCACUUCUUGGAGAGAUCUUAUUUAGAUGGUGAAUAACUAUUUGUCUGGAAAAACUACAAAUUUUUGUUUUUGUGUUAGUUUCUGGUUAUUCCUGAGUUUUGCUAUGGAUUUUUCUCCUUGAAACUUGAAUAUGUCUUUGUGUUGUUUAGUAAGAAUUUAUAGAUCAAUAAAUUAUUUGGACAACUGUCCCACCAACUCCUUGUUUCUGACUACUAGAUUCCAAUUUCGUAGGACAUAUCUACAGUUUAAAUGUGCACGUUGCCUCUUCAUACUGUGGAAUUUAGAGAUUAUAAUAUUUUUUAAUUGCUAUAGUUAAUUAUAACAUGUCAGUUAUAUUGAUUACUAUUUCUAGUAUUUGGAGGGAAAGGAUCCUGAGUUGCAAGCAUCUCGACAAGCUGGACUACUUGAUUUUAUUGCUUCUGCCCUGCCCGCUUCGCACACAUCAAAACCUGAAGCAUGCCAAGUUACAUUGCAUCUGUUAAAACUUCUGAGAGUUGUACUAUCUGCACCUGCAAAUAGGAGUUAUUUCAUUGCACAGAAUCUUCUGCCCCCAAUCAUCCCGAUGCUUUCAGCAGCUCUUGAGAAUUACAUAAAGAUUGUAGCAUCUUUAAGUAUUCCUGGCAACAUCAGUCUGCCCUCAACUAAAGCAUCAGCAGAGAACUUUGAAUCAAUUUCUGAAAUAUUAAAUAAUUUUUUGUGGACUGUCACUGCUAUUUUUGGCCAUAUUAGCUCAGAAGCAAGACAACUUCAAAUGCGUGAUGGCUUGCUGGAGUUAUUGAUUUCAUAUCAAGUGAUUCACCGGUUGAGAGAUCUUUUUGCACUUCAUGAUAGGCCUCAGAUGGAAGGGUCAGCAUUUCCUGCCCCUAUUCUCUUUAGCAUACAUCUUUUGAUGGUUUUGACUUUCAGACCUGGUAAGUUGAGUUAUAUUGACUGGGAAUCUUCUCCAAUGGCAACGAAGCAGGAAAUUGGCAAUGAAGGGGUUAAGUUUGCAAAUUCUGUACUCUCUGUAGUGAAGAAUUCCUGGGGAGAUUUCAAUCACUUAUCGGUGAUCAAUAGCGGCUCAGUUAUGCAAUUGCCUGAUGUCCCCGAGGACAGACCACUGAAUGAAAUAAGUAAAGUGAAGAGGAAUGAUGAAUCGAUUGCUAUUGGCAAAGGCUGUGAAUUGGAGCAUGAUUGUUCUGUUACAUUGAAAAGCAAUGAUAUGGAGAAGAUCAUUAAUCCAGAUGAAUCCAAGAAAAACCAGAAUGAGGAUAUUACUACUUCUGUUGUUCCCCUGAGAGAUGAAAAACAUACAGCACAGAAAAAUGAAAAAGAAUCAAUUUUGGCUCAGCCAGUGGUAUUCCUUCUUUCAGCUGUGUCUGAAACAGGACUUGUCAGUCUGCCUUCUCUUUUGACUGCUGUUCUCCUGCAGGCAAACAAUAGAUCAUCCUCUGAACAAGUAAGUUUUCUUCUGUAACGUGUAAAAUGAUUUAUCAUUUACAACAAUAAUAAUAAUUUAUGUUGAAGUCGUUAUUAUGAAAACUCAUUAUAUUUCUGAUAUUUCCAUUAUUCCACAUUUUAUUUUUCAUUUUCUAUUGCAUCUUUGUGAAUAUUGUUGACUAAACAUUUUGGUGCUAAAUAUUCUAGGUGAUGUGGAUCUAUUAUGAAGCAUUUCCAGUCAUUUAUUUGGGAAUUACUCUCUCCUUCCCAAAAUAAUUAUCGCAUUUGAUCAUUUCACACAGAUUAAGAAAAUAUGAUAAAUGAAAGAGAAAGAAGAAUAAUUUUAUCAAACUAUUCUUAUAAACUAUUGAUUCAUUCUAAUUAUUAUAAAUGUAAAGUGAAGGGAUAAUAAAUUGAGAGUGAUGCAUAUGGUAUUACUUAGAGAGUAUGAUUGGUAAAAAGAAAUUAAAGUUGCAUUGGAAACAAAAAACGACAAUUAUUUUGGGACAAUUUUUUCUUGCAAAUGCAACAAUUAUUAAGGGACGGAGGGAGUAGGAUGUAAUAUGGAGUUUCUAUUGAAUUUCAACUUUAGUGGAUCUUGAGCCUUUUUUGAAGAGGGAAAAGUAAUAAAUAGCAUUUUGAGUCUUGGACAAUGUCACGACCCAAAAACCGACACUGUGACUGGCGCAAAGACUAAUACUCCUAAUUUGACAAGCCUAUUGACCAACUUAGCAAUUCAACAAUAAAAUAGUUCUAAAUAUCUCUAUACUUCCAAAAAAUAAUAUUUCUCAAAAUUUCAACGGUAUUCUCUGUAAUUUCAACGUUUCCAAAUAUAAAAAUCCUGUUUCGAACCUUUAAUCCAGUCAAUAUUUCGAAAGAGUAAAUCUAAAGGUUUAAUACAUUCUAAAAUGACUUUCUAGACUUAAAAUAGCUGCAGAAUACUCCAUGACUCAACAGAUACAUAACAAAACGGCCGCCGAUCAAGGAGGUCUACCAAAAAAUGUGACCGAGACCUGAAUCUACUAACAACUUACUACUCAGUUGCCUGUGAAUCUGAAAAAAAAUAAACAACAUGAAGGGGUAAGUCACAAAGACUUAGUGAGGAGACAACAACCCCUACAAACUAGAAGGGAAACACAAAAAGACACGAUUAAUCAUUUUACAAUCUUGUGGCAAUUAUAUUUAACAAUACUACUACCUUAAAUAUAGAUAAUUCUCAAUAAAGUAUACACAUGAUAAUUGAGUAUAAUAUUUUGUUAAGCAGCUACUGUUUGCUGACAGUCCCUGAUUUGUUGUUUGUCCUUAGCUUCUGGUCUCCUCUAUUUUAUUUUUAUACUUUUGUUAUGAUGACACUUAAAGAUUUGCAGUUCCCUGUGUAUUCGUAGUUGGGCAAGUUGAACAUGUAGUAUGUUUUGCUUUUAAGUUGAGGCUGUCUUUAGCCUGAGAACUGAUAUGUUAAAAAUUGAUCUGGCUGCAAAUAUUUGAUACUUUUAAGUUCUUUGUUUAAAUCAUGGUUGAAAUUCUUACUACUUUUUGACUAUCUGGUCAUUAGCAUUUAGCCUGUAGUAUUUAGUUUUUAGGUUAUGUUGUUUUGAACUUCCUUGCCUUCAGAAUCUGAUUUUCCUCAAUUAUCUUGGUCCCUGGAAAUGGAUUAUUGGGGCUAGUGAUAUAUUGAUUGCAUUGUGAACAUAACCUCUGAAUAAUUUCCCGAUAUCAAGUGUUGUUACUAAGCAAAUAUAUUUUCUUUUCUUUUGACAAUUUGGCCAUUUACUAGUUGUUUACAUGUCCAAUUUUUCCUUCAAUUGUAUUGUUCAAUACAUCAUAAAGGAAAAAUACAUGGUUUUCUCCUAGUGUUUCCUGAUUGUUAUAAUAUUAGAAAAUAUCUUAUAAGAUCUUUUAUAUUAUAUUAGAGUAUCUUAAGUUAUUUCUUACGAUCAAUUUAUAAUUAUAGAGAUAUUUUAGAAUAUCUCUCAUUAUUAUUGUGAUUUAUUCCUGAUUUAUGAUUGAGUCUAUGUUUCUCUAUAAAUAGAGAUUAUUAUUGAGUCUUUUGUAAUCAAGUUAGCAUAAAGCUAUUAUUAAUAAUAUUUAAACCCUUAUUAUUUUUUCUCCUCCAUUUCUCUAAAAUCCCACAACUUCAACACUGGUAAUAAUUUCAUUUUCUUCUAGACAUCCUUUAUCCUGCCAUCUAAUUUUGAAGAGGUGGCAACUGGAGUAUUGAAGGUGUUGAAUAACGUGGCUCUACUGGAUCUUGCAUUUUUGCAGCGAAUGCUGGUAAGUUGACUGAUUCAACUUACAAUAAUAAUGAUAAUCAAUAUUUAAAGCAGCUAAAUGCUAAGCUAAAGAAGGCUUAGAUUAUGUUAUUCUCUCCCCUGGUGCUGCUGGUUCUUGCUGACAUUUCCCUAUGUUCCUUUUCCUGUUUUGCUCAUAGGCUAUGCCAGAUCUGAAAAUGGAAAUUUUCCAUUUGAUGAGCUUCCUUCUUUCCCAUUGUGCCACCAGGUGGAAAGCUCCUAAUGAUCAGGUAAAUCACCGACGAAAAUCAUUAGUACUUUUUAUUGAUGAAAGACUUGACUUAACUUGGCCUUCGUAACCCUGGCUUGCCUAACUCUAGAACCUUAUAAAAUGAAAUUUCUUCAAUCGAGUAUUUAGUGUUGGUGGAUGGUAAACAUAGGCAGGGUUACUUAUUUUGUAGUCAUGGUGUUCCACGAGGCUCCCCAAACUAAAAUGGUAAAUCAUACUGAACUCUAGAGAGUUGAUAAUAUUAAAUCAAUAACCUCUAUUUUCUGAAAUUACAGCCACCUCCUUUGCUUAAAAGUUUCACAGAUUAACACCUUACAUUAAUCUUCAUGCUGUGUAUUAGUAUUUAGAUGUCUUCAGUUAAUGUGUCAUGGGAGCACAUAACUACAGUUACUUUAAUGCCACAAUCUGCAUUGAUACUCAGGUUGGUUCACUUAUGCUUGAAUCACUAUCACUUCUUGGUCACUUUGCAUUAUUUCAUCCUGGAAAUCAAGCUGUCCUUCGAUGGGCAAAGAGUCCCACUCCCACCAUCCUCCACAAGGUCAACAUUUAAGAAGAUUUGUUUUUUUGUUUUUUUUUAAUCAAUUUUUGUUUUAGAUAAUCUAAUGUUCAGUUGUAAGAAGACAGGUAUGCGAUCUGCCAUUUGUUUUCUUCAGUGACCCAGAGUUGAUGCCAAUCUUGGCUGGCACAUUAGUUGCUGCAUGCUAUGGGUGCGAGCAGAACAAGUUCAUGGUUCAGCAAGAACUAAGUGUUGACAUGCUACUUUCCUUGCUAAGAUCUUGCAGAAAUGCUGCACCUACCACUCAGCUUAAUUUUAACUUAGACAAUUGCCCAAUAGAUGAAUCUAGUGGGAGUAACCAACCAGGUACUGAAUUUAGAAAACCACAGGUGGACGUUCCCAUGAAACACGGCCGUUCCAAUGGCAAAGGAACCAGGGCUUCCUUGGGAAAGAGGGGUACUUUGGGAAAUGGAGAAGCCUGCGGGACAGCAAGGCAACUAAGAAUUCGGACGAAGCAGUUCUUAAGUACAAACAACUUAGUUCAGAGACGUCACAUUCAAUGUUGCACUGUAGAUUUCCUCACAGUUUUCUUGACCGAGUAGAGCAGUUCUUUUCAGCUGAUAUUGCCAACGGGGUUGAUGAAGUCUGAUUAAGCUAUGUGAACUCAUUUUUGACUAUCCAAUGAUCUUCAAGCAUGCCUAUACUGCAAAUGAACAUACAAAAAGCUGAAAAGGCUCUUACAACAUAAAACUAUCCGAGUAAUAUAUACCACACAGUAAGGGUUUAACAUUUUUGUAAUAUAUAUGUAAAUAUUAAUGGAAAAGUGGCCGGUUAACUAAUCAUAACAAAGUGGUAUGGAGUUGUCAUAACUCUAGGUACCAAUUUCACAUAUGGGCUUCAAUCUUUAUACGGUGGUGAAUGAUCAAUCUUUACACGGUAAAUUCACAAUUUAUUUUUCUAGAUUCAUUAGUUGAUAUAAAACAAUUGCAAUAUUGUAGUCUUUUUUUUUUUUUUUAAUGAGAAAAUAUUGUAGUUUUUUACGGCAUAGCUAGAUUGCUUGUUUGCAAGUGACUAGAUUUAUUUAUUCACUAGAUACCUUAAUUUUAAUUGAUUUAUUGUAUAAGAAACAAAUUAAUCAUCAUUUAGUUAAUGAAUCAAGUCUUCUAUUCCUUCACUUCCAUUUUGCAUAUUAUCUCCAUGUUCUGUAUACCCUGCAGUAGUAGCAGGAUAUCAAAAGGUGAAGGGUUGGCAAACAUUUCCGUUUUGAUAAAAAAUAAUAAUAUAUGUAUUCUAUCUCUGUAGUUGAUCCUCUUAGAAUAGAGAAUCCUAUUCUUUUAUUUUUUGUUAUUUUUAUUCAUUUUUUGUAGUAUCAAUUCAAGUGAUGUACUGUUUUUUUAUUAGUUUCAAGAGCAAAAUCGCGAAGCAAAUGCUUCAUUUUCGUAGGCAUGAUACUGCUUGUGACAUACUGAGAAUGUCACUUGACUUGAUUAUGUGUAACUCAAUUCACGUGUCCCACUCAUAUCUGGAUUAUUACUACUAACGUAUUCACUUUGAGAGUGACACAUUAUAUGAUCUUUAUUUUUCUUCUCAAGAUUAUGUACAUAUACAGUGCAUAAUUCAUAUACUUGUCAGCGUGCAAAGUUGUGGCACUUGUUAAAUUCUUGUUAAUGCAAAAUUAGUAAAUAGUAACUGUUAGUUAGAUACUUGUUAAUGCAAAAUCUGUUGGUGAUAUCAUAGGAAUUACCCUUAUCCGGAUAAUUAAAGGAAAAACUCUAUAUCAGUAAAGACUAAUAAUACAUUACAUUAAGAUCAUAUCAUUCACCAAAUCUCAAGGACACCCGAAGAAACAGUUAAAAUCACAGGAAAUAACACUAACAAUCCAAACUUAAACAAAUCCAAGCAACAAACGGAUGCAAUUUCAGAAAGGUCAAAGCUUAGAACCAAAGUAUCUUCUUUCAGAACGACUUCAGUUCUUCCUUCUUGUCUCAUCCACAAUUUUCAAUAUAUACAAUAACACAGAUAAUAUAGGGUUGACAGUUUUCAGUAACACUCAACAAACUGUGCUCACUUCUGCGGGUGUGGCCUCUCUAGGAGAAUCAAGAGAUAUGACAGUUUCAAAUGCACCAACUAGAGCCUUGACCUUGCUCUUCCUUAGUUCAGCAAGCAUGCUUGCUGUCUCUUCAAUCACAUUAUUAUACAAACGUGGAUUUUGUUUCUUCCCUUCCACUUUUUGAUGCCUCAAAACAACUUUCUCUGAUCCUGAUUUUGAACCACCUACCUUGCUUCUAUCUACACCAACUUUUCUCCCAAAACUUCUGUUUUUACCUCUUUCCAAAGUUUGGUAUUUGAGAUCAACUUUAUCAGUUUUGGUAUGUGCAUCAUUUAGCUCACCACCAUCAACUUCUUUAUUGGUAAUGGUCCUUUUUCUUGUGCUAUAUACAUCUCUCUUGAUGUCGUCACCGAGCAGGCGUACUGGUCUAAAUUUGAGUCUCCUUGGAAUGUUGUUGCUUUGAGGCUGAAUUUCAAUCACCUUUCCUCUCCUAAAAGUUAAUUUCCUAGGUGGAGUAACUUUACUUGCCGCCCCAACUAUUUUGGUCAUCUUUGGCCUGAUUUUGUACCCUACCUUCACAUUUUCACCCUGAUUACCAUGUCCUGCUCUAUUGGGCUUGUAAGUAGUAGUACCGUUUUGUUUUCUGAGAGAAAAGUUAGAUGAGGAAACAGAUGAUAACGCUGAUGAUGAUCGUGAAACACUACGCGCUUUAUGCUGUAUGUUUGUCUUGAAUUUUUUCCCUGAAGAUUGACGAGAGAGUGUCACAGAUACAGUUCCAUUUCCAGCAUGUCUAAGACCCUUCCUUGAAGAUGCAGUAGACACACCAGACUUGCCAAUCCUCUUCAAACUUUUGUCCCCUGAUGAUGAUGAUGAUGAUGAUGGUGAAGGUGAAGGUGGCUUAGUUGCAUCACAAGCAAAAGUAGAUUCUUCAGGUAAAUUUUCUGAGGCAGGUUCAAUGACAUGCAAAAUUUUGUCUGGUAAAUUGUCAUUGUUGGCUGGUUCAGGUAUUACUUCUUCACCUUUGUCGUGAUUUUUCAGAGAAGACACUCUUAUCAAGCUUUUGGCAGUAUCACUUGAGCUUGAAAUUUUCUUGGCAUUUUGUUUUGAUGACAAGAGAAAACUUGGUGCUAAUGAUUUAUCAAUGCCUCCACAAGAAGAUGUUCUUUUCAGGUUGCUUGUGCUUGAAGUUUCUUUUCUACUGCUUGAUCCAAAAGCACAUUUGUUUUUUACUAAUUCCCAUUUUGUUUGACUUUUGGAACGUUCCUUCACAUGUAGAGAUAGAGAAGAUGGCUUAGAACUUGAUUUCCCUGUGUCACUUUUAUUAUAUUCCAUGGAGACAUCUGUUUCUUCAAAAGGCCGUGAGUUUUUCUCUGAAGUGGCUGUUUUUUCUCCUGAAUCAUUGAUUUUUCUUUCUCUCCUUUUCUGUGUUGUGAUCCAUGGUUUUACUUCAGUGGCAUGUUGAAUACCAAAUUUGCAUAAAUCAUGGCAGGAAUUCCUACGUUCACGAAGAUAACGCGAAAGAAUCUUAGGCGGACCUUUUGUGAUGACUAAUCCUUCAUUAGGAUUUGCUUUCUUAUCAACAUCUUCAGGCUCAAUUUUGUCUGACUCCAUCUGGUUAACACUAAUUUCCUCGGCCAUCAAUGAUCAAGGAUGAAGCAACAGUUUGAAAGACCCCUGCAAGAGAUAAGAAUCCUUUCAGAUAUAUAAAGCAAGGUGGAGGGAAAAGAGUAAUGCAAGUUAAAAUAACAUGAGGUGUUUUACAGCUUUUUUUGGGAAUCUAGAAUUCAUUAGAAUGGUGCAAAAAUUCUAAUUUCAAAACAUGAGUUAGAGAUGUGGUAACACUAUUUGUUUAGUGACAUGAGUGUGCUUGAAUUUCGGUUUGAAAUGACUCUAACAUUUGAGUCAAUCCAUCUCUCUUGAUGGAUUGACUCACAUGUAUGUCUGAACCUUCUAAACUGAAAUCCAAACAUGCACAAUAAUGUUUCAAAUAUGAGAAUUAAAAAUUAGAUCAUGGUCCAAAUUUCAUGUCUAAUCUCGCAUAAAAAUUGGAUCCUUUCAUUAAGCACCACUAGGAACUUAAUAAUGAAAACCACAGGAAAAAGACUUGCAUGAAGGGAUACUAGCCAGGUAACAUGUAGAAUGAAUGGAUAUGAUUAAAAUCUUUGCAUUACAACUAACUAUACACAUACAUUUUGUAGCACGUAAACAGACUGAAAAGUGUGUAAUAAUAAUUUUCUAUCAACAUAUAUUUUAUAUAAACUCUUUAGUAUCUUGGUCUAAUAAAUUACCAGAUGUUAGUAAAAUUUGUGUGGUAUUGAGAUUGAAUGGAUUUAUGAAACGACAUAUUAAAUUGACAACUUUAAUUAGGGCUUUCACCAAUAUUACCACAUAGACAAUAACCUUAAACAUGGUACAUCUAUUAGAAAAGAAUAGAACAUAUAAUUAUGUGUUUUGCUAUAAUUUUGGUGCACCUUAAAGAAAAAAUCAAACAGGGCAUAAUGAGACUUAAAAAAAGUUGUAUAAUAAAAUAAUGGAAAAAGCAGAUCCAUACAUCACGAACUUAUUCAGAUUAAUUUCAGACAAAAAACUCAUCAUAACAACAGAACAUUACAGAAAAAAAUAAAUCUAUUGACUACAGAGACCCAUUAAAGGUAUGAUCUGAGGAGAUGAGAGAAUAAUCCCUUGAAAGUUGAAACGAUCCUAUGCAGACAUUCAAGAUCAUGAUCAUCAUGACACAUCAUCCUUAAUAAAAAGAAAUAAGAUCCUCCUAUAUAUGAUGUUUAAUUAGAAGUGAAUUGAAAAUGCAUGCAUGCAUGAGCAUGAAGAUUGAAUUAGAGUAAUGAAUAUAUAGAUACCUUGUUUUGUUAUUUGUUGUUAAAAGGAAAGAAAGAAGGGUGGAAGAUGGAAUAGUUGUGGAUGAAAACUCAAAAGGGUUGAGAGUUGAGGUGGUAACUAGCUAGCUAGCGUUUCAAAAUGAAGAAAACAGCUAAGCAAUGAAUGCGCGUUUGUUGAGAAAAAAGUAAUAACCUUCCAGAGAGAGAGAGAGAGAGAGAGAAAGAAAGAGAUGGUGAUGAAGAUGGAAUAACAGUCUGUCUGUCUAUCUGUUACCAUGCAAAAUAUGAUAAUUACAAUGGACCGGAGGAAGAUGGCACGUCAACAUAUCCUUUUUCUUUUCUUUUCUUUUCCUAUCUCCUUUUUUACAACCUGUUUUUUAUAUCUCUCUCUCUCUAUAUAUAUAUAUGUGCAUUACAUUGCAUAUUCUAAUGUAAAAUAAACAUUAUUCUUACAUAAUUUUAUGUUCUAACGUCGUUUUGAAAAUAUAUGAUUGUAAAAUGCUAAAUUUCACUAAAUAUAACUAUAAAACUAAUUUAUAAUAAAAACUCCAAAGAUUAGGAUGUACAGCCACCUCCUUUCAUCGUCUUUUAUUUUGUAUUUUUCUUCUUUUCUUUUUUUAAGAUGGUUUGCUUUCAAGUCAAUUUUUGAUUCGAAAUUACUUAAGUAAAUCAUUUUUUUGUCUCUUUUAUUUACAUAAAUUAUUUUUAUAUAUUUAUUUAAUUUUUUUUCCGUAUUUUUUUAUGAUUUCUUCAAUUUAGUACGAUGUUGUUAUUGUUCGUCGUCUCAUUUUGAUGCAGUGUUGUUUUGAUUUCUCGUCUUGUUAUUGUAUUUAUUUGAUUUAAAUUGACGUAUCAAUUUCAACCCAUUGUAAAUUCAAUAAUAACUUUGGUGUUUUUAAAUUUGUCAUAUUUAUAAGCAUUUUUCGUUUUAUACCGUUAGUUCGAGAUAGUGAAGAUGUUCACAACUUCAUUCUUUUCAAUUUUAGCGACGUGGAAUUGUAUUGUUAAUGUAAUUUAUAUCAAUUUUAAUGAAUGAUUGUUAUUUUAUAGAAAGAAAAAAUCUAAAUUAUAUUGACAACAUAUGUUCCUUUUCUCUAGUAUUUAUAAAUUGAAAAAUUAAAUAUCAGAAGAUAUAAAAAUUGAUAUAUUUAAUCUAAAUUUAAAAUAUAUAUGUCAAAUUUUCAAAUAUAUUUUUUCCUCUUAUACGAGAUUGUAUGGGACUAUAUCUUCCACCACAUUUACUUUCUCCAAUUUUAUCAUCGUCUUCCUUUUAUUUAUUCAUUUUUCAAGUUAUUGACAUUUUAUUAUAUCAAAUCAAACCAAAACUCAGCAGAUAUUAUUCACUUGGUUGGACAAAUUGAUUUUGUGAAAGAAAGCUCAAUUCCUGUAGGACACAUGCAUUUUUAAAGUCAAAUAGCCUAAUAAUGUAACCAAAAUUAGGUUUUGCCAUUAUUUGACUUGAGAUUGAAGAAAACAGUUUUCUUCUCGUAUAUUAAUUAAAAUUAAAGAGUUCACUUUUAUUUUUUGAAUUCACCAAAUUCAAACUAUUCAUUGAUCAUCGACUCAUUUCGAUUCAUUUUUGUAGCUAAAGUUAGCUUUAGAUAUUGAGCUUCAUGUUAUGAUAGACCGUCAUUAUGUUUUGAACAGAUAAUUUAAUGUAAUGGUCUUAAAUAAUUUAAAAAAGUUUUGCGUGAUCCUAUUAUUGACCGCAAUAGUAUGUAAGAAUAAAUAGAUUAUGGUAUGAACGCGUAAUUUAAUGUAAUGGGCUUAAAUAAUUUAAGAAAACAGGGACUAUGCACAGUUCAUAUGUAGUUGUAUAUCGGAGUAAAGUUGUUUCCACCGAUAAUAUAUACUGUUAAACUUAUAAUCUAAAAUAGAAUUUCCUGCUCAACUAUAGUUAUCGAGAUUGAACGGUUUAGAUUUUAAUUUACAGUAUUUAUGAUUAAUAGAACAGCAAGUUCCAGUUAUAUUAUUUUUUAUUAAUAUACAUUGAUCACUUCAAUUAUUUUUUUGGAAUAAGAGCACUUAAAUUCCAUCUCCUACAUUAGAGGAUAUAGAAAAAAAUUCACUCCCAAGAAACAACCAGGAUAUGCAGUAGACUUAUUUUUUCUAUCCUUCAGUCACUAUACUCAAAUGAUCAUAUAUAUAUAUAUAUGAAGACAUUUACAAAUCAUCCUACACUUCAUAAAAAUCUGAUCCAAUAUCAAUUAACAUAGUCUUAGAAUUAGUUAUAUACUCAACUAAAAAUAAUAAACCGGGGAUUAGUGAUUCGAAAUCUUCGUCCCCUUCGCUUUUUACAUGUCUUUCCCCAACUUAUUAAGCCCUUUUUAGUGAUACUAGUUAGCUGUUUCAAGUUCAACAAGUCUGUGUCUGUAGUGUUAGAAGUUGUUGAAGUACAAGAUCUUCUUCUCCCCCUACUUAGUACUUUUCUACUUGCAUUUCUUUGAGAACUUGUCUCUGAAUGAGUUACAAGGCUUUCAAUAGUUUGAAGAUCCUCAGCCACCUCGUACCUUGACAAAGAAGCAAGGCUUGGGAGGAUUUCACUCUGAAAAUCCUUUCGCCACCUUCCCUUAUUUGUCCGGGCACGCUUCUUUGGUUGAGUUGGUGAAGCUGAUCCACUAAUUUGCUUGGUUUGGCUUAUACUCUUGCAGCAGCAAUCUAGGUCCUUUGUCUCGGUUAAAUUUAAGGUCAUGAACUCAAAGUAAUCCAUUUCGCCAAAAAGAAACUCCUCGAGAUCAUUUACCUUACCUUUGAAAUCUGUCUUGUUAUCGUUCUCUGGAUUAUCCACUGUUGUGGAAACAAUUCCAGCAAACCAGUGUAGAGGACUAUUCAUGAAAGAUUCAGACGAUGAACAAGUUGUCAUUUGGAUAUCUUUCUGGGACACAAAUCCUGAUAUGGAAACCAAAGCCUCUGCUGCAAUUCUGGUUUGCUCUUGUUCUGCAAAUUGAAAGGGUGUCACGAGCUGGUUUUCAUCGGAUUCUCCUCUAGGUGGAGAGCAUUCCUUGUUCUCUGGACUCGCGGGUGCAUGAAAAUCAACAUCAAUUGGCAUAUUCUCAUCCUCAAUCAUGCUUGAAUUUAGGUCAAUAAUAUCUGCCAAAUGUUCAUGCUUCUUCUCAUUUUUAAUCAAAUGCUCACUGGAGGGAAUCUGUUCCCUUAAGUCAGACACAUCAAUACAAGGUGACUUUACAUCAGAAAUGAAGCCUUUUUCAAUUUCUUCAAUCCUUUGAUUUUCGGGUUGGUUUUGGAAAAAAGAAUGCAGAUUGGAUGACAUGUGCGGCUUUCCGUUGCUCUGAAGUGCAAGAGUCUUCUCUGUACCCAAGUUACUUUCCUCAAUCUUCCUUAAUUUCAAACCAUGUAUAACUCCUUUAUUAUUAGGAUUUAAAACAACAGAUUCAAUUUGUGUUGAGAUUUUACUUUCUUCACUGAGUUUUCCUUUGACUGCAGGUAAUUCUUUAAGGCAAGGUAACUCCAUUGCCCCAACCAAACCAUUACUUGUCAGAGAUUGAGUUCGUGCAAAGCUCUCACUGCCAAAAAAUUUUCUCUCUGUACAAAGUCUUUGGUCAAUUUGAUGAGAUGAAUGAAAAAAUGGAAGGUCAUCAAAUUGAUUCAUAUUCUUUCUUAAUGAAUCAACUGUAACAUAUUGCUUUUCUGUAUGAAUACUUUUAGCAAAAGAAUCCAACAAACCACCACAUAGCUCUGAAAAGUAAAUGAUAAAUUGUAACACCCAAGUUAUAACCAUGUAUAUGAACUGAGAAUGCUUAGCAGUUGACAAAUCUGAAAAUAAAGAGUAUGUAUAAUAAUAUUAAUAACUUUAAUACUAUUACCUGAGGGUUUCCAUUCACAUUUCUUCCCAUUGUUUGGAAGUUUGUUAUGUGAGCAUCCUUCAAGAUCAAGUCUUUUGUUGAUGGCAUCAUUGUGCAAAUUUUGAGAUCCAAAUUUUGUUCUCAUUGACAGAUCAUUACAACAAUUGUUCAUAUGAUGUGUAGGGGCUUCGAUAUCAUAAGACUUAGCAGUUGUCUCUACUUCAGGGUUAAAUGGUACAUUUAAGUCAAGCUUAUAUGGUACACUUAAGUUGGAAAAACCCCUAGAAUGAUUUCCGUGUGUUUUGUCAUGACUGUUGUACAAAACCCGAGAAACUCCAUUUAAAGAAUAAGCUGAAUUCCGGGGAACUCUAGUAACCCUUUCACUAUCUUCACCUUCAUCACUAUCAAUGUACUCAUCAGCAGNNNNNNNNNNNNNNNNNNNNNNNNNNNNNNNNNNNNNNNNNNNNNNNNNNNNNNNNNNNNNNNNNNNNNNNNNNNNNNNNNNNNNNNNNNNNNNNNNNNNNNNNNNNNNNNNNNNNNNNNNNNNNNNNNNNNNNNNNNNNNNNNNNNNNNNNNNNNNNNUAUUUUUUUACCUAUUUUUCUGCACUUGAAUUUUGUUAGUUUAUUCUCUUUUAAAGAUUCUUCAGUUACAGUUAAAGCAUGCAGAGGACAAAUUUGCCUGCUUUUUUCUUGAGCAAAGGCUAGUGGCAAUUGGAUGCUUUCAGCAAAUAAAACAGGUGAUUGAGAGGUUGACCAGGGCAGGUUCGGCAAACAACAUAUCUUUUCGGAGUUUUUAGAUGUCAAAGCUGAACUAGACCACAAUGCCUCCAAUCUUACAUUUUGUUUAUGUAAUUCACUUCUUUGGAUUUCAUCCAUCAAUUCCCUCUGUUUGUGGUAAACGCGGUGGAGCUCACGAAUCUGAAGAACAAUGUACAAUUUAGAGACAUAAAAAAUAUGAACAGAAUUUGAUAACUAUUCACGAAUAACGGAGUGUCACAUCGUCAGAACCAACAAACAACUAUAAGCAAGGAAUUAAGAAUGGUAGUAAAAUGAGUUUUGAUAAUUAAUUCUUAAAUUUAUUUAGAUUGAAUUGAAUAAGGUUAUUCCUUCGGCCAAAGUUGGAAACUAAAGCAAUGAUUAUACUAUAAAUUUAUUUUUAUUGAACUGAAUAAGAUUAUUAUGAAUAAGCUUUGCUCCUUGCUUUUUCAUUCAUAGUAUAAUCAUUGCUUUAAUUUAUAUAAUAAUAUUGAGGGUCUUUCUCUUCUACUUUCCAUUUCAUGACUUUGCGACACUCAUCAGUAUAUUCCAACUCAAAAUUCACAUUUUGCAUUUCUUCUCGGUGCAUCAUAUCAUAGAGCAUAGUCUUCAAUAACUUCAAUGCCAACAACCAGAAUAUCAUAAAACAUUUUAAUUCUCAUUUCUAAUAAAAAAAAAAACUAGAAUACAAAGGCUUAAGUAAGUUACACCAUAAGUCAUACUUUUCAACAAAAACACAAAAAAAAAAAAACAUUUUUUUGACAAAAAUGAACAGACAGAAAACAGAGGAAAAUCUAACCCUAAGAAUAGAAAUCAUGAAAUUAACAUACUUGGUCCUUAAAUAUGGCUUCAUGUCUGAGUAUUGUCUGUUUUACAAGCUCCUGGUUGUAGCCUAAAAGGGUACAAGGUGAUGUUAAUGGGAAGGGACCCAUCAUAUUGUAGCAAUCGGUCCUUAGUUCAUUAUUAACAUUAGAUAAGGUCCAUGUGCUUCCUUCAGAAUUAAACAUGACCUCCUUUGUUGAAUAGUAUCUUGAAAAAUUUCCAUUACAUUGCACAUUUGUUCCCAAUAAUGCCAUAAAUAAUAAUGUAGGAGGUUUGAAUCAAACAAUAUAUAGCAUGGUACCCUUAACUUCAAAGGAAGCCUGCAUCCAAACCAAAAAAUGUUUACUUUUUAAUGUAUAUUCAAAAAAGAAGUACACUAAAAAGAAGCAACCUAUUUAAUUUUAACUUUUAGGGUUUUUAUUGGAAAUAAAAGAACAGUUAAUAAUAGCAUACCAAGAAAAAUAGAAUUGCUAGGUUGAAUUAGAUGGUUCUUUUGUCAUGAAGACAGGAUCAACUUCAACCUACAAUUAAAUUAACAAAUAAAAUUAGCAAAUACAUCAAAAAUUAUUGUUAAUGAUAUGACUUCAUGAAAAUCAAGUACUGUCCAAAUAAACUGCAAUUUGAAGGAUGAUUAUUAGCUGGGAUAUAUCCAAAAUAUAUCAAGUACACCAACAAGAGUAUCUAAAUAAGGAAUGCAUAUUAUUGCAUACCUAAAACAUAAUUAACUCCAAAUUAAUUAAUGCUGGAAGAGUUUAUAAGAGUUGAGGUAACCACAGCAUAAAAUUGAAGCAAUGAAAAAGAAGAGCAAAAAGCUAUCAAAGUGAAACAGUAUCAAAUCACAUCCAUUAGGAUAAUGAAUCUAGAGAAAGAAGAAGAAGGAGAAAAAAAGUAUAAGCCAGUAUUUAGUCUCAAAACAUUGAGUAAAAAAAAAGUCUGAAAAAAUAAGAAAAUGAUUUAAAUAAAAAUCAUUUGACAUGUUUCAAUAACGUAAUUGAAGUAGAAAAACAAAGAAAGAAAAGUAAAAAACAUUAGAAACCAAAAGCAUCCUUAUAGAGUGGUAAGGAAUAAAAAGCUCAACCACAAAAAAAUAUCACUUGGGUGAACAAAAAAGUGCAUUAGAGAGAGAGUAAAAAAACAAGCAAGGAAUCAAACGGAAAAAUGAAUAAGAAGCUCACAUUGAGAGAAGAAAGAAAAGCAGAAGAAGAAAAAGGAAGGCAAAAAUGUAGAACCAAAAAAGGAGAGAGCCAAGAAGAGCACGGAAAUCAAAAAGUGAUUUUUAUGUUGUGGGAAGAAGAAUGAAAAGCAGAUAAAAUGGGGAUUUGGAUCUGCAGUGAUGGGCCAUUCUCUGAAUGAAGAUUUCAGAGAGAGAAAAAUUAAUGAAAAUAAACGAAACUUAGAUGAGAAGGGAAAUCACAUUAAAUCAAAGUGGUCAACAUCAUCAUUUCUUUCUUCUCUUUAUUUAUUACCAAAUUCUAAGCUCAACAAGUUUAUAUUCAACUAAUGCUUAAAACUUGUUGAAAUUACACAACAACUAUAAGAUAAAGGUUUAUGUGUACUUUUCUCAUAUAUUUUCUUCUUCUUUUGACAAACAUUUUCGUAUUUCUUUAUACUUAUAUCGAUUUAUAGAAUACAAGAAAACUAUUUUAAUGACUGUCAUGGAUUUUUUUAGAUGACUUUUAACUAGUCUUCUACCAUAGACCAUAUAUAAAAGUGCUACACCAUAUUCACUAUUUUAUUUAUAUUAUAUUUUUUUAAAGUUGUGUUAAAAAAUAUAUAUUAAAAAUUAUGGUAUUUAUUAAAGUUGACUAAAUUAAAAAUUUUAAUAUAUAAAUAUAUAUUAUUCAUUGAUAAUUUAACUUUGAUAAUAUUAAAUUUUCAAUUUACCUUGUAAGUCUCAAAUAUAUGCAUGUCCUCUUGAUCACAAUUUACACGCUUUCUCUCGUUCAAUAAAAAUAAUUAUAAUAAAACAGGUUAGGAAACUAUUGAAUUGAAAUUUAUUUUCAAGACUGAGAAGAAGAACUCGAAAAUCAAAAUCAGACAACAGUACUUCACUGUCUACACCUUUGGUUGAUGCAACAAGAAGAAUCAUAAAACAAAUCUUAUAAACUACCUUGAUUUUUCCAAUUUAUUUAUUUUUUAAUUGAGUUUGUUGCGUUCCUUGGCUGCUUUAUUAUUUAAUUGAUAUGUUUGUAUGUUCACAGGUCAGCUGUGGGACCCCACCCUAUUUAUUUAUGAAAUUUGAAGCAUCUCCCUACCUCUCCUCUCGCAUGUAUAUUUCAUGGGGUAGCUUUUAGCAUGUACCUAUUGGCUAUGUUUAGAUGGAUUUAUAUGAACUCAUUGAAAAAUAAGCAAUUUAUAUAUUGGUAAAUAAAAUGACGAGGAGUCUUAAAAGUUGAGGAUGAACUUUGGUUUGAAAAUAUAUAUCCACAAAAAAUUGGUUCCGUUUCCAUAAUUUCACUUUGUAUAUCAACAGUACUGGCAUGGAUAUUUAAAUGUGGUUAAGAAUAUCACCAUCUAGAUAGCUUGACAAAUCACCAAGGUAUCUCUAUCUUUGAUACCUGCAUUUGUCGUAUAUGAAUGCAAUUGAAGUUAUUACGAGCUGUGUUGAAAUCAAAUAAUAAUAAUAAUAAUAAUAAUAAUAAUAAUAAUAAUAAUAAUAAUAAUAAUAAUAAUAAUAAUAAUAAGUUGAAAACAGAAAGCUGUAUUUUUAUUAUUUAAGAGAGGAACUCAAAAAACUCUUAAACAUAAGUUGGAAAAUGAUCAUAUGUAUUAUUUUUAUUGUCUCACAAUGAAUGAUACACUUAUUUAUUUAACACACAAAUUAAUUAGAUAUUACAAUUAAAAAAAUAAAAUAAUUAGAGAGUAAAACUGAUUUUAUUUUUUUAAUAUUACAACUAAAAUUGACACUUAUUUUUAGAUAUUAUUUUUGCAAAUAUUACAACUAAAAUUGACAUUCAUUAAAUUAUUUAAAGAGCAAAUAAUACAUUAUUACAAUCAUAUUUUAGUUUUUAUUAAAAUUAAAUAAAUUAUAUAUAUAUAUAUAUAUAUAUAUAUAUAUAUAUAAUAUUAAAGAGAGAGGGGAGUCUGAACCAUAUCCCUUCAAGAAUCUAUGAUUAUUUAAUCUAUAAAUUGAAAUUUUAUAAAGACUACAAUUAUAUUUUUAUUUUUUAAUAAUAGUCAUUUUGCUAAUAUAUUACUAGGAAAUUCAAAAAAGUACAAAUUUGUAUUGAAUUCUUUUUUUACUUUUUAAAAGUUAAAUACACCACUUCUAAAACCUAAUUUCUACAUUUAGUAAGACAUGUUUUUAGUGAUUUUUUUUACAAACGUGUUUUUUAAUGCACUUCUUAUUAUAAUAUCCAAUUCUCAACGCAACUCAAUUUAUUUUUAACAAAACACUGUUUUAAUUUGAUUUUUUGGCAUAUUAUCUUCUACUACAUAUUGUUAAUAUGGAAGUAAUUAAUUAUUCCAUGCACUCCCUCUUUUGUUCUUGGGAAUAAAUAGUUUGAUCUUUUUUACUGUCUUGCUAACGAGGGCUUAAUGAUAUAAAAGAAAAGUUUAUCUUAAAAAUAUUAGAUAAUAUUUAUCAAUAUCAUAAAUACACAAUUUGAUUACUUUUCAGUCUUUUAAUUUAUUUAAAGAUUAAUUUGGUCUUUUAAUUCUAAAAUAGUUUAAUUUAGUUCUCUAUUUUAUGUAUAUAAAUAUAAAUCGACUAAUUUCUAAUUUAUUUAAAGGUUAAUUUGGUCUUUUAAUUCUAAAAUAGUUUAAUUUAAUUCUCUAUUUUAUGUAUAUGAACAUAAAUCGACUAUUUUCGUUCAAUUGUGUUAAUUAAAAUCAAAUAUAUACAUAUGUAUUAUCAAUAUUAAAUAUUAAUAUUAUUAAAUUAGAUGUUUUAUAUAAAAAAAAGUAUAUAGAGAUCAGAAAAGUAAUAAAAAAAUAGUAUCGUAUUAUAAGUUUUCAACUCUGUCAUUAUUUCAUUUAUAUCUCUAGCAUCCAGCCUCUAGCUAUGGAUUCAUUUUGAUACCUUCAAGUUGAACUCCAACCCCACCCACACACACCAUAAUUGCCUCUUUGCCCAUCAUCCAUCUACGUCUUUAUAACCAGAUUAUUCAUAACAAAAUUUAAAGCAAACAACUUAACAACUAUACAUUCAAAUUUUUCAUAAAAAUUAAAACCAAUUCAGUUUAAGAUAUCUUUUUCUUAUAUCUCAAAUUUACAUCUCUUUCAUCUUUGCAACUUUUUUUUUAUUUCACAAAACAAACAACAAUAGGAUCUUUUUACAAACAAAAUAACAAGUCAACAAAAAUGUGAUUAUUUAAUGGAAAUGCUUAAAGUUAUAGAGAACAAAACAUAGGUUAAACUCUAAAUUUUGAAAAGAAGAAGAAGAAAAAAGAACUUUAUUUAAUGACAAAAAUAUAUCAAAUGUUACUAUAAAUAACUAAAUGCGUUUAACACUUUCCUCAACUUGCCUCAAUAGUCAUAAGCUAAGACAUAAAUUGAACCAUUUUGUUCAGAUUUGUAGAUAAGAAGCACUGUUUGGUGUUAUCUUCGUCUCUCAAAUAUUGCUCGGUAUGAGUCUUCCCAUUAUUCCAAUUUUGUUAUUGAAUGGUCAUGUACCUGCCUACUAUAAAAUUGGGCUCCAUCUAUUUGUUGAAAAAUCCCAAUAAACAAAAAAGCUUGGUUGGUGGUCCUUCAUCAACAACACGUGUUCUCCCCACUUUCACACAAUAAUUGAUUCAUUGUUACACAAAUUAAUUCCUCCUAUAUGCUAAUGCAAUAGAACAAUUUUUAAAUAAGAUUUUUCUUACCCGAACAAGGCAGAAAAAAUAAAGGGUUAAACCCAAGUGAUACCAACAACAAAAAAAGGCUCCAUAAAGUGUCAUAAACUAUACUAGCACGAGAAUUUAUUGCAGUUUAUGACUUUAUAUAGCACAAGUCAUUUAAGAAUAAUUUAUUAAAGUAAAAUUUAGGUUGCGAUGAGGUGGUAUUGGAAAGUUGAAGUAACAAAGAAGACGUGGAAAAUAUAUGAGAUGAGAUAAUAAAUGAUGAAGGACAUUAUAGCAAAGAAUAAAUAAUGAUAUAAAAAAUAGCAAAUUUAAUUAGUUGUUUUGGCAUGUAUAUAAAACCAGAAAAUGACAAACAAAUGUAGUAAAACCGAGCUAGUAUGGAUAAAAACUUUGGUUAAGUAUGGACAGAUGGUGUCGAUAGCCAUGCGGUACAUAAUUAAUUUUUUUGGUUUUCUUGUUAACGAAUGUCUAAAAAUAUUAUCUAAAGAUCCUGAAUAAAAUAAUUAUUAAUUGAAAAAAUUAAUAUUUCAAUUUUCAAUAUAUUAAAUACACAACUUUCAAUAUAUAUACACUAUUUUAAUCUCUUAAACAACCCUUUUAGCACUCGUUUAUAUGUCCCAUAAUUUAAAUAUCUUGCAACAAGAAAUCAAAGAAAUGUGACUAUGAUAUGAUUCAAAAUGAUGCUCAUGUUACCGUGAAUUUUCAAUAUGAGAAAGCAAGAGAUACAUGUUUAUUUUGGACCACUUUGCUGUGAAUGUGAUGAUGAUCAUAUUCCGUCUCAUCCACUUUCUUUUAUCAUGAGACAUCUUAUCUAUCUUCCUUUCAGAAUCGUGUCUACCAUAUCCGAUUCAUUAUCUUGACCCCAAAAAAUAUCUGAUACAUUGUUUUCUAUAAUUUAUGUCUCCACUUUCACUAGUUUUAUUCAAGUAAAAUUACUCUUUUUAUCAUUUAUAUUUAAUUUUAACACGUAAGUCUUUUUUUUUUUAAAUAGGUCCUUUAGCUGGUAAAACUUGCACUUAAUUUUUUUUAUUAAAAAAUUAAUGAGGUCACAAGCCUCGUUAAGAAACCAAGGUUUUAAGCAUUCAAGAAUUAUAAUAGAUCCGUUUGUUAUAAAUUUUAAAGAAAAAAUAACUUUAUCUUUAUAUUUCUAAAAAAUGAAUGUUAUUAAGAUUUAUUAAAAAAGAGUAUAAGCUAUUUUGGAUUCAUUUUUUUACAAUUUAGAACGGUAAUUUUGAUAUUUAAUAAAUUAUAUAUUUAUUAUUAGAGAUAUUAACAUGAUAAAAAUUAUUUUUUUUAAAUUAAUGUAUUUCUUAAAAAUAAUUUAUAUGAGAAACUUUUUAAAAUAAUUUCUCAUUUUAAUUACUUUUUUUGAAAUUUCAUCAUACAAAAAAAUUGUAGCAAAUAUAUAAAAGUUACUUUUCGUGAUAAACUAUUUAAAUCAAUUUAUCAUCUGAAGCUUCAUUUUUAGUUUUUUUUUUUAUAAAAAAAUUAUAACAAAAAAAAAUAGAAUAUUGUAAAAAAAUCAUAUUUUAAAAAUGAUGUAAUUAACAGGCCCAAUAUUUUGCCAAAAAAAAUUUGUUUACUGUAUGGUGUCUAUAUCAUUUCUUUUACUAAGGACUCUUCACAGUGGUCAAUCUAAGACAAGUGAGGAGUGUAAAAUUUUCAACUUCAUUAAUAAUUAUUAUAAUAAUAAAAGUGGAUCUAAGACAAGAGUGAGGAGUGUAAAAUUUUCAACUUCAUUAAUAAUUAUUAUAAUAAUAUAAAAAAACCGUGAAUGUUAAAAUUAUAAAAUAUUUCAAGAAUAAUUUCUCUCUUCUCUUAUUUUACCGAUAAUUUAUACUACUAAAUUUAUAAUUUUAUACUUUUACAUAUUUAAAGAACUAUUUUUUCUAAAAUAGUAAUAUAAAUUUUUUGUAACUUGCUAAUUUUUGACAAAUAUUAAAUUUUAGUAUUUAUCAUUUAAAAUUUGAAGGAAAAGUAUUAUCAAUAUUAGAUAAAUAGUCAUAGAUAGACAUGAGGAAAAUGAAAUAAGGAAAAGGAUUGGAAAAAAUAUGUAUUCAUUAGUAAUAUAUAUAUAUAUAUAUAUAUAUAUACCACUCAAGAAUGAUAAGUAAAAAUAAUAAUUGAAAAUGUGAUAUAUUUAAUCUUAUUUUUUAGUUAAAUAAAUCAAAUUUUCAACAUUUUGAUAUGGUGGUUAAGUCUUACUAAUGGCUAACAGUUUCGAAUCCUCUCCUGUGCAGUUUUAUUGGCCAAUAUUUCAAGUUCUGAUAUUUUUAUAUAUUAAUAAUAAUUAAAUUAAAAACAAUUUAAGAAAUGAAGAGAUCAAUGCAUUGCAAAACAGAAUUAGUGAUACAGUGGAUCCUCCCCUCAUUACAUACACAACAAAAUUGAGCAAUUUAACUUUCCCAAACAUAAAUCAAAUUUCUGUAUCAAUAGAAAAAUCAACUGUGCAUCACAUUAUUUUUCAUGUGUAAUGUAAACUAUAUAUGCACAUUUUUCUCCAAAUAUUAUGAAUCUAUUUCCUAAACAAUAUUGUGUCCAUCACUUGAGUCUCCAACACUAGAUUUAGAUAUCAAAAUAAGCAUAGUCAAAACUUGUUUCAUAUUAGGCCUAAUAUUUGGUGCCUCAUUUGUACACUUCACACCAAUUCUUAGCAAUUCACCCAUUUCCUCUGCCCCACCAACAAGUUCAGAACUCAAACAACUUACCACAUGAUGUUGUCGUCUUCUUCCUAUAACACGCCUUGUCCAUUCCACUAAACACUCUUCACCUCCAUCCACCGCACGUCUACCUGUAGCCAACUCCAUAACCAACACACCAUAACUAUAAACAUCACCUUUUGUAGUAGCUUGCAUUGUUUGUCCAUAUUCAGGUGCAACAUAUCCAACAGUUCCAGCCACCAUUGUGCUAACAUGACUAUCACCAACAUUAACAAUUCUAGCUAGUCCAAAAUCUGUUACUUUUGCUUUUCCUUCUUUGUCAAGCAACACAUUGCUAGCUUUCACAUCUCUAUGUACAAUUGAAGGGUAGCAUUCAUGAUGUAAAUAGACAAGCGCACGAGCCACGUCGAUAGCUACUUCUAGUCUCUUCCUCCAUGUCAAUCGUGUUUUAUCGGUUACUAAGUCCUCUAAGCUUCCACCUUCUAUGUACUCAUAAACAAGUAUCUUUUCUGAAUUGUUUAAGCACCAACCGUAGAGUGUGACAAGGUUUGGAUGAGGCCAACCGAAUCCGUGACCACUUAGAACUUCCAUUUCAGCUUGGAAUUCCUUUUCGCCUUCGAGUCCUUCUCUUAAUAGCUUCUUCACUGCUACUUCUCUACCAUCUGUGAAAACUCCUUUGUAUACUGUUCCAAAUCCACCUUUUCCUAUGAUUCUGUUCUCUGAGAAGCUGCUUGUUGCUUUCAAAAUGUCUGCAUAGGUGAAUGCUGUUUUGUUUAAACGAAUGACUUUAACUGAAUCAGAUAACCAUUGUUGUGAGGAUCCUAUUCCCGAGCUGUUUGUAUCAUUCCACUUUUUAGCAUGAUCCCUCAAGAGGUAUUCAUCUGAUGGACUUUUCACCAAUGCACAAACUAUUAUUGUUAGAAGACCAAAUAUAACAAAAACAAGUGUUAUGGCUAAGAACACCAAAAACACAGACAAUUUUGCAUGCUUUUUAGGGUCUUUGUUAAAGGUCGUGUUUUUAUUGUUUCUAGUAUUACUGUUGUCAAUGAACUUAGGAAGGGUCAAAAGAGGAUCACCUAAAUAUGAAUCUAUAUCAAAAGUAACAAAUUGUCCACUUGAUGGAACUACACCAUAUAAGAAGGGAUUGCAGGAGAUGUUGAACUUGUUAAGCUCAGCCAAAUUGUUCAAACUUGUUGGAAAAUUCCCUGAGAAAUUGUUGUGAGACAAAUCAAGAUUUUGUAGGCAUUUGAAGUUUCCAAUUUCCUGAGGAAUUUCACCUGAAAAGUUGUUUCUAGUCAUGUUCAAGACCAUAAGUGGAAUACUUCCCAACUGUGGAGGGAAUUUCCCAGAGAAACUGUUGAAUCCCAAGUGCAACAUACUGAAGUUCACCAUUGUUCCAAUCUCUGAAGGGAUAUCACCACUUAGCUGGUUUCCACUGAGCUGAACAUAACCAGAUAUUAAAGGUAAUCUGAGGGAGGACCCAGGUGUGCAAAAUGGGAAAAUUCCAUAUCCUUUUAGCAAUUUGUUCCAAAGGCCUCUACAAUUUUUCCUUGUUAAAAUGUCAUACACAAAGCUGAAUGGAGGGUAAUCCGCAGGUAUCCAUCUCUUCAUUGCUAAACAUUCACCGGAACCAGCUACCAUUCCAUCAUCUUUCCUAUUUGAUUCAAAUGUUGUCAUUGCAUUUUUUCCGAUAUUGGAAAGUUCGCGAGGAAACUGUCCAGAGAGGUUAUUGUUGGCAAGGUUUAACCAUAACAAACUAGUGCAGUUCCCUAACUCUGGAGGGAUUCCUCCAUUUAAUGAAUUGUCUGCAAGCAUCAACCACAAGAGAGAACUCAAGUUUCCAAGGCUUGGAGGUAUUGGUCCACUCAACCUGUUGAAUGCAAGAUCAAGUGCUUGCAAAUUAUGCAUAUUUCCAAAUUCUGGUGGAAUAGAUCCAUUGAAUUGGUUAUAUGAUAACAUUAAAAGUUUAAGACUUGACAUAUGAGAUAUUUCAACAGGUAAUGGACCUGAGAAGUUAUUGAAACUUAGAUCUAACCGUGUAAUGUUCGGCAAUGUGAAAAUUCCAGAUGAUCUCAAUCCUCCAGUGUAAGAGUUUGAGUGCAAUAGAAGAAAUCUCACCUGCUUAAAAUUCCCAAAUAUCUUCUGUAUGUCACCACCAAAACUGUUUCUGCUCAAAUCUAAGAAAACCAAAUUAGUCAAUUUCAAAAGGGUGUUAGGAACAUCUCUUGAAAAGUUGUUUCCUCCCAAGUACAAUCCUUUAAGCCUUGAAAUAUACCCCAUUUCAAUAGGGAUACCACCAUAAAAUUUGUUACUUGAAAGAUUCAGCAUGGUUAAAUUCUUGCAGUUAGCAACCUCUUUAGGUGCCUGACCAAAAAAACCAUUUUGAGAAAGGUCUAAUUCUUCAAGUUCACAAUUCAUCUGAAAAGCUUCAUUGGAAAUUGUUCCAUUGAGAUAAUUCUCUGCAACAGAAAACUGUCUAAGCCUUGCAAAUCCAUUCCAUAUACCACCAGUGAGUUUAUUAGUGCUCAAAUCCAAAUACUUCAAAUUAGAACAUUUAUCAAAACUAUCACCAAUCUCACUAGUUAAAUUAUUACCUGAGAUAUUCAAAGUGACUAAAUUUUGACACAUGGUAGGGAAAUUCAACGACCCAAUUUCCCCAUGAAAUCUAUUCAAGGACAAAUCAAGUGUCUUCAAGCUUGUGAAUCCGGUGAGGUUGAGUUCACCAUCAAGAAUGUUGUGAGAGAGAUUGAGAUACAUAAGCUUACGACAGUUCCUCAAAUCCUGGGGAAUAUUUCCAAAGAGUGUGUUCUGAGAGAGAUCAAGGUGUAUGAGUUGAGUGAGUUGAGAGAAGCUUUUGAAUAUCUCUCCAGUGAUAUCACUGUAAGAGAGGUCUAUGCCAAUGACCCUGUUAGCUUUGCUACACAAGAUUCCUUGCCAUUGACAUGGAUUGGAAGUUGAAGUGUUGGUGUUCCAAUAUAUGUAUUUUCCUUGGUCUGCAAGAGUUCUGUUAUCUAAGUACUUUUUCAGCUCUAACAGAACCUGUCUGUCCGUGUCCAAAGAAUCCCCGGCAACAAAACUACCUGCGGAAAUAGAAACAACAACAAUUAUUGCCUUGGAUCAAUAAUAUGAAUACCUUAUGAUGAAUAUUUAUGAAAGUAAAUACCUGAGAAAAGGAUGAAGGAAAAGAUGAAUACUAGGAAGCAGGAGGAAUGUGUUUCCUGCAAGUCUGACAUUUAUGUUGGUGUUAGGAGUUGUAUUGUUUGUUGUUUUAGUUUAUUGAGGAAAAAACAUGAACGUGAGAAUAAAAUAAGAAUGAUAGAAGAGCAUGGUGAAGUUGAAUUGGAGAGGGAGGGGCAGACAAAAUUGAAAUUGGAAUUGUAAAAAGAAAAGAUGGUUCUUCCUACUACUAAUUAAUUAAUUAAUUAAUAAAUGUACAGAUAUGGGUUGACGAAUGUAAAAUGUAUUGUUUAUACUUAUAGUUAUAAGAGGAAACACAUAUGGAGAGAUGAGAGCGGUCGAGCCGCCCUUAUUGACCGGUUCGGCUAACAUUGCCUCGCACGGUUCAGUUGUAAACAUUUCUAACAGUUAUCAUCACAUGCUUAAUUAAUCCAUUUAUUAAUCUAGAUGUAAAUGUGAAAUGAGACCGCCGUUUUCUCAGUUGAGCAAUACAACUCAAUUUCGUGGAACCAAAUAUUGAAUUGCCAACCAUUUUAUGCGCACAACAUUAACAUUCGCCUCACCAAUUCAACCGUAAAACUCCCGCGGUUUUAGAUUUUUUUUUUUUUUUUUAAACUUAAAACCUCUAACUAUAAUCAAAUAGACUUUUAACAUCUCAUUUAAAUGACCAUUCCGAUUAUUUCUUUGUAACAAGAUUGAACGAAUCACAUACGGGCAAAUGUUAAUGAAUAUUACUAGAGCGAUUGUAAGAUAGAUAAUAAAUUUUGUUGGCGUAUAGUAAAUAAAUUUAUAGUAGAAGAGUGUGAAAUUAUUAAGAUAUACGAAGUUAUGGUGCGAUUUUUCAAUAGUAAAUACUAAAUCACUGUCCGACCAAAAUAAAACUAAAUCAAUGCAGUAUAAUUCUAUCUAAUUUUUUACUCAUAUUAAAAAAAGUUAAUAUUGUAGUUAAUGUGUAUGUGUAUGAUUAUUAUUUUUAUGUUUUUUUUAAGUGCCAUUUUUUAGAAAAAAAAUUAUUCAUUUUUAUUUGUUGUUUUUAAAUUUCAAAGGACUAUUAAAUAUUGUUUUGUCAAAUUCAUCUUUAUUUGUUUAUUGCAGUGAGAGAAUUAAUUUAGUUGAGAUAAUAAAUAGAAUAGUAAUAUAGAAAAAAGAUAAAAUUAUUUAUAAAAAGUAAUAAAAUUUAAUAAAAUUUAAUAGUUUCAUUGAUUUAUGUAAACCUGAAAAACAACAAUGAAAGAUAAAGGAAAAGAGAUAGUACUAAAUUGUCUUUUAUAUAUAAAUACAUGUAAUAUUAACUUUUCACAUUUUAAAAAUAAUUUAAAUAGUAUUCUUAAAACAUAUAUUUGAUAUAAAGAGUAACAAAUUUAUAUAAAAAUUUACAAAAAGAUCUUAUAUUUCAAGACAAUCAAAUAUGUAAAAAAAAAUCUUAUAAUUAGAGACGGGAUAGAAGUUGGUUAAAAAAAUUGCGGUCAACAUCCUGUGCGUGAAGUGAAGGCAAAUGUAGUUUUGGUGAUGUAUCGCUAUCGUGUUCAUGUUGAUAUAUUAAUAUUGUUUUAUGUCUGAUGAGAUGAUAAGAGUACCUAUCUUCUAACUCGUGUGCGUGUGGACCAAAAGAUCAUUGCUUUUAAACCUGUAAAUAAAAUGGUCAUUUUCGAAUAUCACUUUUUUAAGAGGUUAAUGAAGUUUCAGAUUUGAUAAUGUUGCUAUCGUUGAACAAAGACCAUUUACUAAUCAAUGGUUGGUGCCUUGGUGGUGGAAAGUGACAACAAAUUAACGUGCCGGCCUCCGUCAUUGCCUUUACGCCAAAUUUUAUUUAUUAUAUACUACUACUAGUAUGCUGUGACAUGGAGUGAGCGUCCUCUCUAAUUAUUAUUAUUAUUCAUAAACUAAUAUUAAAGAAAACGAAAAAACUUAGCAAGCACAACCGUAAUUAUAAGUUGUUCAAUGUGAAUUACUACUUUAAAAUUAUCAAAAUUUCUAUAUAAUAUUUUUAAAAAAUAAUAGUUUAUAGUCUCUUUAUUUUGAUGAGUAAGAUAAUGAUUUAAUAGAUGUUGAUUUAUUAUGAAAUAUAUAUUUAUUUAUUUUUGUUUUUAUUGAAUUAAUUAUAUAAGUUACUAUCUGAGAACUACAUUCAUUAAUAUAUACAUUUAAGAGACGACGUUAGUCAAAAUUUUAAAUAUUUUUAAAAAUUAAUUUGUUGUAUACGGUAAAUGAUCCAUGUUAGAAUGGAUCUAGGAGAGGCACAUUUUAUUUACAGGUUAUUCUAUAGUUCACUUCUUCACCGUGAACCUUGUGUUGUGGGUGUUCAUUAUACUAAUUGUGUUAAUCAAUUAUUCCCAUACAUCUAAUCAGAUUAUACAAUACUAGUACUACCUUUGGUACUUAUAAGAAGAAACAAAAAUUAUCAAGACCAAUGAAAUAUAAUUCUUUAUUAAAUUCUUUCUGAAAAUAUAAGAUCCACUAAUAUGAAGUAUGUAUAUUCUUAUCGAAUAUUUUCUCAUUCGCAUGAGUUUCAUUCUAAUAAAUAAAAAUAUCUUCAAAUAAUUUUAUUUUUUUCAUUUUCAAUACAAUUUUAAUUAUGUUUUUCUUAUACUACCUUUUAAUAAUUACAAUACACAAAUUACACUACAUUAUUAUAUUUUGUAUUUAUAAUACUUAAAAAUUCACCAAUAAUUAAGAUGAGUAAAUUGAUAAAAUAAAUUUUCUCUUUUUAAAUUCAAAUAUAAGAGAAAGUAAAUCAAUAAAAAUUAAAAUAUUUAUUACAAAAAUUGAAUCAAACACCCAACUUUUAUUAUAUUCAAGACUAUAAACAAUACAUGUUUAAACAUUAUCAAAAACUCUUUCAUAGGCCAAAAUUCAUGUUAGUUUGGUUAAUUAAUUGCUCAAGAUUUGUUUUGCACAGUGCAAUCUUUGUAUGCUCACUGCACAAAAUUUUAGAGGUGUAGUUUUCGGGGAUGAAUUUAGAAUUUUUGAUCAGUAGAAUACUAUAUAUAUAUAUAUCUUUCAACUAUACCCCCUAAAUAUAUUUUUCUUCAAGUGGACCAACUGUCAAGUCGUAUCCCCUGUAAUGAUGGACGAACAUUGACUUAAUUAUACCUCGCACCCAUAUCUAAUGGAGUAAAAAUAUAAUCUGAUAUGUCAGUAUUUCCGUGACAAGAUCUAGAUGACUGGAUCAAUGAUAAAACUGGUCUGUAUUUUUUUGAGCAAUUGACCACCACAUUCUUCUGGAAUUUGGAAUUUGGAAAUCAAAUGAGAACCAAAGACUAAUAAUAAAGUUGUUUUUGUGACUCACUUGUUAUGCAAAUACUAUAAUUAUCAUUAUCACCACUAAGGAUUUUAUUAUUAUACACAAGAGAAAAUUUAUUAUUUAAUUAUUACAAUUCAAUUUUUAUGUAAUAUUUAUCAUUACUUUUUUCAACCCUCAUUUAAUAGAUUUUUGGAUCCAUCCCUUAGUCAGGGUUUCACACUCUCACAGAUUUGAGUCUCCAUUCCAUUCACCACUAAAACAAAGAUUCAAAUCAGCUUAUAUUGCAAGGUCACAAACCAUCUUUCAACUCUUUCAUAGUCCAUUUCAUACAUUACUUUCUUAAACAUUAAUUGUUUUCAAAUAAGAUAAACAUACACACAUAUAUGCAAUACAAAAUAGACAAAACUGGUGGCCCUAUCGCUAGAUACAUUAAAUAUUACAGCAAUACUAAAACUAAUUGUAAUUGACAGGCAACAACUCACAUAGUUUUAGUCACAUUAAAAAUGUAUAUAUUACUAAAAGCUUUUACAGCUUCAUAUUGAGAACCUUACCUAAUGGAUGGUACAUUUUUGGUGUUCCAUGUGAUGUAGAAGGAGUAAAUGGUUUAGGUGUAGAUUCCUCCCGAAGCGCGGACAGAGCAGCCUUCCUUCGCUGCCUAUGUUCGCGGUGUCUCCUAAUUCUAUCCUCCAAUGCUGCUUUACCGUUCUCGGCUAAUUCGGCUCUGCUAAUAGCCUGUUCUGCACGAGUCCUCAGCUCUGAAAUUUUCAAUGAUGCAUUUUCAACCUCCUUUUUCAUCAAUGCUAACUCUAUUUGAUUUCCUUUUUCAUUUCCUUUCUCAACCAAGUAGUUAUAUUCUUCCAACGAGAUAGUAAUAUUGUCAUUGUUUUUCUCACUAUUCCUCUCUUCAGCUCCACCCUUAGAGUGAUCAGUGUCAUAUCCAUUCUUGUAAGCCAACCUAUAUUCUUGAAGAUGAGAUUUCAACAAUGCAAUCUCCACUUCUGCUUCAAUGGCUCUCUCCUUAUUCAUCUUCAGCUCUGCUUUCGCCUUUUGCAACUCAUUUGUGACUGAUUCUUUGUUAAUAUUUAAUUCAUUUAUCUCCUCCUUUGCACUUGUAAGUUCACUUUGUAACUGAUUUAAUUCCAAUUCUAACUUUUCCUUGAGUUCAAUGUCCAAGUUUAACUUGUUUGAUUCAUUUAUGACAUUGGUAGAAGAAUUAUCAAAUGAAAUUAUUGUUUCCUUUUGUUCUAUAUGUUUUCUCAUAUCUUUCAACUCUUGUUGUGCUUGAGCAUUAUCUUUUGUAGCUAACUCAAUUUUUUCAUUUUUCUGAGACAAAAUACCAAUAUUUUGUUUCUCAGCUUUAAUAGCAGCAAGUUUUGACCUAUGAAUAACUUCAUUAAGCUCAUUUACUUGAUGCAAUAGUUCUUCUUUCUUUUCCUUUUCCAUCUUCAAGGCAUUUUCCAACUGUUCUGUCUUUGUCAAAGCGUUUGAUUCAGAAUCUCUAGCAGCAAAAAUCUCAGUAUCUUUGUUAAGAAGCUCUCUUUGUGUGGCUUUCAAUUCACUCAAAACAUGCGAAAGCUGAUCCCGAACUUUCACAGUUUCUAAUUUAAGAUCAGUCUUCUCUUUUGUCAUUGAUUCAAGCUCGUCUUUGCUAGCUUUACCCUCCGAACAUUCGUUCACAUAUUUGUUUCUUUCAAUAUCAGAGUUUUUCAACAAAGUAGACAAUUCAUGAAUCAUCUUUUGGCUUUGUUCUGGUUUAAGAAGUGCUUUCAUGUGCGCAGCAUUCUUCACCUCUAAUUGCGCCUUGUAGUUGGUCAAUUCUCUAGUCAAAUUCUCAAUCUCUUUUUCAUAGUCACGCUGGCAUACAAAUAAAGCAACAAUAAUGACAAGAAAAUAUUGAAUUAAGAUAUCAAUUUUUGUUGACCAUGUAACAUAUAUAUUCAAUAUUCAAUGCAUGCAUAUAAACACUUAAAACAUUAUCCGAUUAAUAUUAUUUAGCAAAAUAUAGGUCCAUAUUCUUUCAGUUGUUAAAUCUGAACCUUAAAUGGAUCAAUUCUAUACAAGUGGAAUAUGUUGUACUUGUACACGGAUGAAAUCAAAAUAUUAAGUUAUGAUUUGAACGUUUAUCAUUUGGACUAUAGUCUUACCUUAUUUCUUGUAGGUAGAAAUUUCAUGUGAUCACCUCUAUCGUCAAAUAAAGAGAUGGCAUUUUGGACAGGUUCAAUUGAUGUAGUAUCAAUUUCACCGACCAUGGUUUUGUGAAAAAUAUUGUAUGUAUAUAUGUACCAACAAGAGUCUCAAGAAAGUCAAAACCCACUAAAUCUUCAGCUUAUAAUCUGGUUGCUGGAAAAUAACACAUAAAGUGAUAGUAAAAUAUACAUACAUGCGGUCAAAUAGUAGAAGAUAUGUGAAUAAAUGAAAUUAAAAUGAGAAGAUAAAGAGUGAUACCUGUUAUAAGUUUGAGGAGGAAAAGGCAGAGAGAAUGGGAAGAAGGAAAAGAAAAGAGUAUGAAAGUUGUAAUGAGUUUUGCAUUGUUGCGGAGAAAACAAUGUUAUGAACUUGUCAUGGAGUACAGCCUAGCUAGAAGAAUCAUUCUUGUUCGGUUCUUCUUCCUCGGAAUUUUCAAGUGAAAGGGAAUAAUAAGAGGUUGGUUUUGUUUUGGUUCUAGUACUACGGAACACAUUCUUCCUCUCAAUCACUUCAUCUCCAUUCAAUUUCUCUUUUAUACACUACAUAAUUUUAUUCAUACUUCUAACAAAGGGAUUCAACUCUUUACCCAAUUCACAACUACUAAGAAACAUGAUUAAUUUUUUUGAUAAUAACAAAUUUAUCAAAAGUUAAUUAUAUAUCUUUUUUUAUUUUUUAUCAUUUUCGUGUAUAUAUCAAGAAAAAUAUGUAACUUAUUUGAUUUGAUAAAUUAUCUAGGUUGGUGCCCCUCACCUUAAAUUUCAUUAAAACAAAAUUUGUUCAAAACUCUAACCACCAUAAAUAUUUUAUAGAGUAGAAGUUUAUGUUGUCUCAGAAGUAUUUAUUUAAUAAUAUUAAUAUUAUUAUUAAAUUAUUAUUUGUUUAAAAUGAAACGGGAAGUUUCAAACAAUAACAUGUAAUAUCUUAAAAGAUAAAUUAGUAGUAUUUAUAACAAAUAUAUUAAAAAUAUAUUAAAAGAUAUAUCUUAUAAUCUCUUUCUUCUAAACUUUAAAAUGGGACGAUUUUGUUUUUUUAGUUUAAAAUUUCAAAGGAUUGAUAUUUGAUUUUGACUCGAUCAACGUUGAUAUAACUUUUAUUUUAUUUUUUACGAUUAUAUAGAAUAUACAGCUCUUUUUUUUUUCAAUUUGCCAACUCAUUUAAUUUAUUUAUUUAUUUUAAAAGUUGGCAACUCAUUUUUUUUAAUAUUGUCACCUCAUUUUUUAAAAUUUGACUAAAACAUAAUUUUGGUCAUUUAUCUUUUAUCUAAUAUUUAUUUUAGAUCUUUAUCUUUUUUUAUUUAUUUUGGCUGUUUAUUUUUUUUAUUCAUUUUCAUCCUUUAUCUUUUACGUAAUAUUCAUUUUAGUCCUUAGUAAAAAUACAAACUUGUAUAAUUUUAUGAAACAUAAAUAACUAAAACGAUUAUUAAGUAAAAGAUAAAAAGAUUAAAGCAAAAGAUAAAGGACAAAAAUAAAUUAGAUACAAAAAUAAAAGACCAAAACAAAUAUUAAAUAAGAAAUAAAGUAUAAAAGGCUUUAAUUUUUUAUUUUAAAUUGUCAACAAAAUAGAAGACUUGACAAUUUUUUUAAAAUAAAAAUUAAAUAAAUAAAGUGACAAUAUUAAAAAAAAAUGAGUUGACAAUUAUAAAAAAAAAAAGAUUUGGCAAUUUUAAAAAAAUAAAAAUAAAUGAACUAACAAUUUUAGAAAAACUUUAAAAAGAGUUGGCAAUUUUUAAAAAUAAACAAAUGAGCUGACAAUUUUUAAAAUUAAAAAAACUGAGUUGUACAUUUCACAUAACCAUGAAAUAAAAAUAAUGCCAUAUCACCUUUGAUCAAGUCAGAAAGAACCAAUCAUUUUAUAUUAAGAUUUGCUUUUGUAUGUCGGCAAUAGUUUUUAGGCUGACUUAAUUCAACAUAUAAGCAAAGUAGUAUACUGUAGUGUUGUUUGUGUCAUGGCAUAGUGAACAACAGAUAAGAUCUCACAUUAAGUAGUGAUAGAAAGUGAAACAUCACCGACCUUUAAUAACAGUUUUUCUAAACGCAUAGACUUAGCUGUUAAUUUAGUUUAUAAGGCACGUUAUGCAGCUAAUUAUAAUACAUUACAUUAAAUCAUUAGACAAAACUUUGGACAGGGGUUACUCAACUAACAAAUAACAAUCAUCAGUAGCCAAAAGUUAUGUCAUUUUUUCAUUAAUGUUUAUCCAUUUUAGCCUCAAAAUCCACAUCUAAAUGAGAAAAUUUAGGAAAAUAUUUCCUUUCUAUUUUCUUUAAUUUUCAUUUGAAAGUCUUGAACAUAUUACUUUCAUUAUGCAGCGUACGUUCUGAGUUGUCUCCUUUACCAUCCAAGAUAAAGACACACUGACACACACUCGCCUCAUAAAAACUUUAAGUUUAAACACCAUUUUCAUUUUCUUUCUUCAAGAAAAACUUAUAAGUAAAAUGGAUAAAGCUCUCACUAAACUUGGAAGCUUUUGGAUUUCAAAGAAAGCCAAGGAAGAAAUUUCGAUCAUAACCAACGAUUUAUCUGUAUGUUUCUCCAUAUCUUGGUCUAUUUUUCCUGUUUCUGGUGUUAUUUUUUUAUUUGUUUAGAACAACCUUUAAAUCUUGAAUCUCUUAUUGUUUCUGAGUUAUGUCAAUAUUGAAUAAAUGGCUUAUAAAAUGUUUGAUUACAAGAAAUGAUAAUAAAGAGUCUUGUUUUCUAGGAAUCUUUAAUUUAUAAAAUCUUGAAUUAUCAUUGUCAAGAAAUGAUAAAAAAAAAUAAAAAUGCAAUUCCAAGGAGUGCCUUUACUCUUAGUCUUUUGUUCUUCCCGUUAAUAUGUUGGUUUGUGCAAACUUUUUAAUAUUUUAUUAUGUAUGCGUUUGCAAUUUCAGUCUUUCUCAAACACAGUUGAAGAUAAGGCAAAACUAUUCAUCAACAAGCUCAAAGGUACUUGUUAUUUUCAUAAGAAAAUAUUUGCGGUUUACACUUUGGAGUUCGAGAAUAAUAUUUUUUCCACAAACAAAUGCACACUUAAAUUUCUGGCUCAAAAAUUAUAAAAUUGUCUUUAAUAAGAAAUAUUAAAUAUCUUAGUUUUGUGACCCAAUUGAAUUAGUUAGUUACUUACAUUAUUUAAUUAGUUAUUUUAUAUUAAUAGUUGUUUUAUCUAAUUGAUUAUAUAAAUUUAGAUAAUCUUUAAUGUAAUAAUUAUUUUAAUUAUCAAUAUUAUUUUAUUUAUUUUUUUCUUAUUAAUGGUUUAAUUCAAGAAUUGUAAUAAAAAAAAUUCUCUAAAAUGACUUUUUCCAAAAUCAUGUUUUGGAUAAUUGGUGACAAAAAAUAAUAUUGAUUGGAAACGACAAGUUUAAACACUAACUAAAAUAAUAAUUGAUGACAUUUUAUUUAUCUUCAAACUGAUUUUCAAAUUAUCAUUGUCAUUUUCUCGAAUAACUAUAUGGUUAAUUACCAACAAAAAAGAAAAAUAACAUUUGACUAUUUAUUUUGAAUAUGUUUUAUAACAGGCAAAACUCAGAAAAGUUUACCGGAUCUUCUUAGAGAGCACAACCUUCCUCCGGGUCUAUUUCCUCGUAAUAUAACAUGCUAUGAGUUUGAUGAAUCAAAAGGAAAGUUGAUAGUGCACUUGUCAUCCCCUUGUGAGGUGUGCUUCAAGGACUCAUCCAUUGUGAGAUAUUCAAAUCGUGUAAAAGGGACAUUGUCAAAGGGUAAACUCAUUGUUAUGGAUGGAAUUAAGACCAAGGUUCUUGUUUGGGUUAAGGUCACAAGUGUUUAUGUUGAGAGUUAUAAGUCUGACAAAGUAUGGUUCACUACUACUGGUGUUAAGAAAUCAAGGCCUAAAGAUGCAUAUGAAAUGCCUCGUGAAGCUAUUAAGGUGGAUGAAUUUUGAAUCCAAAUGAACGAAUAUACAUAUAGCCUUAUUAAUCAUUAAACGAUUCGUUCUUUUUGUGUAACUUGAGACUUUAGAUAUGUGAAGGUAUGAUAUGAUAGUAUGUAUACUUGGAAAUGUAUACUCUACAUUUUACAUUGUGACCGGUGUAUUGUUUUGGUUUGCAAUUUAACGUUGUUUCGGUAGUUAUUGGUGUCUACUAAGCUCUUAAUUGUAUUUUUAAGUCAAAUAGAAUUUCUCCUAAAAUAUUUAUGCGUUUUAAAGAUGAUAGAAAUAAAAAGAGAAAAUGAAAUUAACUAAAAAGCUUCGCUAUAAGAUUUUUUAUUCAAAUUGAGACACAUUAUUUUAUCUCAACCUUUAUUUGAUUUUUUUUUUUAUGAUGAUAUUUAAUUAUUUACCAUAACUCAUUCAGCUAUCAUCCAAUGUUUUGUCUAUCAUGUCAUAAUUUUGAAAACAUGUAAUGUCAAUGAUUCUAAGAAGUACUCCAUCGAGUGACUAUUUUAGUUUUAAGUAAAAAAAAUUAUCUCGUUGUAUUAAAAAUAUAGUUAAAUGGCAAUUAAUUUUAUAGAUUUUACAUAAAAUAAAAUAUAAGUUAAAUUUAUUAAAUUGUCAUUUUUAAUGUACAAUAUUCAACUAUUAAUAUUAAAUAUUUUGAAUUAAAUGAUGGAUUAAAAAUAGACAUGGCAACAGGGCGAGACAGGGGGCGAAAUAUAAAGUAUAUUUAAUAUGCGCAUGUUUAUAAAAUUUAAAAAUGACAAUAAUAUUAUUAGUGGGACAAAUUCGAGUCCGGAUGUGGGGUGAAUGUCAAUACACUUGCACCCGAUUAAAGCGAAUUUUCUCCGUUCAAAUUAAAACGAUUUCAAAUGGAUAUACGCGGAGGCGGAUUAUGUUGUCAUCUCUAAUUAAAAUAAUAACAUUAAAUAAAUCAAAACUAUCUUAUAUUAUAUUUAGGAUGCAAUGUUUUAAAUUUUUACAGAAUUAAAACAUAGAUAUAAAAACAUAUGUUAAAUUUCUUAGGUAAGUUUUGUCAUGUUAAUUGGUAGAGAUUAAUUGGAGAAAUUGUAUAUAUUUAACUAAAGCAGAUCUCGUUAGUGUAAAACAGAAAAACAAAUGCAAAUUAUUUUGUAAAUGUUUAAUGAAACCUAAUAUAUUUCCUAUUUUAAAUUGGACCACCAUCUCUAACCUUAAAUUUUAUAAAUAAAUAAAAAAAAAUUAAUUAAAGAAGGAUUUAUGUAAUGUAUAUAAUGAAGUUAUUUAUAAAAAAUGAAGGUGACCCACUAGGUUUUUGAUUUGGGCUUUGGGCCAAAAUAUUAGCGUCCAUUCCACGCAGAAUCUUAACUCCUAAGAGUUUUGUACCAGGCACCCCCUCAAUUUGACCUGCCACCCCCCCAAUAUUUUUUAAAGACUAAAAUACUCCUUUGUAAAACAGUAUAAUAUUAUUUUAAAAAUUACCAUUCAGAUUUCACACCCCACCACCUUCGAAAAUUUACAAAAAAAAAUGUUGGAUUCGAAAGUUUAAAAUUUUCGAAAUGAAUUUUAGUAAGUUACUCGAAACUUUUGCUAUUUUAAAACCUUCGAAAUGCAGUUUAUUUAAAAAAAGACAAAUUUUCGAAACUUUGGAUAAAUGCCAAAUUUUCGAAAUAGACAGUAUUCGAAACUUUGCUUGCAUUUGAAAGUUUCGAAAUAGAGUUAUGCUUCGAACAUUUGGCUUUUGAUGAAACCUUCGAAACGUAGUUUCGAAACAUACAAAUCUUUGAAAUGCAUUUUGUACUUCGAAAGUUUGCAUUUUCACCAAAGUUUCGAAAUGCAUUUUGUUCGUCGAAAGUUUUCAUUUUCACAAAAGUUUCGAAAUGUGUGUAAGUUUCGAACUUUUCAUUAAGUUAAAGUUUCGAAAUGUAUUUUAUUAUUUUUUUAAAUUCAAUAUUUAUGUUAGAAAUUAUUUUUAAAUUUUUUUUAAAUUAAAUAUUUAAAAUAUUAUAUUUAAUUAAAUUUGUUACUAAUUUUGAAAUUAGGUAUGAGUAGAGUUGAUGUUUCUGCUUCAAAAAAUGUUAUAGAUACUACAGAAAAAUUCACCACUGAUCAGGUAUUAUUAUAACUACUGAUGAAUCAUCACCAAUUAAAUAUUUCUUAUAGUUAUAUAGUUAAUUUUUAUUUGAAACGUAUUUUGCAGGUAUUUUCUUCUCGAGAAGCUGUAUUUGAAUGGGCAAAAGCGAUUGGAAGACAAAAUGGAAUUUUAAUUGUUACCAUUCGAUCAGAUAAAGCAAACGGAAUUAGGGGAAGAAAAGACAAAUUGAUUUUGGGAUGCAAUCCACCUACAUGCUCUUGGAAGAUGUGCAGGAACCGCACCUCUAUCGCCCCGCUUACAGAUCCUAGGGAAGUGUUCGUAGAUCCAGCACUGCAACAUAAGUAACAUAAUACAACUUAAUUUAAAUACAUAAGUAAAAUAAUACAACUUAAUAAAUAAAAUAAUUAAAUAAAUGUCAAUACCUGUAAAAGGGUCAUGUAACCUCCUAACUGUCGAGUGUCGUGGACAGCCCCAUCUCCCAUGUUAUCAUACAGGAAAACCAAUGCCGCGGCAGCCCACGAAUAGUGUCGACAACGAGCUAAAUCAAUAAAUAAACUAAUGUAUUUCGCCUCCACACGCGUAUGCGUUUUAUCGGCGAAAAUGGUGCUGCCAACUAAGUGCAAUAGAUACGCUCUAGCCGCACACUCAAACUGAUUAGUUUGAAUGAGACGACUAUAUAAGUCACGCAGCCACUGCAAUCUAUAUUGGGCACAUUUAUUAAAAUUAAUCUCAGCUAGAGAUUCAUCCCAAGUUGCACCUAAGUACUCAUGUGCAGCUCUAGCAGCAUUAUUAGUACUCAUAUUCACAAGUGCAUCAAAAAAUUUACCAUUCGGUGAUAUGUGAAGGAGAGUAGCUACGUCGUCUAAAGUAAUGGUCAUCUCUCCAAAUGGCAAAUGAAAUGAGCUGGUCUCCCUGUGCCAUCUUUCAAUAAAUGCCGAGACGAGACCAGCAUCAACCAUAGUGAGGUAGGCCGAAGAAAGAGGUAGCAGCCCAGAUUCCCGAAUCCAACGCUCUACAGGAUGUGGCACAGGAACUUCAGAAAACUUCUUCAACUUCAAUCCAUGAGUAAUGACCUUUAACGGUCCACGAUCCUGCGAGUAAUUACAAAGUAAUUAAUUAAUUAAAUAACAUUAAACAAAUAAUUGAAUAAAUAAAUUUAAAUAAACAAUUAAUUAAAUAAAUAAUUCAAUAAAUAUAUUUAAAUAAACAAUUACUUAAAUCAACUUAAACAACUAAUUGAAUAAAUAAAUUUAAACAAACAACAAAUUAAAUAAACUUAAUUAAAUAACCUUAAACAAAUAUUUGAAUAAAAUAAAUUUAAAUCAACUUAAACAAAUAUUUGAAUAAAUAAAUUUAAAUAAAUUUAACUAAACAAUUAAUUAAAUAAACUUAAUUUAAUAUUUAAAUAUAUAAAUUUAAAUAAACAAUUAAAUAUAUAAUUGAAUAAAUAUAUUUCAAUAAACACUUGAAUUAAAUAGACUUAAAAUGCCUCAAAUUGAAAUAUACCUCUCCUUCCCAUAGCCGCCGAGCCACGUGGUGCUCAUACUGUGUCAACACAUGUCUCAACAUAGGUCCUCCGGGGAAUCCAGCAUCAUCAGCAUGUUCCAUCUGAGGCUCAGGGACAUCCUCCUCCAACUGAGGCUCAGGGACAUGGUCCUCCAUCUGAGGCUCAGUGACAUCCUCCUCCAUCUGAGGCUCACAGACAUCCUCCUCCAUCUGAGGCUCACAGACAUCCUCCUCCAUCUGAGGCUCACAGACAUCCUCCUCCAUCUGAGGCUCAGGGACAUCCUCCUCCAACUGAGGCUCAGGGACAUGGUCCUCCAUCUGAGGCUCAGUGACAUCCUCCUCCAUCUGAGGCUCAGGGACAUCAUCAUGGAUGUCUUGUCUUCGACGACGAUGCCUAAUUUGACGAUUUGCUUCGUUUCGUCGUCUAUUUGAUGCUGUUGGUGGAAUUCUCUCAACACCAUCACCACCUCUAUCACCACCUACAAUAUUGCGAAUAAUUUGGCCGAAAGCACCUCUCAUCCUAGGCACUGCAACAUAUAAAUAUAUAAAUAUUAAAAAAAAUUAUAAACAAUAAAAAAUCAAUGUAACAAUAUAUAAAUAAUAUAUUAAUAAUAUAUAAAUGUAAUAAUAUAUAAAUAAUAUGUCCAAUUUCGUUUCAAAAANNNNNNNNNNNNNNNNNNNNNNNNNNNNNNNNNNNNNNNNNNNNNNNNNNNNNNNNNNNNNNNNNNNNNNNNNNNNNNNNNNNNNNNNNNNNNNNNNNNNNNNNNNNNNNNNNNNNNNNNNNNNNNNNNNNNNNNNNNNNNNNNNNNNNNNNNNNNNNNNNNNNNNNNNNNNNNNNNNNNNNNNNNNNNNNNNNNNNNNNNNNNNNNNNNNNNNNNNNNNNNNNNNNNNNNNNNNNNNNNNNNNNNNNNNNNNNNNNNNNNNNNNNNNNNNNNNNNNNNNNNNNNNNNNNNNNNNNNNNNNNNNNNNNNNNNNNNNNNNNNNNNNNNNNNNNNNNNNNNNNNNNNNNNNNNNNNNNNNNNNNNNNNNNNNNNNNNNNNNNNNNNNNNNNNNNNNNNNNNNNNNNNNNNNNNNNNNNNNNNNNNNNNNNNNNNNNNNNNNNNNNNNNNNNNNNNNNNNNNNNNNNNNNNNNNNNNNNNNNNNNNNNNNNNNNNNNNNNNNNNNNNNNNNNNNNNNNNNNNNNNNNNNNNNNNNNNNNNNNNNNNNNNNNNNNNNNNNNNNNNNNNNNNNNNNNNNNNNNNNNNNNNNNNNNNNNNNNNNNNNNNNNNNNNNNNNNNNNNNNNNNNNNNNNNNNNNNNNNNNNNNNNNNNNNNNNNNNNNNNNNNNNNNNNNNNNNNNNNNNNNNNNNNNNNNNNNNNNNNNNNNNNNNNNNNNNNNNNNNNNNNNNNNNNNNNNNNNNNNNNNNNNNNNNNNNNNNNNNNNNNNNNNNNNNNNNNNNNNNNNNNNNNNNNNNNNNNNNNNNNNNNNNNNNNNNNNNNNNNNNNNNNNNNNNNNNNNNNNNNNNNNNNNNNNNNNNNNNNNNNNNNNNNNNNNNNNNNNNNNNNNNNNNNNNNNNNNNNNNNNNNNNNNNNNNNNNNNNNNNNNNNNNNNNNNNNNNNNNNNNNNNNNNNNNNNNNNNNNNNNNNNNNNNNNNNNNNNNNNNNNNNNNNNNNNNNNNNNNNNNNNNNNNNNNNNNNNNNNNNNNNNNNNNNNNNNNNNNNNNNNNNNNNNNNNNNNNNNNNNNNNNNNNNNNNNNNNNNNNNNNNNNNNNNNNNNNNNNNNNNNNNNNNNNNNNNNNNNNNNNNNNNNNNNNNNNNNNNNNNNNNNNNNNNNNNNNNNNNNNNNNNNNNNNNNNNNNNNNNNNNNNNNNNNNNNNNNNNNNNNNNNNNNNNNNNNNNNNNNNNNNNNNNNNNNNNNNNNNNNNNNNNNNNNNNNNNNNNNNNNNNNNNNNNNNNNNNNNNNNNNNNNNNNNNNNNNNNNNNNNNNNNNNNNNNNNNNNNNNNNNNNNNNNNNNNNNNNNNNNNNNNNNNNNNNNNNNNNNNNNNNNNNNNNNNNNNNNNNNNNNNNNNNNNNNNNNNNNNNNNNNNNNNNNNNNNNNNNNNNNNNNNNNNNNNNNNNNNNNNNNNNNNNNNNNNNNNNNNNNNNNNNNNNNNNNNNNNNNNNNNNNNNNNNNNNNNNNNNNNNNNNNNNNNNNNNNNNNNNNNNNNNNNNNNNNNNNNNNNNNNNNNNNNNNNNNNNNNNNNNNNNNNNNNNNNNNNNNNNNNNNNNNNNNNNNNNNNNNNNNNNNNNNNNNNNNNNNNNNNNNNNNNNNNNNNNNNNNNNNNNNNNNNNNNNNNNNNNNNNNNNNNNNNNNNNNNNNNNNNNNNNNNNNNNNNNNNNNNNNNNNNNNNNNNNNNNNNNNNNNNNNNNNNNNNNNNNNNNNNNNNNNNNNNNNNNNNNNNNNNNNNNNNNNNNNNNNNNNNNNNNNNNNNNNNNNNNNNNNNNNNNNNNNNNNNNNNNNNNNNNNNNNNNNNNNNNNNNNNNNNNNNNNNNNNNNNNNNNNNNNNNNNNNNNNNNNNNNNNNNNNNNNNNNNNNNNNNNNNNNNNNNNNNNNNNNNNNNNNNNNNNNNNNNNNNNNNNNNNNNNNNNNNNNNNNNNNNNNNNNNNNNNNNNNNNNNNNNNNNNNNNNNNNNNNNNNNNNNNNNNNNNNNNNNNNNNNNNNNNNNNNNNNNNNNNNNNNNNNNNNNNNNNNNNNNNNNNNNNNNNNNNNNNNNNNNNNNNNNNNNNNNNNNNNNNNNNNNNNNNNNNNNNNNNNNNNNNNNNNNNNNNNNNNNNNNNNNNNNNNNNNNNNNNNNNNNNNNNNNNNNNNNNNNNNNNNNNNNNNNNNNNNNNNNNNNNNNNNNNNNNNNNNNNNNNNNNNNNNNNNNNNNNNNNNNNNNNNNNNNNNNNNNNNNNNNNNNNNNNNNNNNNNNNNNNNNNNNNNNNNNNNNNNNNNNNNNNNNNNNNNNNNNNNNNNNNNNNNNNNNNNNNNNNNNNNNNNNNNNNNNNNNNNNNNNNNNNNNNNNNNNNNNNNNNNNNNNNNNNNNNNNNNNNNNNNNNNNNNNNNNNNNNNNNNNNNNNNNNNNNNNNNNNNNNNNNNNNNNNNNNNNNNNNNNNNNNNNNNNNNNNNNNNNNNNNNNNNNNNNNNNNNNNNNNNNNNNNNNNNNNNNNNNNNNNNNNNNNNNNNNNNNNNNNNNNNNNNNNNNNNNNNNNNNNNNNNNNNNNNNNNNNNNNNNNNNNNNNNNNNNNNNNNNNNNNNNNNNNNNNNNNNNNNNNNNNNNNNNNNNNNNNNNNNNNNNNNNNNNNNNNNNNNNNNNNNNNNNNNNNNNNNNNNNNNNNNNNNNNNNNNNNNNNNNNNNNNNNNNNNNNNNNNNNNNNNNNNNNNNNNNNNNNNNNNNNNNNNNNNNNNNNNNNNNNNNNNNNNNNNNNNNNNNNNNNNNNNNNNNNNNNNNNNNNNNNNNNNNNNNNNNNNNNNNNNNNNNNNNNNGGACAUCCUCCUCCAACUGAGGCUCAGGGACAUGGUCCUCCAUCUGAGGCUCAGUGACAUCCUCCUCCAUCUGAGGCUCAGGGACAUCAUCAUGGAUGUCUUGUCUUCGACGACGAUGUCUAAUUUGACGAUUUGCUUCGUUUCGUCGUCUAUUUGAUGCUGUUGGUGGAAUUCUCUCAACACCAUCACCACCUCUAUCACCACCUACAAUAUUGCGAAUAAUUUGGCCGAAAGCACCUCUCAUCCUAGGCACUGCAACAUAUAAAUAUAUAAAUAUUAAAAAAAAUUAUAAACAAUAAAAAAUCAAUGUAACAAUAUAUAAAUAAUAUAUUAAUAAUAUAUAAAUGUAAUAAUAUAUAAAUAAUAUGUCCAAUUUCGUUUCAAAAAAUUAAAAAUAAUAUAUAAACGUACGUUUCGAACCUUUCCCAUCCAAACCUUCGAAACUGGGUUUCGAACCUUUCCCAGAUCCAAAAUUUCGAACCUGUGUUUCGAAACUUUCCCAGAACAUUUCGAAAGUUUCCCCUGGCCUUGCAUUUCGAAGAUUUCAAUUCAAGAAACUUUUGAAAGUUUCUUGUUUCGAAGAUUUCAAAAUGUUCGAGGAAUGCAUUUCGAAUGUUUCAAAUUCAAGGAAACUUUCGAAACUUUCUUCUGUUUCGAAUCUUACAAAUGCAUUUCGAAAGUUUCAAAAACUGCAAAUUUUCGAAAGGAAACUUACUUUUGCGUUUCGAAUCUUUGAGAUCUUCGAAGGUUAGGUUGAUUCUGGAUCGAAUAUUUGAAAUGUUCGAAUGAUUUGGUGAAAAGUGUGGGUAAAUUUUUUUUUUGGUUUUUAUAUAUGUGAUAGAGGGUAAAGUUGUCUUUUAAGCAUAACUGGGGGGUGGCAGGUCAAAUUGGGGGGUGCCUGGUACAAAACUCAACUCCUAAUUAGGGAUGAGCAAAAUUCAGUUAUGCUUGAAAACUGAACCGAACCAAACUGAACUAGUUUUCAGUUCAGAAAAAACCAAACCGAAUUAGUUUACAGUUUAUAAAACUGAACCGAACUGGUUCUAUAAACCAGUGAAUCGGUUUAAUACUCCAAACUGAACUGAAUCGGUUUUAAUUUAUUUUUACCUGUACGAAAUCGAAUAGAUUGAACCGUGCUAUUUAUUUCCUAUAUAACUUUUUCAGGGUUCUGAUUCGCUACUGUUAAACCAGUCACGACCUUAACCCCAUUCAAAGAACCCUUGGGUUUCAACUCUGGUAGCUUCCAUUCAGCCACCGUCUUCUCCUCUUCACUGGAACUCGUGACACAGUUUUCCAUCAAAUUCAAAAUCUGAUGUUUAUGAGUUUCCUCUUUCAUCCUUUGCGCAAUUCUCGUGUAAGUUGAAAACCACUUCAAAUCUUCUCCACGACGGCACGUGCAUUUCAUUCUUCUUCAAACUCUGCUUCGCUGCCUCCAUUACAAUUUCCACGAUUCUCUCUAAACGUUCGCACGUGCCAACGAAUAUGUAAGGAAGGUUAUGGAGAAUCAUUUUGUAUACUUUUGUUGAUCUUGCGAUCUCGAAUUCUGACUUGAAGUCGAUGUCAAUUAUCAAUUGUUUUGUAUUUAACGUUAAGCUUCAUUUCAAUUUUAGGGUCCUAAUUUUGAUUUUAGGGUUUUGAGAUUUUGAUUGAGAUUUUGUUAAAAUUAAAAUUUAAAACUAAAUUAUGGUUACAGUGCACCUAUAUUUGCUACAAUCAGUUCAUUUAAAAAAACUGAUUUUAAAAUAAAGUUUGAUUUUUAAUUUUUUUGAAUUGGUUUAGUUUAAAAGCAGUUUGGUUUGGUUCAGUUCUAUAAAUCAGUUCAGUUUUUGGUUUUUUCCCACCCCUACUAAUAACCCUGGUUUCUAGUUUACUUAUCUUGUUUUGAUUUUGAAAGAAUAAAAACCUACCAAUCACUCUCUAACCUCUCUCAUCUUUGCUCUUCGCCGUCACCGCAACCACCGUUCCCUCAAAUCAAAAUACCAUGUCGGACGAAGAGCACCAUUUCGAAUCCAAGGCCGACGCCGGAGCCUCCAAAACCUACCCUCAACAAGCCGGUACCAUCCGUAAAAACGGUUACAUCGUCAUCAAAAACCGUCCUUGCAAGGUCCGUAUCCACAUUCUAAUUCCUUUUUUAAUUAGGUUUUUACUAAAUUAAUCAUUGAUUUGAUUUCAUGUAUUUGAUUAGAUCCAGUUUUUCUGCUUCACUGUUUUGGUUUCAUAUUUAAUUUAUUUUUUCUAUGUUGAAAUCUAUGUUUUUUUAUUGAUUUAAGUUCAAAAUUAAUCAUGAUUUUGAUUUGAUUUGUUCAAUUUUUGAGUAAAUUAAUCUAUGUUUCUGUUGCUUCACUGUUUUUGUUCAAUUUUUGAUGGAUUUGUGAGUUGAAUUUUCUGUUAUUGAUUUCCUUUUAUCAAUUAAUCAUCCGUUUGAUGGCUAUUUUUCUGAAAAUUAGUGUAUGUUUGGAAUUAGGGUUUUGGUGAAGGGAGUUUAAGAUGGCUAUGUCUAUAUUCUGUUAUAUAUUUGAGAUUUAAACAUUUCAAUCACAAUUAAUUUAUUUUUAGUAUAAUUUUAGAGUUUCUUUAAUUUAUCCUUAAUAUUGAAAAGAAAAAUAAGUCUUCCCCGUUUUCUUAAUAUUAGGUGAGUCUGCUUACUGAAAAUGGGAACACUAAGGAUGACCUCAAGCUUCCUACCGAUGACAGUCUACUCACUCAGGUUUGUACAGAUCUCAUGAUUCCUUGUUUGAAUUUACCAAUAUGGUGUUAUUUUUAUGUCUUUUGUAUCGUGUGUUUGAGUAAUAUGUGUUACUUGAUUGCAGAUUAAGGAUGGAUUUUUAUUUGUGUAACAAUACGGAAUUUAGAUAUGAUGUGAUUUUCUGUUGGGAUUGUGAGAAUUUGGAAUCUUUAAUGUUUCAGUGCUUAUUGCUUAUUCGUUUAACAGUAAGGAACUUAGAUAUGAUGUGAUUGUUUAUAGGAGUGUGAAAAUUUGUAGUUAUAAUGUUUAAGUGCACAAUCCUUUUACAGUAAGGAAUUAUAAUAGAAAAAAAAAAAAUUCUACCUGAAAGUUCAUGAUUUUUUCUAAAAAUAUAUGCCUGUGAAGAGUUUUUAUUUCCUUUCAUUUAACAUGUUUUUUUGUUGUACGACAGGGGAAGAAAAAGGAAGGAAAUGCUGCUAAAUUUGUCACUAGGAAUCAUGCUCUCAAGCAGCUUCAAAUCAGUCUACCCCUUUUCAGGUUCCAUAUGCUCAUAUAUAUAUAUAAACCAACAUUAAUGCUAUAUAUGAUAAUUUUCUUUUUCCCGAAAUGUCAUGAAGCACAUUCUGCUUUAAAGAAAAUUGCAAAAACUGUUCUACACCUGAAUUGGGCGAAAAACAUGGCAAUGAAAGUGAAAUAGCAAAUCAUAAUGAUUUGUGCUGUAAUUGUGAUGGUUACUUUCGUGACAUGAAUCAUUAUCCAUAAACCAAUUUAUGGGGCUUUUGUAGGAAAAGAAGGGUUUCUUUGGGUUAAAUUUCUCUUAGCUUGAUUACAUAUACAUAUUUUUUGUUAUCAUUAUUGAUCUAAUCUGUUAUCAUUUUGAAUAUGCAUAUAUUUAGCGUUACUCUUAAAUAUUUUGAAAAGUUAAUAUGGUUAAAUGUGAAGUUGAUUUUUUGUAAAUUUUAGGAAGCUGUGCAUUUUGAAAGGUGUAACUCCCCGGGAGCCUAAGAAAAAGUUAGGACGUCAGACUUGCUACCAUGUGAAGGAUAUAAGCUUUCUACAUCACGAGCCUUUGCUGGAAAUACAUAGAGCAAUAAGAGUACAUGAAAGAAAAAUUAAGAAAGCAGAGGCAAAGAAAAACAUUGAACGUGCAAAGAGGUUACGUGAUAAAACACCCAAACCCAAGUUAGAUAGGAUUAUUCGACAAAGGUUUGUUUGUUUUGGUUUUUUCCUUUCUAAAUUUCAAUUUAUGUCCUGUAGCCGGCGACAUAUUUCCAAUCUUUUUCUUCUCAUUCUUUGAAUUAUAGGUACCCAAGAUUUGGGGAUGCACUUGGAGAAUUGGAUGGCUGCCUUACAAUGGUACAUCUUUUUGCAGCAUUACCUGCGACUGAGAGCAAAAAAAUUGAUGUGGAGCGUGUCCAUAAAUGUCGAAGGUAUGUACAUGGAAUUAUAAUAACUUUAAAUUGAUUUGUCAUAAAGAAUUUAGGCCUUUGUGCCUAAAUCUUUACUUUGAAAAUAACAACUAGGGGAUUAGAUUUUUAUAUUAAAAUCUUGUCAUUUACAUUAAUUUUCUUUUACCUUAUGCUGUAAUAAUAUUUAUAUUCUUUUGUUUAUUGCAUGCACGUAUUCAUGCUGUAAUAAUUUUUAUAUUUAUCUUCUUUUGUUUAUUGCAUGCCCGUAUUCUAGAUUGGCGCAUGAAUGGCAAGCAUACAUAUCUCGUACUCACAGGUUAAGAAAAACAUUUGUAUCUGUUAAAGGCAUAUACUACCAGGUACUGAUUGUGGCAUUUGUUAUGUUAAUCAAUCAUAAUUGUACAUUUUAUUGAUUUAUUAUGUUGUUUGUGCAGGCUGAAGUCGAGGGUCAGACAAUAACAUGGUUAACUCCUCAUUCACUGCAGCAGGUUGUGUCUGAUGAUGUUGACAUCCCCACCAUGCUUAACUUUCUGCAAUUAUAUGAGGUCAGUUUAGUUUUAUGUUUGUAUUAAGUGUCUUCAUUUUUUGAUAAAUAAUCAAUGUCCAUAUCAUCCGAAGUAAUAGGAUAAUAGAUCUAAAUAUUUUAAUCAUGUAAACAUUUAAUUUGAAUAUGUUCUGCUGUGUUACGAUUAUCAUGUGGUUCAUGUAUAAAACAAAUUUAGUUAGUCAACUUAAGUUCAUGUACUAAUUGGUAUGGUAAACUUCUACUUUCUAAUGAAUUGCUGCAGCCUCUUCUUGCUCGAUCCUCGCUUGGAGGCGUUGGCAGCAGGUACCAUUUUCUCAACUUUUAUGGAAUUUGGUGAACUUGAAUUGCUGCAGAGAUUUGAUGUAUCUGCCGAUCAAUUUUCUUUUUAAACUUUGUAGAUCUAUAUGCAUUGUCAAGAUAUGCCAAUGCCGACAACAGACCCGCAAUACUGAGUUCUGAAGCUUCUCAAUUAGUUGAAUCUGAACAAGGGGGGAACAAGAAAACUGAGGCAGAGACUGAAAAUGAAAAAUCUGAACUUAGACUUGCUCAACUUCAGAAUCAACUUCCGUCUAAUGAACCCGGUGCACUAAUGCACCUUGUUGAGAAAGCUGCAGGUGAUGAUGAAGAGGAAUAUGAUCAAGAGACACGAGAAUGCAAAAAUCUCUUUCGAAAUGUCAAAAUUUUCUUGAGCAGGGAGGUAGGACCUUAAAGCAUUUGCAUUUAAUUUUGCAAUAUAAAUUAUUAGAAAAUAUAAAAAGUUGAUGUUUGGAAUAGUGAAGUUAAAAAAGGGUUAGGUCUCAAAGUAUUAUACUUGGAAGUAUUAACAUAUAUAAAAAUCCCAAGAUUAUUAGUAAGUGAAUGGAGUCUCCAACACUGUAAUUGAAAGGGACACAGUUCCAGGUGACACUCUCACAUACCAACCUCGGUUCUACUUUUUUUUUUCUCUUUACUCUUUCAAGUUUUCCAUCUAAAUAAAGUAUACUUGAAAAGGAAGUAAGAGAAUGAUGAGUGAGUAUUUGAUAUAUCUUAAAAUAUUUAAUCCAUCAUAUACCCAUACCAUAUAACUUUCUCUCUCUGACUUUUAAUUAUUUAAUUUUCCUUUAAGGCCUACUUCACUUUUUCUCUGUUGCAGCUUUGAGUCUAUAAAUAAAUAAAUAAAUAAAAUUUGUCCUAUUUCUGUUUGAUAAGUAAUAUAUUAAUUUGCCAAUUUAGUGCUGGAUCACUCACUGUCUCCAACUUUAUGGCCGAUUAGAGUGUGAAUACGCUAUGAUUAAACCUUAGAUCCCAAGGCUUCAACAAACCAAAGCUCUCUGAUAUUUUGAAGUCAUAGCAACCACGCUAUUAUACUUGGAAGUAUUAACAUAUAUAAAAAUCACUUCACGAUAAGACAGUUGAGUGGUUUACACAUUUUCUAUUGGAAUGUCUCAUAGAGAUGCCAAUCAGGGUUGGGACAAACACUUCAACUAUUAUGACUAAACAUGGUCACUGCAAUGUCUUGUUUUCAUUUUGUAUUUGUGGAGUUUCAUUGGUCAGUUAUAUGUAGGUACCAGAAGUAAGCUUUUUCUGAGGCUUAUGACAUGCUCGUAUAUUAAAAAGUUGAUGAAGCUAACAAUGCAAUGCCCAUUAAAAACUUAGCCUUUAUUGUGUAUAUUUUGACAUUGCCUGCAUCUGUUGUGGUUUAAUUGUUCAGGUACCAAGGGAAUCAUUGCUUCUUGUUAUUCCUGCUUUUGGUGGUAAAGUUUCAUGGGAGGGAGAGGGGGCUCCUUUUGGGGAAUCAGACCAGAGCAUUACUCACCAGGUUUGUGAUUUAGGUGACAUAACUUUUUUGAACUUUGUUUUAGGUUCACUUAGCUAAUUCUUUCAUUUCUUUAGAUCGUUGAUCGGGAAUCACAAGGACAUAGGUUCCUCUCAAGAGAAUAUGUUCAACCACAGUGGGUAUUUGAUUGUGUGAAUGCACGCAUAAUUUUGCCAACAGAAAGUUAUAUGGUUGGAAGGUAACUUCUAAUUCAUCUGCGCUAUAGUAUACUGACUUCUCACCUCUGUUGUACAGUUUAUAACCCCAUUUGGCGUUGAUUGUGGUGGUUUACAAUUCCUUUAUUUUACAAUGUAGACAUUGUUAAUAUAUUGCUUCUCACCUAAAUUAGUACGUGGGCCUCUGUUCUUUGGUAAUUGAUGUUGUAUUAUCUGUGAUUAUUUUUUAGGUUCAUUUUAUUUGUGAUUAUUUGGUCGGCAUGUGCUAAUUUUGGUCUGAGGAAAAUAAUUUGUUCUACAAGGGAUCAUGAUAUCUUAAUUUUUUGAAAAAUGGAUAAUAUUUUGCUAAUUAAAAAUAUAAUAUUUUAAAUUUCGAAAAAAAUCCACAUGUAUAAUAAUACACAUAUACUGACAGUACAAAGUCCCAUAGGCUGUGGAAUAAAUCUUACCGGUCAUGCAGAUUUUAGUGUCAAUCUCUUUAAAAUAUAUAUACCCAACCUCAUAUAGUAAGUUGUGUCACAUUGGAUGUAUUAUUAUUAUUGUUGAUGUUGUUGUAAAUUAUGAUACAACAUCAAAUCUACACGACUUGUGUAUAAAAUCAAUUAUUUAGGGUUGGUUUACUUUGUGAAAACAUUGUGUUUUCAUUUUCUGAAAUGUGCUCAUUUUACCGUGAUAAGAGACUCUUGAAGUGAACGAAUGUCAUAGAGAAUGUGAAAUGCUAGUUAAUGAAGAUGCAUUUAUGGAAAUAAUGAAAAUAAUUGACAUGUUCAUUUUUUUCUAUAAACGUAGACAAUUGUUAACUUCAGUAAUUGUUAACUUCAGUAAUCUGUUACUGUCUUAUUAACAAGUAAAAUAAAUACAAAUUUUAAGAAAUGAAAAUAGGAAAGGCUUUCCCAAAUUAAACAGGCCCUUAGUUGUCGUUGCCAAUGUCAAGUCAUCAUCAAUCAUUCAUUAACUUGAGAGUCAAGAUCAGAAAAAAUCUUACAUAUAUUUGUUUGUAUUUCCGCGAGAGUACAUUUUUAUUAUAUUCAAAGAAAAGUGUCUAUAUUAAAGAAAAAGCCUAUCAUAUCCGACUUUAACGAAAUUUUUCUUGUUAAAAUGCUUCUUUUAUUAACAGAAUUCCUCCACCGCACUUGUCCCCGUUCGUUAACUAUGACGAAGAAGGGGCAUAUGUUCCGGAGUAUGCAAAGACCAUUAAACACUUGCAAGCUGCUGCCAGAAAGGAAGUCCUUCCACUUCCAGGUGUUGAAAAAGAUCUCGAAGAUCCUCAAAAUCUUCUGGCUGACGGUAUCAUUGAUCGAGCAGAGGCUAACGAAGCGGCUAAGAGAAAGCAGAAGGUAUGCAUACUGAGACACGAACAGUGCAUAUUGAUUGGAGGCUAUCAUUCUAUGUUUUACUUUGUUGAUAAUAAUAUGUAAGUAAUUCCAUUUCAAUUGUUGUCUUGCAGAUGAUGAUUCUAGAGAAGCAAUACCAUGAGGAUUUGAUGAAAGAACUUCAGGGUGCUACAUAUACUUCAGCAGGUUCUACUGCUGAAAAAGAAACAUCUACUGGAUUGAUUCAGACAGCUGAAUCAACGAACAAUGGUCAAGAAAAUGUUGAUGAUUUGACUAAACUUAUGAUGUCUCGUAAAAAGAGGAAGCUAUUAGAAGCCAUGCAGGUACACCUAUUUGUAUCCUCUUUAUACAGAUUUGAAUUUCUUAUCCAUAUUAGUUCUAUUGUUUGUGUACUUCUUUUACUUUUCAAAUUAUCUAUCUGAACUUGCCAUUUGACCAUUACUAUUCUAUUUAAUCCAUAUUCCUAUUUAACCGGUGGGAAAGUGGCAGGUUGUCUUGUAGUUACAAUAAUGUUGCCUUUUUUUAAUUUGUUUUGAUGUUCAUAACUUUUGUUGUUGAAAUGUGUCACUCAGAUAUCGAAUGAGCGCAAGCAAGCUAAAAAUGAUCUUAUCAAACACCGGAAAAAGAAAAUCGACGAAGCUCAGAAUCAAAGGAGUUGAAAGGAAUCUACGUUCUCAAAGGGUUUCAGCUAUAUGCCAUUUCAUUUUGCUAUAUAGGUGCUAGCUGAUUUAUAAGGCUAGUUUUCUUUUGUUGUUUUCCAGUAUAACUUAUUUUAUUUAGUAUCUCUUCUUUCUGUUUUGUAACAUGUUUUGGAAGGGCCAAAGAACAUUUUGAUUUUUUUUAUCUACUAGUUAUACCUUGAUCUACUAGGGUGUGUAAGAAACUGAGUAAAUCCAGUGAACAAUGCUAACUAGUUUGGUUUGGAAUGCAGACGAAAGGCUUUUAUAUCUAAGGAUGUUAAAUGCAGACGAAAGGCUUUUAUAUCUAGCACUUGCGUAAUCAGGUGAUUUUAAAAUUAGAGCAUAAAUGGUACACUACGGAACUAACAAACAGUGCAAAAUUUCAAAAAGUAUGUCCGUGAUUUGGAAUGCUUUAUAUACUUUGUUCAUGUCAGUGCAAAUGAUUGAAUACAUGUGUCAUUUAAAAUUACAAUGGCAACCCCUAAAUACUUCAGUUAAAAAGUAGACAUAAUCAAUAAUACGAGAGGAAAACUUACUAUCAAUUGAGAACAAACACAAGCUUUGAACAUUCCUUAAGAUGUUUUAGAGAUGAAAAUUUACAGACAGAAGGUUCACUGGUUCACAUGAGCAGAGAUGAAUCAACUAAAUGAUAUAAGCUAAUCUCUAACUGAUUUAAAAAGGCCUAUAGUCAAGUAAUUUUCAUCUAUAUUUUCCUAUUUUUGGCACCUCUAACUUUAAUCUGGGAUAUCUAUUAAAAUAUUGAUCAAUAGGUAGUGCUACUAAACAAUAUCAACUUGUUUCAAUUGGAUAUGAUCUUGAUUUCUAAGUCACUCUCCAUUCCGAAAUUUCCCAACAGCUGCAUCCUCAACCAAUUAUGAUGAUUUCAAAUACAUAAAUAAGUAAUCAACUAGUUCACAACAUGAAUUUCAAUGUGUGUACCUCAUUUGUUCAGCUAUCAUAAUUUCAAUCUCUGCCAAUUGAGGAUUAUCCGUGUCAUUCAUGAAAAUAUUAACAUCACCAACCAUAGCUGCAAAUAGCAUAUAUAUAUAUAUAUAUAUAUAUAUAAGUCUCCAAUGUUAAUAAAUUGAACAAUAAUGAAUUAAAGGUCACCAUGAAUUAAAAGUCUCUAGAGUUGAUAAAUUAUGUGAUCAUGCAAUGGCCAUCCGCUCAUUUUCUAUGAACUUUCAUAUAAGUGAUUAUAUUGUUGAGAAUCAUUGAAACGAGUCUAUGAUCAACCAGGUCCUUCUUAAUAACAUUUGUAUCAUAAUUGCAAGUCUUAAGCCUCCUUUUGCAGGAUGAUUUCCCUAUAUGGAAGUUUUUUAAUGAAAAUUUAUUCACUAUUAAUUUUUGUCAAGAGAGCAUCAUACUCCUUUUGAGUCCCCUAAUUUUAAUCUGGUGUGGAAAUGAAUUGGACCUCCCAGAUUUCAUACAUUUCUUUUAAAAGUUUUCACACAAACAACUUCUAACUAAUGCCAAAAGAAACCAUUGGGGUAUAUCUGAUAAUAUGGUUUGCAUCAGAUGCUCCCAAGUUUCGGAAACUAUUAUGCACGUUCUUAGAGAUUUUAAUGUGGCACAUAGUCUUUGGAAAAACUUUAUUACUAUGGAGAGUGAGCAAUCAAGUUCCUUUUUUAGACUCACGCUUCCUCAAUGAAUUGGCUUUAAUCUUACGGUAGUUGAUGUUAGUUUGAUCAGAGGCCAUUGGCCUCUGGUGUUUGGAAUCAUGGUAAAUUGUGGAUGGAUAGGAACCAAGUAGUUUUAUCAAGAACACCACUUAAUGCUAAAAAAAUUUGUAAUCUUUUUAUAGAAAACCUUUCUCCAUUCAUCAACAUCUUUACCUUUGUCCUCCUUCCUUUUUUAGAGGAUCGUAAGAGAGAGAUUAAUGUUAAAUGGUAUCCUCCAAAAUUCUUUUAAGCUCAACAUUGAUGGUUCUUAUCACAACACAACAGGUCUCAUUGCUUGUGGAUGGAUUAUUAGAGAUCAUAAAUGAGUUUAUAUUCACGGUUUUUUUUGCAAUCUCGGUUGAGCUACAUUUGUGUUAGCUAAACUGUGGGGCUUGUUUCAUGGUCUUAUAAUGACAUGUAGUUCGGUUUUGACUACAAUUUUGGUGAAAUGAACUCUCAUAUGGUAGUCAACAUGAUUUGGUCGAGGGAAAUGGGUAAUCUCUAUCUUACGCCGCUUCGUCAAGAAGUAAUCUCUAUUGUACACGAGGAACGGAAUUGGGUGGUUAAUCAUGUCUAUCUUGAGACUAAUCAAUGUGCAGAUAAGCUAGCUAACCUUAAUCUCAUUUGAGAUUUUAAUUUUAUUGACCCAUGUACUCCUUUUCCUAGUGUAUUACUUCUUAUUGAUGAUGAUUAUAGAGGGAUGUAUUUAUCUCGUUUCUUUCUCGUAAGUUUUCUUUGUAAUUUUCCCUUUUAUCAUGGAGAAAAAGGAAUGUUACUCAACUAAUAAGAUCUUAUCAAAACACAACAGGUCUCAUUGCUUCAUGAUGGCUUAUUAGAGAUCAUAAAGGAGUUUAUAUUUGUGAUUUCUUUUGCAAUCUUGGUCGAGCUACAUAUGUGUUAGCUGAACUUUGGGGCCUGUUUCAUGGUCUUAUAAUGACAUGUAGUUUGAUUUUGACUACUAUUUUGGUGGAAAUGAACUCUCAUAUUGUAGUCACCAUGAUUCAGUCAAGGAAAAUGAAUAAUAUAUAUUUUAUGCCGCUUCAUCAAGAAGUCAUCUCCAUUGUAAACCAGGAAUGGAUUUGUGUGGUUAAUCAUGUCUAUCUUGAGACUAAUCGAUGUUAAUAAGCUAGCUAAUCUUAAUCUCAGUUGAGAUUUUAAUAUUAUUAACCCACUUACUCCUCUUUAUAGUGUGUUACUUCUUAUUGAUGAUGAUUAUAGAUGUAUGUAUUUCUCUCGUUUCUUUCUCGUAAGUUUUCUUUGUAAUUUUCCCUUUUAUCAUGGGAAAAAAAAAAAGGAAUGCUACUCAAAGAAUAAGAUAUGGAGUUUCAAAUUCGAUUCAAACCCCAAAAUCAAUGUCCUAAAAGUAUAUCCUUGAUAAUUCCGCUUCAGACCCUUUUAUUAACAAAAUCAAUGUCCCUUUUAACAAUUUUGGAGCUUUUAUAGUACAUUCAUUAAUCGAAGAGUUUUGGUACAUUUUUUCUCUAAAUCAAUAAAUUAAGGAUAAUUUUAAUGAAUCAAAUAGUUAUUUAUUGACUUUUGUAUUUUAUAAAAGAUCAUUUCAUAUGAAAAAAAAAACGAUUUUGUUGUUUAUAAGUACUAUACUAGUUUUUUCUAUUUUAUUGUAAAAAUAUUCAAUAUUCACAAUUAUGAUUUAUUUGACUUACACUUUUGAUAAAUAAUAUUUAGUUAUUAUAAUUAUAUAAAUAAUAGGAAUUAUUUUUUUCCUAAAAAAUUCAAUUAACUAUUAAUUUAAAUAUCAAAUGUAUUGAUACAUGUCAAAUUAAUUGAUUUACUGAAGAAAUGCUCUUUCAAAAUAGUUCCGUCGCUAAAUUAAUCCACUUACAAUAAAAAUAUAGAUGAGUACAAGAGAAGAUUUCAAUAAUUAAUCCUAAGCUAAAUUAGACUUUUAGUCCCUCAACUUAGAUUUUGGUUUCAAUUUAAUCUCCUAAUCAUUUUCAUUUUGUUUUAGUCUCUUACAUAUACUUUUGUUAGUCAAGUUGGUCAUAUCUGUUAAUUUUUGAAAUCUUCUCUUGUGCCCAUCUAUAUUUUUGUUCUUCUUCAACCUAAAAGUAGUGGUUUUGUUCCUCUUUUCAACUGUACUCUGCAUAACUUGUGACUAAUUUUGUUCACAGCGAGAACACUAAUAAAUACAUAUGAAGAACAAAAUGGAUGAAUUGAAGUGACAUCAUUCAAAAAAAAAGUCAAGUUAAAUUCUCCAAAAAGAUCUAGAAAAUGUCUAUUUAUUAGCAUGACAUUAUCAUCAUUUUGCAAUUUGAUGGUACACACAAACCAUUUAAACAUACGGAUUGUGUGGCAUCAAAGUAGUAUCAAAAGAUUACAAUGAUAGUAAGUAAUAGUAUCACAAGAUUCGUUAGAAGAAUACCAUCUUCCACUACAUUUGAUUUGUUAAAUUGUCCAAUUACCAAAGAUCUUUAACCAUUUUCAAAUGUUGAAAUAAGGGUUCCUACAACAAGGAGAUGAAAACUUAAAACUCAAACAUGGAUACAACCGAGACAUAUAUCGCAAAUCCUAAUAAAUAAAACACGAAUAUUUGCUAUAAUAUCACUUGUUGGAGAUUCCAAUGGUGAUAGUUACUCCGCAUACCAAAAACCUUAAGGCAUAUCUCCACCCACCUAAAUCCCAAUAAAGUUGAUGUUGCAAUCACUUCCAACUUCAAAGACAUUCUUGAUGUGGAAGAUUUUACCACAUCCUUGGUCAUGUGAGAAGAUUGAAAGCAAAUAAAUAAAGUGUGCAUCAGAUGCUUUUUAUGUUGUACGAACCAUGUGCUAACACAUGCAUACUCAAUUUUAAAAUAUAUCUACAGUUUUACGAUCACUUGAUUUUCUAGGCAAUUCAACUUCAAAAUUUAUGCUAAAUGAUAUGGUUUAAAGGUGUGCUAUAACAAAUUCAAUAACAAAACUUGUAGAAACAAUGAUAUAACCAUCCAUCAUCCAUCAGUUACAUGACUAAAGUAAAUUUAACUAUUGAAUAAAGACCUCUUAUACUUUUUCUUUGUUUAGCUAUUAGUUUGUUCUCUCAUCCAUCAUCCAACACUAUUUUUGCAACACCUCAUAAGUGGUCCCUGAAAUCUAAAUGGGAACAACAAAAAUGUUGUACUGCAUAUAAAAAACCAAAACAAAUGCUAAAAGGUGUGGAAUAAUUUGAUAAAAUGUCCUAUUAAACAAGUAUUUAUUUCACAAAAGUUUUUGGAUAGAAUAAUUUGUCCAAAGAACAAAGGUGUGGAAUCAGAAACAUGACGUGUGAAAGGAGUAAAGAACAUUGAAACUAUAUCAAUAGAAUACCAUAUAUUGAAUAUGAGGUAUAGAUGUUUAUUUAUUAGCAACAGUAGUACAGAAGCUAACUUGCAAAAGUUAUGAUGUACAAUGAGUUUUUGUUUAAGCCAUAUGUGUUUUAACUUGAAGAAAAUGUUUCCUAAUAAAGGACUUUGUAGCUCCUUUAACACAUGCUAAAAUGUCCUAUUAAACAAGUAUUUAUUUCACAAAAGUUUUUUGAUAGAAUAAUUUGUCCAAAGAAGAAAAGGUGUGGAAUCAGAAACAUGACGUGUGAAAGGAGUAAAGAACAUUGAAACUAUAUCAAUAGAAUACCAUAUAUUGAAUAUGAGUUAUAUAUGUUUAUUUAUUAGCAACAGUAGUGCAUAAGCUAAGUUGCACAAGUUAUGAUGUACAAUGAGUUUUUGUUUAAGCCAUAUGUGUUUUAAUUUGAAGGAAAUGCUUCCUAAUAAAGGACACUCCAACUCCUUUAACAUAAGCUAAAAUGUCCUAUUAAACAAGUAUUUAUUUCACAAAAGUUUUUUGCUAGAAUAAUUUGUCCAAAGAACAAAAGGUGUGGAAUCAGAAACUGAAAGGAGUAAAGAACAUUGAAACCAUAUCAAUAGAAUACUAUAUAUUGAUACGAGGAAUAUAUGUUUAUUUAUUAGCAAGAGUCGCAUAGAACCUAUCUUGCACACAUUAUAAAAAGUAAUUACAGCUUGAAAAACAUGAAAUCAAAUAAUGUUGAGCAACAACAGAAUGAAGCAACUGAAGAAGGUAACAUAGAUCUCCUCUACAAAAUAAUUAAAGAUGAUCAAUCAAUUUUGGAGAGUAUCGAUUCGAAACAAUUUGUGGAAACUCCUUUACAUAUCGCUGCAGCUAUGGGUCGUAUCCAGUUCGCCAAUGAAAUUAUGAGGUUGAAACCUUCAUUUGCUCGUAAGCUAAAUGAACAAGGAUUCAGCCCUAUCCACCUUGCUAUGCUAAACAGCCGAAAGUGGAUGGUGUUUAAUUUUGUUGACAUGAAGAAGCAACUUGUUACAGAUCAAGGAAGAGAAGGCUUAACUCCUCUUCAUUUAGCAAGUGAAAUUGGUGAUAUUGAAUUUUUAGCUAAGUUUAUUUAUGCUUGUCCAGAAUCAAUUGAAUGCUUGACUGCGAGGAAUGAGACUGCACUACAUAUUGCUAUUAAGAAUCAACAGUUUGAGGCUCUUCAAUUUCUUGUUGGCUGGCUCGUAAGAAAUGAGGAGAGAGGUGUUACAGAGUUGGAAAAUAAAAUACUUAACCAAAAGGAUGUGGAUGGAAACACUAUUUUGCACAUUUCAGCUCAAAGUAGUGAUCCACGGGUAACUUUCGUUUGUAUAUUUAUUUUGUUCUCCCCUCAAAUUAAAAACUAUAUGUAAAUGAUUCUCAUAUUUCUUAUUAUUUUACUUUGUAGCACAGACAGUUCGAUUGUUGGUAAAAGACUGGGAUAAAUUUGAAGGCAAAGAACUUAGACAACAAAACAACAUUAGACAUGGCAACCAAUGAAGGUGCAAAAAGUGGCUCACAAGUCAUUGACAUACGUUCACAAGAACUAAUAAUACCAAUGACGACACUAUAUGAUAAAAUGUUAAUUUUAUUACGUCGCCUUAGUAACGAUAUAUCAAAUAAUCAACGCGAAACUUUGCUGAUAGUUGUGACACUUGUUGCGACUGCCACUUAUGAAUCAGCAAUGAGUCCCCCUGGUGGAAUUUAUCAGGCUGAUGCUGGUGACAAUAAUGUGAAAAUCAGUUCCUCCAAUUCUACUAUUUCUAACCCAGGAAAUGUUGGGAAAUCGAUUUUGUCAAGACAUGAUUUCUUAGUGUUUUCAUUGAUGAAUAUGUUUUCUUUUUACGAAUCAAUUACAGUAAUAUUGUUUUUGAUGCCAGGUGGGAUAGUUGGCGCUCUACUGUUAGAUACAGUUAUUUUCUUUGUCGUGAGUUAUAUAAUUUUUCUGGUGAAAAUAUCCCCUACACAUUUCAAUGAGAUGAUCAUCCUGUAUGGUUUCAUCAUCAUCAUGUCUGCCGUAUUAUUUAUGUUCUACCAGAAACUUAAGAAAACACCAAUCAAGGGGGCAACACAGAUCAUACCACUGUCGUGCCGGCUGAAUUCACCAACAACAAUAUCUCCGUACAAUAAUUUCUAUUUUUCGUUCUUAACCUUUUUCUUGUUCAAUCUUACCAAAUUGUUAAUUACUAUAUCAUAUAUUGUAUUCUAUUCCAUCUAUGUGUAUUUAUUAUUAUUAUUAUUUAAAAUGAGAUUACUCAACAUGAUAUAUGUGUGAAUAGUCUUUUGAAUAACUUCUUUUUUUUUUAAGUGUAAUGGGAAAAGCCCCUAGCCUUUAGGGCCUAUUUGAAUGAAUUUAUGUUUUUAAUUUUUCAACAAUCUUUUACAAUUUAAUUUUAAAAACUCUUUAUAAGGAAAAAAAAAAAAACAAUCAAUGUUGUUUGGUAAUUCUAUUUUCAAACACCAUCUCCACCACCACGACCUACCGCUCCGGAAUUUUCUUCAUAAAAAAAAACUUUGUUCACCAUCGUGUCGUGUUCGUUGCUCUCUUAUAAUAAUCCUCCAUCAAAACGGAGAUCAAUGAGAAUCAUGGUUGGAGUUGGUAGCUCCAAGCAAUCCCAUAUUGUGGACACAACCAUUGAUACCAUCUCUGAUGACGAUUCUGGUUCAAAAUCACCACAAAAAUCCUUGAAACCAACCACUUCACCAUCAAAAUCAAUAUAAUGUCUUUUUCCGCCUUAAAAAAUACCACCUAAAAAGAGAAAAUGAGAUUUAACUAAAAAGCUUCGCUAUAAGAUUUUUUAUUAAAAUUGAGACACAUUAUCUUAUCUCAACCUUUAUUUGAAUAUUUUUUAUUUAUGAUAUUUAAUUAUUUACCAUAACUCAUUCAGCUAUCGUCCAAUGUUUUGUCUAUCAUGUCAUAAUUUUGAAAACAUGUAAUGUCAAUGAUUCUAAGAAGUACUCCCUCGAGUGACUAUUUUAGUUUUAAGUAAAAAAAAUUCUCUUGUUGUAUUAAAAAUAUAGUUAAAUGGCAAUUAAUUUUAUAUAUUUUACAUAAAAUAUAAGUUAAAUUUAUUAAAUUGUCAUUUUUAAUGUACAAUAUUCGACUAUUAAUAUUAAAUAUUUUGAUGUAAAUGGUGGAUUAAAAAUAGACAUGGCAACAGGCGGGACGGGGGCGAAAUAUAAAGUAUAUUUAAUAUGUCCAUGUGUAUAAAAUUUAAAAAUGAGAAUAAUAUUAUUAGCGGGACAUAUUCGAGUCCGAAUUCGGGGUGAAUGUCAACACACUCGCACUCGAUUAAAGCGAUUUUUCUCCGUCCAAAUUAAAACGAUUUCAAAUGGAUAUACGCGGAGGCGGAUUAUGUUGUCAUCUCUAAUUAAAAUAAUAAUAUUAAAUUAAUCAAAACUAUCUUAUAUUUAGGAUGCAAUGUUUUAAAUUUUUACAGAAUUAAAACAUAGAUAUAAAAACAUAUGUUAAAUUUCUUAGGUAAGUUUUGUCAUGUUAAUUGGUAGAGAUUAAUUGGAGAAAAUGUAUAUAUUUAACUAAAGCAAAUCUCGUUAGUGUAAAAUAGAAAAACAAAUACAAAUUAUUUUGUAAAUGUUUAAUGAAACCUAAUAUAUUUCCUAUUUUAAAUUGGACCACCAUCUCUAACCUUAAAUUUUAUAAAUAAAUAAAUAAAACAAAAUAAUUAAUUAAAGAAGGAUUUAUGUAAUGUAUAUUUGAAUAAUGAAGUUAUUUAAAAAAUGAAGGUGACCCACUAGGUUUUGGAUUUGGGCUUUGGGCCAAAAUAUUAGCGUCCAUUCCACGCAGAAUCUUAACUCCUAAUAACCCUAGUUUCUAGUUUACUUAUCUUGUUUUGAUUUUGAAAGAAUAAAAACCUACCAAUCACUCUCUAACCUCUCUCAUCUUUGCUCUUCGCCGUCACCGCAACCACCGUUCCCUCAAAUCAAAAUACCAUGUCGGACGAAGAGCACCAUUUCGAAUCCAAGGCCGACGCCGGAGCCUCCAAAACCUACCCUCAACAAGCCGGUACCAUCCGUAAAAACGGUUACAUCGUCAUCAAAAACCGUCCUUGCAAGGUCCGUAUCCACAUUCUAAUUCCUUUUUUAAUUAGGUUUUUACUAAAUUAAUCAUUGAUUUGAUUUCAUGUAUUUGAUUAGAUCCAGUUUUUCUGCUUCACUGUUUUGG